AAAAAACAAACAACAUAUGCAUUAUACAUCAGAAAAAUCCCAUAAAAAAAUGAAGGGAAACUUCACUUUUGGCCUAACCAAAACAGACCACCUACUCUUAGCGUUCUAGACAUAGCAUUGAGUUUGAUGAGGGCUUUGAAAAGAGGAGGAAUCCUCCCCGUUCCACACUAGGGGAAAAACGAGACUUGUUGUCACUCCGAAGGGAGCAGUCAAACUUAACAUUGAGUUUGACGAGGGCUUUGAAAAGAGGAGGAAUCCUCCCCGUUCCGUAGUAGGGGGAAAACGACGCUUGUUGUCACUCAGAAGGGAGAAUUCAAACUUAGAAACUAAGUCCCCACCCCACAAGAAACUUGUCCAAUGAACCUUAACACUACGAGGAUGAAUAGUAUCCCAUGCACUAGCAAUCAAAAAACCACUAUGACGACCAAGAACCCAAACCCACCUAUCACCAACAUUAGGACACGAACUUACAACUUGAACCCUAUCCCAUAAAGUAAUCAAAUACAAAGACACCCUCGACAACUCAUUCCCUUUCGAACCAAUAAACUUAGAGAGCCUAGCCUCCUAUCUACUCGUUACAUUAUAAAGCGCUCUCUCACCAACUUGUUGAAGGAUAGGACCACCCUGCAACCACGGAUCCAGGCACAGUUUACAAUGCCUACCAUCCCCAACCUCCAUCCGAACAUGCUCUUUUAGACUAGCUUGGCUAAUUCUGAUUUAUUAGAGGAAAGUUGUGUGAAGAUACAAAUUCCAAAUUCAGUUGCCAAAAGGUCAGUACUGCUUGUUGGAUCGAUAUGGCAACCCUAGAGGGGGUGAAUAGGGUUUAAAUAAUCUUUUUGACAAAUAAAAAGUAAAAUCAACCAAUUAGAUAUUUUUUUAAUUUAAAUAAAGAACUUUGUAAACUUUGUUAAAUAACAAGAUUGAUAAAAAGAUAUGAAUUGAAGUAUGCAAUCAAACUCAACCAAUAAGAAUAUGUAUCUAAAAUUGAAUUAAAAAAUAACUAGAAAAGAGUUAGAGAAGAAGACACCGUAAUUUUAUAGUGGUUCGGAUAAACUCAACCUACAUCCACUUUCCCAAGCACCUCUUGAGAUUUUUAUUGAAAAUCUUCUUUGGACUCUUUCCACGGAUUUGAGUCGGACCGAUUCUUGCUCCUUUUUCGGGUUCAAGAGUAAACCCGAUCCUUUCCACGGGUUAGGAUCCAACCGUUACAAUAUGUUGAAGUUUUUAAUUCACACAAAAGAAAACUCUCUAAAAGAGUGAGUAUACAAUUUGAAGCUCACAAAUUUAAUCCUCACAAUACAAUAAGAAGCUCUCAAGAAUAAGGUGAAAAGAAUAAAAAUUGGAAGCUUUAGAGAGAAUAACAAUGUUGGCUUUUUGCUUGAGGAUUGUAAAGAUUUAAUGAUCUUGUCUUUUAAAAUUUGAGAAAAGUGAAGUAUUUAAAAAGAGAGGAAAGAUAAAUUCAAAAUCAUUUUGGAUCAUUAGAUAUAAGUAAAAAAAAAUGAAUAGUUGAGAUUUUUAAUUAGUCGUUAGACACAAUACAAAUAAUAAUAUAAUAAUAUGUCUUUUCAAAAUAUUUUGUUUAAAAAGAAACCAAUAAAGCAACUUCACCAUCUUUUAAAAAAAACUAGCCGUUAGACACAAGGAAAAAUAAUAAUAUUAAGUCAUUUUCUUUUUAAAUUCAUUUUCUUUAUAAAAGCCAAUAAAACAUAACAAAAAGCCACAUUUGUUAUUCCUUCAUUGCUCCAAGUGGCUUUGUCUAAUUGGUUCAAAUUGAAUGCUUGGUCGCCACGUCACCAUCUCGGGUAUUUUUCCGUUAAACUUUUUUUAGCAAUAUUUUCUUCAUUUGAACUUCGAUUUGGGUGAUUCAAGAGGCGUUAGAAUCAUUUUUCCAAGCUCUACGAUAUGGUCUAUUCAAAUCAAUAAAAUUGUCAAUAAAAAAAAAUCAGAUUUGUUAUCAUCAAAACAUAAAUUAAUUGAAUAAUUAAAAUAAAUUAAUUUGAGAUUAAGGGCCAAAAAGCCAACACUGCCUUCCUCCUUAAGUAAUAAAUUUUCUCAAUCCUCCUCCAAACUUUCUGGUUCAUUCUUUAAUUUUGUGCAAGAUACUUCUUGUCUAAAAGAAGUUGAGAACUUAGAAGAUGAAUUCAUGGAAGUUGAAUCAGUCACCAGUGUAAGUAGUGUAGAAUUUGAGGAAGAAAUAAUUCAAUCAGAGACAGAGAAACGAGAGGACAGUGACUGUCUCGGUCCAGAUUUUAUUAAAUUGUUUUCCUCCCCAAAAAAAGAAAUUUUGUGCAGGUCGCAAGUAUCCUUCUCCCUCAAGAGUUGGUUCCUUUCUUGGCAGCAUGUGAAGUUGAAUUGAUAUAAGGCAGAGGUAGCAAAGAUGGAGAUUAUAUCAUGGAACGCUAGAGGAUUCAUGGGCCAUUCGAAACAAUUGGCUAUUAAAAAUCUUUUGAAGAAAGCUAAUCCAGAUAGAGCAUUGAUUCCGGAGACCAAAAGAGAAGAUAUUGCCAAUUGUAUUAUAAAGGCACUAUGUUGUUCAAAAGGAAUUGGUUCAGUCUUUGUUUGAAGCUAGUGGCAGAUUAGGAGUUUUGUUGAUUAUGUGGAUAAAUAUAAGUUGUCAAUUAUUGAAGUUCGGUCAAGAGAAGGAAGGUCAUUACAGUGUGGCUUAUAAGUUGUUUCAACAUUAAUUUAUAAGUUGUUUGGAAAGGUUCUCGCAGAAAGAUUAAAGAAAGUCAGGCCAAGUAUUACUUUGUAAGACCUCCUAUUAUCUAUACCUAUAAAAGGAAGGGUAGAAAGGGAAAUUCCUUAGCAACCAAUGAUGAGAGAAUAAUGGGAGAGGAUCGUGCAGGUGGGGCCCGUCAGGAGGGAUGAGAGAGAAGUAUAAAUAUGUAAUGUUGGGGUAGGGGAGGCUAGGUCUUUUUUUGGUUAUUUUAAGGAGAGUAAAGGUUGUUGUAGCCUGAGGGUAUCCAGCCUAGUAUAAAGGAGCUGGGUAAGUUUUCUAUGUUGUUCUUCCUUUAUUUUUCAGAUCUACUACUGUUGAAUGUGUUUUGGCUUUUACAUAAAUAAAAAUUACAGAGUGCUGCCUUGUUUAGCCAUUUGGUUAGGAUAUUUUGUGUUUUAUUGUUAGAAUCCUAACAGACUGGUAUAGGGAAUUUAUAGAAAUGGUCACUUGAAGAGUUAUUGGAUGAAUUGAAUGGGGCAACAAUUUUCUCGAAGUUGGAUAUGAAAUCAGGGUACCAUCAGAUCAGAAUGAGGGGGAAGAUAUUGAGAAGAUUGCAUUUCGUACCCACGAGGGACAUUACGAAUUCUUGGUAAUGCCUUUAGGCCUCACUAAUGCACUGCCACCUUCCAAUCUUUAAUGAACCAGAUAUUUAAACCCUUCCUAAGACGAUGAGUGUUAGUUUUCUUUGAUGAUAUAUCGUCUAUAGUACCGACAUUGUAGAGCAUGAAAAACAUUUGGGAAUGGUCUUUGCGGUUCUGAGAGACAACCAACUCUUUGCCAACAAAAAGAAAUGUGUCAUAGCACAUUCUCAAAUUCAAUACCUGGGUCAUCAAAUAUCUAAGAAAGGAGUGGAGGCAAUAGUGAUAAAAUCCAAAGUAUGGUAAAUUGGCCUCAACCGAAAGGGGUAACUGAACUCAGAGGAUUCCUAGGCCUGACUGGGUAUUAUCGGAGAUUUGUAAAAGGAUAUGGAGAGAUUGCAGCACCCCUAACCAGGCUGUUACAGAAUAACGCAUUUAAAUGGGAUGAAGAAGCUUCGGUAGCCUUCGAGAGGUUGAAGAGAGCAAUGACUACUAUUCCAGUAUUGGCUCUACCAGAUUGGUCUCUUCCUUUCACCAUCGAAACUGACGCAUCUGGAGUUGGUUUAGGAGCCGUGAUCUCCCAAAAUGGACAUCGAUUGCUUUCUUUAGCCAAACUAUCCCCAAGGCUCAAUUGAAAUCUACUUAUGAAAGGGAGCUUAUGGUUGGUGCUAUCAGUACAAAAAUGGAGACACUAUCUUUUGGGAGAAAAUUCACCAUUUUUCAGACCAGAAGGCCUUGAAAUUUUUGUUGGAACAGAGGGAAGUGCAGCCACAGUUUCAGAAAUGGCUAACAAAAUUGUUAGGGUAUGAUUUUGAAAUUCUCUACAACCGGACUUCAAAAUAAGGUUGUCGAUCCCUUUCGAGGAUGGAACCACUUGUGGAACUGAACACGAUAACGACCACUGAAUUGUUGAUAUGGAAGUUGUCAUUAAAGAGGUAGAAAAGGAUGAUGAACUUCAGAAGAUCAUAACAGAAUCGAAGAGAGAUACCGGGAAACACGCGAAGUACCAAUGGAGUGGGGGGAGAUUGUUUUACAAAGGAAGAGUAGUUCUAUCGAAGACUUCCUCUCUGAUUCCCACCUUGUUACACACUUUCCAUGAUUCCAUCUUGGGCGGUCAUUUCGAUUUUUAAGGACUUAUAAGAGAAUGAGUGGAGAAUUGUACUGCACGGAAUGAAGGAAGAGGUGAAGAAAUAUGUAGAAACAUGUGACACAUACCAAAGGAAUAAAUUUGAGGCCACCAAACCUGCAGGCGUGUUACAGCCCAUUCCAAUUCCUGAUCUAAUUUUGGAAGAUUGGUCUAUGGACUUUAUAGAAGGGUUACCUUUGGCGGAGGGAGUUAAUGUUAUAAUUGAGGUAGUAGACCGAUUGAGUAAAUACUCCUACUUUGUAACCUUGAAACACCCUUUUUUUGCCAAGCAAGUGGCUGGCGUAUUCAUUGACAGGGUUGUCAGAAAACAUGGAAUUCCUAAUCCAUCAUCUCAGAUCGUGACAAGGUUUAAUUUCCUUAGUAACUUUUUGAAGGGAAUUAUUCGAACCAUGGGUACAAACCUCAAGAGGAGCACACCUUCCAUCCCCAAGCAGAUGGGCAAGCUGAAAGAGUGAAUAGGUGUUUGGAAACUUAUCUGAGAUGUUUUUGUAAUGAACAACCUCACAAAUGAGACAAGUUCAUUCCUUGGGCAGAAUUAUGGUAUAACACAACGUUCCACACCUCCACCAAAACAACUACAUUCCAAGCAGUAUAUGGCAGACCUCCUCCUCCUCUGUUAUCCACGGACAUAAGAAGACCCCUAACAACGAAGUCGAAACUCUAUUACAGGAGAGAGACUUGGCACUUAGUGCCUUGAAGGAACACUUGUAUACAGUUCAGAAUAGAAUGAAAAAAAUGGCUGAUCUGAAAAGGAGAGAAUUGAAGUUUAAGGUGGGAGAUAAGGUUUACUUGAAGCUAAGACCCUACAAGCAACGAUCUUUCGCCCGAAAGAAAUGUGAGAAGUUGGCACCCAAAUAUUAUGGACCGUAUACCACAAUAAAAGGGAUUGGAGAAGUAGCAUACCGACUUCAGUUACCACCAGAAGCUCAUAUCCAUAACGUCUUCCACAUCUUCUAACUAAAAUUGAAACUUGGCAAGCGGCAAGAGGUAUAACUUCAACAUUCCAGCCUAACUGAAGACUUUGAAUUGCAAUUGUAUCCAGAAACAGUGCUGGGCAUACGCUGGAAUACAGAUCUGGGAGCUAAUGAAUGACUCGUGAUAUGGAAGGGAUUAGCAGAUAGUGAAGCCACUUGGGAGUCAGUUUAUCAAAUGAAUCAACAAUUUCCCACGUUUCACCUUGAUGACAAGGUGGAUUUAGAACCGAGGGGUAUUGUAAGACCUCCUAUUAUCUAUACCUAAAAAGGAAGGGUAGAAAGGGAAAUUCCUUAGCAACCAAUGAUGAGAGAAUAAUGGGAGAGGAUCGUGCAGGUGGGGCCCCAGGAGGGAUGAGAGAGAGAGGUAUAAAUAUGUAAUGUUGGGGUAGGGGAGGCUAGGUUUUUUUGGUUAUUUCAAGGAGAGUAAAGGCUGCUGUAGCCUGAGGGUAUCCAGCCCUGUAUAAAGGAGCUGGGUAAGUUUUCUAUGUUGUUCUUCCUUUAUUUUUCAUAUCUACUACUGUUGAAUGUGUUUUGGCUUUUACAUAAAUAAAGAAUUACAGAGUGCUGCCUCUGUUUAGCCAUUUGGUUAGGAUAUUUUGUGUUUUAUUGUUAGAAUCCUAAUACUUCUCCAUUACAAUGUGGCUUUCUGGAAGAGUGCCAAAUCUUGGAUCCUAUUUUAAUAGCAAAAGAAACUUGGAGGUAUAUAGUAUCGAAAAAAGAAAAGAUGGAUCAUUAAAUUAGACCUUGAAAAGGCCUUUAACAGAGUGGAUUGGAAAUUUUAGAAAAUGUAAUGCAAAAGAAGAUCUUCGACGUAGGAUAUUGUGUUAUAUUGGCCAGCCUUUACAGCAUCCCCACUUUGAAGUCUUUGAUGAUCAGGACUUUCGGAUCAGCCCUCUGCUUCAAACAGUUUUUGCUCAACCAAUCAAGGCUUAUUCUUCUUUGUUCUCAGCAUGCUGCCUUUGAUUAUGAUUUUGCUUUGGAAAGAUUCUUUUUAUCAUUUUGUUUGUCUUUGUUUUUGUGGCUUUUUGUUUUGAUCUUGUGUUGUCGCUUUUUGGAUGUUUUGAGGGCACUAAGGGGGUGUCAACCUAGUUUGAGAUGCCCGGAUGCGCCUGUUGAUCUUCCCUCUCCCCUUUUGCUCUUUGUAUAAUCCUCAUGUACAUUGAGCUUUGUCUCUUUCUUUAUAUUAAUAAUAGUGAGACUCGUAUCCUUUUUUAAAAAAGAAAGAAAAUUCAAUUAUAUAUCACCAACACUCUCCUCACUUGUGGGCUUGAAAUAUUUGAAAGGCCCAACAACUGGAAAUGGAUUUUAAUUGGGGAGGAAACGACAAUGCGAGGCUUGAACGAGACCUUCUUGGACCACCUGCUCGGAUACCAUAUUGAAAGGGAGACAAACAAACACACAACUUUACGUGGAAACCUGUGUACCAGGAGAAAAACCACUAUAUUUUUCUUCUUAUUAUUUUCUGAUGAAAAAUACAAUAGGUACAAGGGAGAAUAAAUAGAAUAUACAGAGGAAUAAAAAAGGAAAAUAUUUAGGAAUUAAGAAAAAUAUUCCCAUAAACUUUUCAUAAAUAUUCUAAGAUUCUAACAAUAAAAAGUUCUUUUAUUCCAAAUUGUGACUGCUCUAAUGUGCAGUUGUUUUCUGAUUUAGAUGAUUGAGGAGCUUGGUGGUUCUCUCACUGCUGAUGGGAGUACAAGCACUCAUGUCAUUACAGGAAAAGUGCGGAAAACUCUAAAUUUUUGUAUUGCUCUUUCUUAGUCUUGCAACCUUAGACGAACACUCUUCUAUGUGUCCUUUUGGCCUUUGAAUACCGAUAAUCAUCUCAUUUGCACCAAAGUUAGCGAUUCCAUGCACACAAGGCCUUUGCCGUUAUUCUUCCAUUGCCUCGUAGUUGUGCUUAGGCUGGAAAUUGUUGUGAACCUUCUAGAUCUAAAAGGGCAUAGUUUCUUAUUCUACUGCCUGUUUACUUUUAGUUAAACAUCAAAAUCAAUUCUUAUGUUUGAGUUGGAUUGUAUCAUGCUCUUCCUUUUCAGUUGUUUCUAUCGUGAUGGUGGGUAGUGGUUGUUAAGACAACCAUUAGGCUAAUUUGGGUUUCAGGCUUACUUUUCCCAUUUUACGUGUAAAAUGGCUCAAGCUCACUAAUGAAAGAUAUUUGUUGGCUAGCUAGUGUUUUUAUCCUCGAUUUCCUUCUUCCCCUAAUACAUUAUGUUAUGGAAUUUGUUAGAUACCUAGAUUAGUAUAGGGUUGGGGUAUAAGGGUAAUUAGAUAUUUAGGAAGUUACUAGUAGUUAUUGUGUAAGUGUGGUUACUAGUAGUUAUUAUGUAAAUUUGGUAACUAGGGUGGUUACAUCUUAUUAUAAAUGGAGGGAGGGUAAGUGGGGAGAAUUCUAGGGAGUGAUAUAAGGCUUGGGUGAGAGUACUCAAGAGGGAAGGUUCCAAAGCUUUAUACUUGGUUUUAUCUUGUAUUUUCUUAUAGUUACAUUAUAAUAAAUUCAGAUCUUGUUCUUGUUAGGAAGUAUCUGUCUCCAAUAUUAUUUAAAUACAGUAGAAGAAUUAAAAGGGUAAUAUUGUCCCACACGAGAAUAUAGGAGAGAUUAUAGGAGGAGAGAAUAUUGGAGGAGAUCUUUCCCAUUAGUUUGUUAGUAAAGCAAAAUAAAAUGGAGGAAAGAGGAGGGAGAAAGGGGAGAAAAUAUUCCAAAGAAGUAGAGGCUGCCGUCUUUCGGGAGAACUAGAGGUCCAAGUCAAGUUCUUUUUAUUGUUUGUUUUGUAAUUUUCAUGGUUGUGUUUGUUCUUAAUUUUUCUUGUUCUUUGUGUGAUCCUCACUAGAGUGAGCCUUUAGGAAGUAGAUGUGAGUGAUUUUCUAUUCUCUAUAUUGUAAUUCAUUGAGGUAAUUCAAUAAAGUAAGAUACACUUGCCAUAUAUUUACAGUAUCUUAACAAAUUGGUAUCAGAGCAUUUUUACUUGGGAGAACGAUAGAGCAGCACAAAAACGGAUCGAGGAGAAGUUGGAGACCUCUGAUAAGGAAAUCUCGGGGAUACAAGUGGAGUUACACAAGUUGCUGGCAACUGAAGAAAACUUGUUAUCCUUGCAAAAAGCAUCGAAAGACUGGUUAUCUAGUUGGAAAAACAAAACGGUUGCUAAAUGCAUCGAAGGAAGAGCAGAAGGAUAAUUCGACAAUCUCCGGAAGAAUGGAAGGAUCGUCGAGCAAGACCAACGAUUGAGAGUAUCAAUAAAGGUGGAGGUAAGACAUUGAAGGAAAUCAAGGUAGAAGGUAAAACAAACAAGUUUGAAAGGGAUGAAAAUCGAACGAUCAUAGCAAAUUCAAAAAGGUUGAAAUGUCUGUGUUUAGUGCACUGAUCUGGAUUGAGUUUAUUUAGAACAGAUUGGAAUCUUCAGGUCCAUAAAUCGAUGGAUUCCAAGAAGUUUCUGAAUCCAUAGAAGAAUCGAGGAAAACGCGAUUGCAACGGUUAUACAACGAAGGUGAAGAGGAUGGCAAAGAGUGACCAAGAAGAAACUAUAGAGGAAGGUCGACGAGGAUUACCUGUGAGGCUCGAAAUGAAGACUCGAGUGAAGAAAAAUUUGUUGCUCAAAGAAACAGAAAAUGGAUGGUUGCAAUGGAGAAAGAAGAAGUCGGCAGUUACCGGUCUACGGAGGCUCGAGAAGGUGGUCUGGAAUAGGGGUGAAUCACGUGACGAGGAAGAAGUUGCUGCACACGUGAUGGUGCCAAUGACGUGGUAGAAAUUGGUAUGAAAGAGGAUUAGGACAAAAGGUAUGAAGAUAUUAAAUUAAUUUUAAACUUUUCACGACGUUUGGUUUUUUGUGCAUCGUGGAAUGUCUUUUCGCCGACGCAUCCAAUGUGGCUUCGCCGAAAGGUGGUCAACACCGACGAAUCUUUCGCCGACAUUGUUUCUGGCAUCGUAAUUAUUCCAAUUUCUUGUCGUGGCUUUUUUUUUCUUCAGAAUUUCAUAUUUGCCCUUAUUGGUUUAUAACAAUUUUCAAUUCUGAUUUUUCUUUUUCUUGAUUUUUUUCACUUUCUUUUCGAGUUAUUCAUAUUUUUUUUAUAUAUUUUUCAUCUGGAUCUUUCUUUCUCUUAUUUAUCAUCUUCGACAAUAUUCUUUCUCUUCUUCGUCAUCUUCGUCAUCAAGAUUGUUUAUAUUACUCUGUCAAUAUCAUUGCAGUGAUAUUGUUUUGGUGAGAAUUCUAAAUAUUAUAGAAAAUUAUAACUGUUUAGACGAUUAUAAAAUUUUGUUUAGAAUUCUAUAUCUUUCCCUAUGAAGAUCAUUUUUGUUUUUGUUUGUGGUAAAAAUUGUAAAUUUUGUUUUUGUUUAAAUAUUUAGAAGAUUUAAUUAUUAUUGUAAGAUAUUCUAUAUUUCAUUAUGAAGAUCGAUAGUUUGAUGGUUCAUGAUUGUGUACAUUGAACUAAGAAAUUUAUAUUUCACUAUGAAGAUAGUUUUUGUUUUUUCUUAUUAGUAAGAAUUCUAAAGUUUGUUUUUGUUUCAAAUUUUUACAAAUUUUAAGUAUUAAUGUAAGAAUUAUGUACUUCAUUAUGAAGAUCGAUAGUUUGAAGUUUUUGACGAUAAUUUACAUGAAAUUAUACGAUGAGUUACCACUAUCAAUAGAAUUACUUACAAAUAUUAACACGAUCGUGUACCGAUAACAAGACGAUUGUUUACACUAUUCAAUACGAUCACCAAGAUCAUAUGAUCGUGUACCCAUGUCAACAUGAUAAUUUAUUUUAAUCAAUACUAUCAUUUACCAUUGUCAAAUGGUCGUUUAUCAUGGUUAAUAGGAUCGUUUAAUGUAUAUUAUUUCAUUGCACGAUCGUUUACUUAUUCUUGCAUUGUGUUUAGUAUUAUCAUUUUGUACAUUUUAUUCUUUCAUUCAGUAAUAAAUGUAUAUCUAUGUCUAUCUAUUUCUUUCUAUCACAAUUAAAUACUUCAUUUUAUUUUAUUUAUUUUUUUACAGAUUAUAAUGUCUUUUCCUAUUGUUGUUUUUUAUGGAAGUCAAUGGAAUGGAUGUAAAUAUUUAUAAGAAUUACUUAGUUGCUGGAAAUUUUGGUAGAUGUCCAAGUCAGCUUUAAUUCUCUAGUUGAUUUAAUAUGUGAACAGAAUUCAAUUGGAUGGAUAAGUAGAAUUAUCUGUUUUACUUGAUUUUGGUAAAAGCAAGGUCCAACUGUGGUGCCAGUAAAGAAAGACAAUGAUGUGGCUUGGUAUUUAUCUUUUGCUAAAGAUGCAACUGGUAUACAUCCAUUAGUUGCUCUAGUGUAUGAUAGAAUGUUGAUAUGUCAUUGAAUGUAGGUUCUCCUUCUUAUGUUUCAAAUGAUGAAUUUAUAAGAACAUCUCAUAUCAUGGUGAUUUGAAGGAAAAUAGUUUAUUUGAAAGUAAAGAAGUGCUUUCAAAGUGUUUUGGCAUAAUAGAGUGAAUAAACUUUCAAUUUAGAACUACAAUAUCAAAUUUGGGUCUCUUGAAUUUAGAUGUUUACUAGAAGGGUGCAAAUGGUUAUUAGGACAUCUCGUUAUAAGAAGAGCGAAUUGUGGAUGCUAUGAAAAUACAUUUAUGAACAUGACUGUUCAUUGAAUACUAGUUGUCACAUGCAAGUUUCUUCAACAGUAAUUGACAGUUUCUUGAUAGAUUAGUUCAGCUUCAUGUCUACUGAUCGUUUCAUUCCAAAACAAUUUUGCAUAAGCAUGUACAAAUCUUGGAGUUAAUAUAAGUUAGCAGAAAGCUUGGAGGGCAAAAGAACACAUAGUAAAGAUAUUAAAAGGUGACAUAGUUAAAUCAUACAUGUUGAUUCCAAUGUUUUUGAUAAAUUGGUUGAAUCUAUCUCAGGCAUAAUGAGUUUCAUAUAUCGAAUUUAAAUUCAUUUGAAGAUAGAUGGGGAUAGACAAAUGUUACAAUCUAUCUAGAUAGACAAAUAUCACAGUCUAUCUAGAUAGACAAAUGUUAGCAUUUAUCACAGUCUAUCUGUUUUUCUUAUUUUGGGUGUUGGAUACAUCCACUGCUUUUAGAGAUGGAUGAUAACAGUCACUUCAAGUUUUACUUUAUGACUUUUGGUGCAUCAAUUGAAGGGUGAAAAUAUUGUAGACCUAUCAUUUUUAUUGAUGGCACAUUUUGAAGUGUAAGUUUGGUGACGUCCUAUUAACAACCUCAUCAUAAGAUAACAAUCAAAUCUUCCCUUUGCUUUUGCUAUUGUAGGUUUGAAAAUGAUGUAUCAUGAACAUGGUUUUUGAGAAGAUACGAGGUAGUUUUUCAGAGCAAGCUAAUUCGGUCAUUGUUUCUUAUAGGCAUCUUAGGAUCCUUAAAGGAGUUUUAAGAGUGUUUCUUGAUGUUGAAUAUUGUGUGUGCACAAAACAUCUAUUAAGUAACUUGAAACUCCAUUUUAAGGAUCCACUACUUGAUAAAUACUUCUUUAGUUGUGCUUAUGCUUACACUGUUGAUGAAUUUGAGUACCACAUGAAAUGUAUGGAGUUAGUUUGUCCAAAUAUUAGAGAUUAUCUUAGCAGUGUUGGUUUGAGAAGUGGUCUCAGACAUAUUCACAAAGAUGAAGGUAUAGAAGGAUGACAUCAAAUUGUGUAGACAGUGUAAAUUUAGUUUUUAAAGAUCUUAGAGAACUACAUGUAGCUACCAUGCUUAGUUCAAUUAGAGAUGUAUUGCAAAAGUGGUUUUAUGAAAGAAGUAAAGCUACUUUUACAAUGAAGAGUUGUUUGACUUCUUGGGCUGAGAACGUGUUGCAUUUAGAAUAACAUGAAAAGUCAAGAAUUUUAUUGGUAAGGUUUUUUUUUUUUUUUAAUGUUUGUAUCUCAGGUAGAUAUAAAUAGACUGCUAUUUUUGUCUAUCCGAUAGAGAAAUAUAACAAUUUAUGUGUGCUUAUUUCAGAUAGAUAGAGAUAGAUAGCUAUCAAUGUCUAUUUGUCUCUAUUUGUGCAUGUUUUUUUUUUUAAUUUUUCUAUAUUUGUUUUAUGUAUUAGGUUGAUCCAAUUAGCAUGACUGAAGACAAAGUAAUGGAUGAUACAAAAUGAUAAUGUGAUUUAUUUAUAUUUGUUCUAAUUUGAAAUAUUCAAAUUUACUUUGGGAAUUAGUAUAAUUAGUAUAAUGUAUAGUGAUGCAUUAUAAUAUAAAGUUUAUAUGUUAAUGAAACUUUAUUAUAUAAAUUUAAUUUUGGAUAAAGUUCAAAAUUAAUUUAUGAGAGAUAAAAUAUUUAAAUGAGUUUAAAUAUUAAUUUAAUGUGGAUUUGUUUCAUAUUAAAAUUAUUAAUUAUGAGAUAAAGCUAUAUUUGAAUAUGAUUCAAAUUUAACUUAAGUUAAAUAUAAAAUAUUUAAUUUUGUUAUUAAUUAAUUGAAGAAUUAAUUAAUAGUUUAGUUUAAUAUUAUUUAAUUAAAUUAAUAUAAAAAUAAGAUAUUGGAGAGAUAUUCAUUCAAUAAGAUUUAAAUGAAAUAUUAAUUAAAUAUGAUUAAUUAAUUAUUAACUAAUUGAUUAAUGGUUAAUUAGUUAGUUGAUUUGAAACUUCUAUUAAUUUAAUAUUUUUUAAGUUAAUAGAAUCCUAUGAUUCUCUCCUACCCCGUCUCCUACUCAAUGAAAGAAAGAGAGUUAUAAAUAUUUAGAAGAAAAACAGCUUUUCUUAACCAAAUAAAACAUAUGAUUUUCUUUUCUGCAAAAUAGAUUGUAACGACCUAAUUUUUCGAAUUAAGCUGAAGUUAUUACUUUAAGACUAGAUUCGUCCUUUAACCAUAAGACUUUAUAAUUUAAAAAAAAAAAAAACUUAACAACAUUAAAGAAUUUUUAUUCGGGUUCUAUCUCAAAUAAAAUUUUGAAAGUUUAAAAGUAUCGAUAAUAAAGAAAAGUUCAAGAACAUAAAAGUUGUUCAAUCAUGAAACCCAAAACAAUCUCAAUUACUAAAGAAAACCAAAAUAAAAAAAAUAUAAAGCAGAAGCAAUUUGAAGGACAUUUCCCUAUGGCAGUUUCGUGGAAAAAGAUUAAACAUAAAAGGGUGAAUAUAAACAUACCCAGUAAGAGACCCACUACUGAUCCUAUUAGGAGAAAAAUAAAAUUGUUAACUUCCUAUUGGAGGUGCCCUGCACUUUAAUAGUCUUGUGAUCAUGUGGGAAUACACAUAAUUAGUUCAAUGCCCUAAAGGACACAAUAUUAGUUUAGUGCUCUGCAGAAAGCAUGGCUGUAUGUAAAACUAACUUAGUUUGUAACUCAUAACUUACCAAAAAUUUCAAAAAGUGUGAAAAAAAUCUUUCAAGACUCAAAGUGGCAACCAUGGCUGUAUGUAAAACUAACUUAGUUUGUAACAACCUAAAAGGUGUUCAAAAAAUGUUUAAGUAUCACUCGAACUUUAAAAACGACCUAAUAAUGCUUUAGUGUUACUUCAUAACUCAUAACCUACCAAAAAGUUCAAAAAAUGUAGAAAAAACACUGCAAAAUUCAAAAUGGCAACCAAGUGUGUAAGUGUAACAAACUUAGUCUCAACUUUAAAAUUAGUGCGAGUUGGGAAAUGUAUUAACUCAAGCAUGAUGUACAAACUUGAAACGACUUAAAUAUUUAUUCACCAUCACAUAAAAAUAGUAAUUAAAUAUAGAUAACAUGUGUAGAUAAAGGGAGAAUCACCUUUCUAGCAGUAGCUUUAGAGUAAGACCAAACACCAUCUUCCUACUUGUAAAUCUGCUCGAUUGUCUACUUUGUUCUACACUCGUCAUUUCACCGUCUCAAGCCAUCCAGCCUUGGCAUACAAUAGUAUGUCUCCGCCUGUUAACAAAUACCACUAAAACUAAGCAAGACAAAGAAAAAAGUUUUAAAAAAAUUACCUAACUUUUAGGUCUUCAUGUGACCUUUAAGUUCUUCUGUCUUCUCCUUCAACUCUUUGACAGAUUGCUGAAAUUAUGUGUUUCUGCAAUGUUUACCAGAACAUGAAAGAUUCAUUACGAAAAAACAGUCAAUACAAGAAGAAAAAAGUUCACUUGAAAACGACCUAAAACAGUAUCACUUGAACAAAAUGUGUCUAAGUAUCACUUGAACUUUCAAAACGACCUAAAACAAAAUGAGUUACGAACCUACACGUAAGCUUUUUUAGGUCGUUUUGAAAGUUCAAGUGAUACUUAGACAUGUUUUGAACUCGUUUUAGGUUGGUUUGACACUAAGUUUUAAACACAUUUGAUUGACAUGUUGGGUCUUGAAGUACUUUUUUCACACUUUUUGAAAUUUUGGUAGGUUGUGAGUUACAAACUUACACUUAAGCAUUGCUGGGUCGUUUUGAAAAUUCAAGUGAUACUUAAACGUUUUGAAUACAUUUUAGGUUAGAUUGAGUUUGUUGCACUUACACACAUGGUUGUCAUUUUUGGUCUUGAAAUGCUUUUUUCAACCUUUUUGGUAGAUUAUGAGUUACGAACUUACACUUAGGAUUUGCUAGGUCGUUUUGAAAACUACAAUAAUACCUAGACACGUUUUGAGCACCUUUUAGGUUGGUUUGAACUAAGUUUGUUGCACUUACACACUUGGUUGCCAUUUUGGGUCUUGUAGUGCUUUUUUCACAAUAUUUGAACUUUUUUCGUAGGUUAUGAGUUACGAACCUACACGUAAGCUGUUUUAGGUCAUUUUGAAAGUUCUAGUGAAACUUAGACACGUUUUGAGCACGUUUUAGGUCGUUUUGAGCAGGUUUUAGGUCGUUUUGAGUAAAUGGUAUGUAUGUUGUGAUUGUUUGAUUGCAUGUAUAAUACUUAUUGAGAUGUGAAUGCUUGAUUGAGAAGCUGAUAGAACACCAAGUAAUGGUUCUUAUUUGUUCAUUAAGCAACCAAACUAUUACAGAUACAAUACUCAAACCAGUCAUGAAAACACAGAACAAACAAGUACUAUUACAGACAAUAACCAAGUACAAAAUAAAACAUUCAAACAUCAAAAGUAGUUUACGAUAAUGGAAAACACUUUCUAAGAUUAAAGUAACUGAACAACUUCUGUAAUUAUGCUGCUCUCAGAAAAUACAGCCCUCCACUUCCAGAAACUGAUUAACCAACCCCCAUCUUUCCUUCCAUCUCUCCCUUUUAACUCCCCCUGUAACUAACUAUUGUCCCCACUAAGGUGGUUUCCACUUCCUCCAAUUCCAUUGCAAUUCCACUUGUCUUUCUUAUGCUAUAUUGUAUUGCAAUUGGUGGUCUAUCAUUACUCUCCCUCUCCAAAGUCACCUUGUUCUCAAGGUGGGAAAUGAGGAAGCUUUUGUGUAAAAUCAUCACAAUUCUCCCAUGUAGCCUCAUGAGGUGGUAUUCCUUUCCAACUAACAAGCACUUCCCACUUCUUUGUUGUGGAUUUUUAGGAUAGCCAAAAUUGUCUGCUGGUAGUAACUCUUGAAAUGUAGGAACAUCAUCAAUUCCAUAUAGUUCGGUAAAUGUCAUUCCUCCUCCAUAGCUCGACAUUUUGUCAAGAAACCUUAAUCAGAUGGUGUCCAUGUCUCCAUCAUGUGUUACAGACUCACUCUAGUCUUUGUCAAACUCGGGUCACCCCUUAUAACAACAUUCUUUUCAUUUUGUAUGAAAGUUAAAGUGAGUUUCCGCCAAUCCACUUCAGUUACCCAACGUGUGCAGCCAUUGCAUUCCAAGGAUGACAUCCUGAUAGAACAUUAAUGUAGUGUUUCUAUUAUAUUGAUAAUUCAAACACAACUUACAACAUAAGCAAAUCGUGAACCUUAGAAAAUGAGUCACGUUACAUAUAAUUCACAAACAUCAAACAAAAGAAAAACCUCCUAAUCCAAAAUUCUAAACAACAAAAUACUAAUAAGCAAACCAGAAUAUAGAACACCAAUCUUCUGCUUCCCCAGUCUUUCAAGGAGUAUUGCAGACCUUUUUCUUCACUCCAAAAAACUCACUUUAACAAAGAGGCAGCCACAUUUUCAGGUAAGAAAAUAAAGUAGGUAGUAUGUAGGAAGGCUAACCAAAACUGAGUUGCAUAAGGUUUGUCUUCCGCCUCUAGAGAUGUUAUAUCUUUUCCACCUUCAAGUUUCUUGUGAAUUCGAUCAAUGACUGGUUGCCAAAAAGACUUUUGUCGAGGCCAAAGGGAGACGGAGACCUAAAUAUAUAAUCGGAAGCUUUUCUAGCUUGCACCCUAUCAGAUUUGUUGUUUGAAACAAAUCUUCCUCUCCCACAUUAACGCCGCUAAGGGCUGAUUUUUCCCAGUUUACUUUCUGCCCCAAACACCAUUCGAAUAAUCUAAUGACGUUUUAAAGUUUAAGGAGCAUCUUCACAUCAUACUUACAAAAGAGAAGAGUAUCAUCGACAAAUUGAAGCAAAGGGAGGUGGAUCAAGUCUUUUGCCAAACAAGGAAACCUUCAAACUGGCUGUUAAUAUGAAGCUUGUUUAUGAUUUCUCCUAAAACCUCACUUACUAGGUGGAAAAAAAGGGGGAGAGAGGGUCCCCUUGGCGGAUACUUCUAGAUGCUGUUAUCUGGCCUCUAGGCUUACCAUUGAUGAAGACUGAAUACUUUGGAUUUUUGAGGCAGCCCAUUAUCCAUGAUAUCCAUUUGGAACUAAACUUUUUCAAAGAUAAUUUUUUUUCUAAAAGUUCCAAUUCACCCUAUCAAAGGCUUUUUCCAAGUCAAGUUUUAAAAUCCAUCCUUUUUUCCGUUUUGCUCUAUAAUCUUCCACGGCCUUGUUAGCAAUUAAUUUGGGUCAAGAAUUUGCCUACCUUCAUAAAGGCGCUUUGAGUGGGGCUUAUAAUUGCAUCCAUAACUUGUUUUAGACGUUCAGAUAAAACCUUUGCAACGACCUUGUAUGCUAACGUAGUAAGGCUGAUUGGACGGAAAUCCUUGCUAGAGUCACAUUCUCUUUUUUCUACACUAAACAAAUGAAGUUUUCUUGGAUGCAAGCAUUUAAUCUUCCAUUUAUGUGGAAAUCAGACAUUAGUGAUUUGAACAUAUCCUUUAAAAUAGACCAUUGGGUGAUUAGGAACUUCACUGUGAAGCCAUCUGGGCCCAGAGCUUUAUUGUUGCCAAGUGCCUUUAAUGCCUUAAAGAUCUCCUCCACUGAAAACUGGGCAACAAGAGCCUCAUUCUGAAUUGAGGAAACACAAAGACCAAUUACUGUUAAUAGGGAUGAAUUGUCCCCCGGAAUUCUGGUAUAAAGUGACUCAAAAAAUUCCAGCACCCCAGCCUUUCAAUGUCGUGGAAUGAGUCGAGACAACCCAUCAUCAUCUUUUAAUUCAGUUAUGAGGUUCCUUCUUUUUUUCGCAUUUAGAAAGCGGUGGAAGAAGCCCGUAUUCUCAUCACCCAAAGAUAGCCAAUUGAGUUUACUCUUCUGAAUAAAAUUCCGCUCUUCAUUUUAAUAAAUACUAAGUAAUUCCGCUUGCAAAGCAGCUCUAGAAUUCAACUCUUCUUGAUUUAAUCCAAUCAACUCAGCCACAGAAUCAUAUUUUUCUAAUUUGACAUCAAGGAUUUCUCUGUUUUUUUUUUUACCUUAGCUUGCGCAGCAAUAUUCCAAGCUUUUACUGCCAAUUUAACUAAUCUCAACUGCUCAUGAAGAAUGAAACCAACCAUCCCUGGAAGUUAGAGUUGCUCACUGUUUCAACAAUAAUCUGAUUAGAAUCACUGGGACACCAACCAGCUGUUACAAAACCAAAAGGAGAGGGACCCCAAAGAAAAUAAGCAACCUCCAAGAAUAAAGGAAAGUGAUCCGAGAAGAUGCAUGCUUUUCGAGAAACCUGAGAAUUUUCAAAACAAACAUCCCACAUCUGAUUUAUGAAGAAUCUGUAUAAUAAUGAUCUUCAAGGAGAAUUACCGUCUCUAGACCAAGUGAACCUUCCAUUUUGCAAUGGAAUUUCCAUGAGAGAAACCAUGUCAAUAAACAUAUUGACUAAUGACAUUCCUCUAGUACUUCUACCAAAAGGAAAUCUUUCCCAGACCCAACGAGUGAUAUUAAAAUCCCCACCUAUGCACCAGGCCACAGCCGAACAAUCAGCUAACGAAGACAAUUCGGGCCAAACCAAUUUUCCUUUCUCUGCAACCACAAGGGCCAUAGACAUUUGUGAUCCAACAAAACUUUUUGCACAAAGUGAGGCAUUUGAUUGACAAAGAGAAGCGUCUUUUUAAUGACCUCUGUUACAGAUAUUUUAUUGCUGUCCACAUGGUAAGAAUUCCCCCAGAAGAUCCCAUAGAAACCACAUAAUCCCAGCCAAUAUCCUUAGAACUCCACAAUGAUUUUAUAAAAGCCGAGUUCAAGGUAUCAUUCUUAGAUUCUUGAAUCAUGACUACAAUUGUUGAUGAAUUUUUUAAGUGCUGCACGUUUAGAGGAGUCGUUCAACCCUUAGUGUUCUAGGAGACAACCUUAAUAAUGACUGGGAGGAGCAAAAGGCAGUUGCACAUCUAAUUAAGCCAGAAUGAUUCCACAAUCAUCGACUAUAGACACUAAAUCUUUAGGCAAAUCCAAGGAAUUUUAAUAGGGAGAAUAUCUUUAUCAUUGAACAAGACAUUCAGAUCCAUCCAUUAAUUUCUGGGACUAAUUUAGGGUCAACUUCAGUGUUGGGGACUGCCAAUUUAACUGAUCUCAACAGUAAGUUGAUUAAGUUGGGCAGUAGGAGGACACGAGACAAGGCAUCUGCUGCUUUGUUUUCUAGUCCGGUUUAUACACGGCAUCAAAAUUGUAGCCAAGAAGCUUAGCAAUCCACCCUUUGUUCCAAUAAAAGUUUCAAUGAUCGUUGAUCAGUUUUCACUACAAACCUCCAGCCCAAAAGAUAAGGUCUACAGCGUUGCACAGCCAAAACUACAGCCAUUAAUUCCCGUUCAUAAACUGGUUUAGCACGAUCCCUCAUAGCUAAUGUCUGGCUAAAAUAAGCAAUUGGCCGAUGAUUUUUGAAUUAAGACAGCACCUACCCCGUAUCUAGAAGCAUCGGUCUCUAUUUCAAAUGGUAAGGAAAAUCUGGCAGUGCUAAGAUUGGGAGAGUCAUCGUAGCCAUCUUUAAAUUCUCAAAAGUUUCAGCAGCUGCAACAGUCCAUUCAUAAGCUCCUUUCAUCAAUAAUUGAGUCAAAGGAGCAGCCACACUUCCAUAAUUCAUUACAAAUCUUCGAUAAUAUCCUGUCAACCCAAGAAAUCCACGAACCUCACGGACAUUAUGUUGGAAUUUUUUGUCCUAAAACUCGUAGUUUGUAAAUCAUAUUCUAUUCAAUAAAGUUGUUAUUGAGAAAUUAAAUAUUAUAAUCUUAAAUCCAAUAAAUCAAAGUUCCAAGGCUAUUUUUUGAAUAAACUUGAACUUUAGUGUAAACAUAAACGUGGAUCAAGUUCGAGUAUAUAGCCUAAAUAGUCUAUAGUGUAUGAAAUAAAGGUUGCGGCGCUUAUUUAGAGAAACUAUGGAUGCGGCCCACUUUGUAGUACAAACGAGGUGAUCCUAAUCGUUCAUGUAGAGACAUGAAAGUGGGGGCAUCCUAUGUAAAAUGUUUACAUAAGACUGAACCAUGAAUAGUCAUUUUUACGUUAUAACACCGUUUACUGUUUAAAACUGACUAUCUCAAUUAUUGAUGACCUAGGUAACUUAGUCUUAAUCCUGAGUUAACUAUGAACUCCUGUUCAUACGAGAUUAUCCUUAGAUCUGCAUAGGUGAGGGCAGCUCAUCAGCGUUGGCCCAAUAAGCCUCCCAUUUCAGGGGUAAGAUCGGGUGGAUAGCUGGGAACAUAGGGUACAAGAUGGAAUUCACUCCUACCCGCUUUAGGGUUAGUAGAUAGGUUGCUCUCUUAAGCACUGAAUCCAAGUCUUGAACAAGGGGCCCCACCCUCUCACUGGCCCGAGAGGGAUUAAGUUUAUAGGUUGAACCUUAAACCAAUUGUUCAAUAGUGGAUUAGUGGGACUUAAGGAGCAAGAUGUAAUCUUGGGGGUAAAACGGUAUUUUGACCCAGCCAAGGUUACGAGCAACCUGUGAAGGAUUAACUUACUGAUUAUGGUUUUAUCAAAUGGACACAAAUAUAUCUAUAGUGAGGGGAGUGCAACUACGGGACUUUAGUGGAAUGACCCGUUAGUUAACGAAUGUUGAUUAACUCGGUUUAAAAGAGUUUAGCUAGUUAAUCUUGAAUCGUUGGAGCCCAUGAUCUAUAGGUCCAUUAGGUUCCUCUGCUAGCUCAUAUGGAUUAAACUUAGAACAGUGUGAUGAAAUAAGUCGAAUUGUUCGAAUAGGCGAGAAGAAAGGAAAACCGACAUAUACAGUGAUAUAAUCGUCGGUCUUCUAAUUAGAAAUAGAGCUUUAUGUUUUACAUACUAUAAGUAUGAAUGCAGAUUCAUACUAAGAAGCUCGGAAUUGGUCAAAAAUAGUAAAAAAGUCAAAAUGUUGACUUUUGACUUUGAAAAGUCAAACUUUGACCGGCCUUAUAUUCAAAUGUGAUUUGAAUUUUGGAAAAAUGAAUGCGGAUUCAUGCUCGGGAGGUUGGAAUUAGUCAAGACGGACAAAAUGGAAAAAAGUCAAAAUAUUGACUUUUGACUUAGAAAAGUCAAAGUUUGACUUUUGACUAGAAAAUCUAAUGACCAUUUUUACCCUUGGACUAAGUUAGUGGGAAAAUCCAACAUUUUGUUGGAUAAUCCCACUAACUCUUAGUGGGAUAUGUGGCUAUAUGAGAUAUAGACACCUAGCCCACUAAGUUCCACUAAUUGUUAGUGGAAUAUUAGGUGUUGAGAUUUGGCAAUUGAAUUGCAUGCAUUUUUGCAUGUAAUUAGGCUAUAAAUAGAGAUGUUUUCAAAUGUUGAAGGACUUUUGCCUCUUUUAUCAUUUUCAUAAUCUCAACAAAAGAAAAAAGAAAGCUUCCAAUCUCAUUUUAUCUCCAUUACUUUCUACACCAAAAUUGGGUCCCACAACCCGGUUCUUUGUCUAGAGGAUAGCAGUUGAGUACUAGUGGUGGUCUCGGGUAGAAUUGGUAAGAAGACAUCAAACCUUUUGAAAGCUUCAAAGGUAAUACUUCUUAAAACCCUAAUUUGAUUAGUUUAUGGUUAGAUGUUAAUUGUGGCAAUUAGGGUAGAAAUUCGAUUCUUUUUCCGCUGUGCAUGACUUAGUUCUAUCACAUUAGUGGGCACGGGCCAUUCUUUGAUAGAUCUAAUUUUCUCGGGAUCAACCUCUACACCUUCGCCCGCGCGCCUUCGCACGACCCGUGUGCGCCUGGGCCGGUUCAAGCCAAUAAAUUUGGUUUUUGGGCCGGUUCAAGCGGUUUCGGUUGGUUUUUUAGCCGGUUCGAAUUUUUGGGAGUGGUUCUGUACUACACCAAAUUAAUUAUGUAAUAAUUUAGCACUUAGCUUAAUUUAGGAGCCAAAAAUCAGUCCAUUUUAGGGUGUUUUUUUUUAUUUAUGCAUGUGAUGUAUGAUUAAAUUACUUUAAAUUUGUAUGUGCAUUUUGAAUGUCAUAUAGAUUUAAAAUCCCACCAUAGGUUAACAUGUUCAUGCAUUAAAAUGUAUGAUAUAAAGGUUAUAUUGUAUUGUAUGCAUGUUAAUUGAUUAAUAUGGAAAUUAAUUAAUAUGAUUAAUUAAUUAUUUAAUUAAUUAAGUUAUUCUUGAUUAAAUAUGAUUUAAUCAAAUUAAUUAAUUAUUGUUUGAUUUAAUUUAAUUAAAUAUGAUUUAAUUAAAGUUAAAUAAAUUAAAAUCCAUAUUAAUUGAUUGUUUUUAUUAUAUAUUGAUAAAAUGAUUGAUUAAGUUUAAAAGUUUUUAUAAGUGUUAUAAAAUAAAUUAGACUUUUAAAAUCAAUAACAAAGAUUAAAUGCAUGCUCACUUAGGUUAAACAUAUCUUCCAUUUUUCAUAGAAAUAGGUCGAUAUCUUGUAAAACUGGUUACAAAAGGCUCACCUGGUUCAAUCUUGUCAACAAGUCAGAUAAGAUGACUAAGGUUGGAGGUUCUUAAGUUGACGGUUUACGGAACACCUCCUACCUGGAGAUCGUAAUCAGUUCUUGAGCCUAGUUAACCUAGUUUUAUGAGCAUUCGUGAGAGGUGUGAGGUAAUAAAAAUGGUUUUUCACCUAGACAUCAUAGGUUAAAAUCCUGUAUAAUGGUUAUACUUGGAUGUUUUAUCUAGACUUAAGAUUUGUUUAAGUUAGCCUAAAUAUAAAUCUUGAAGUUUGGAUUACCCUAUUUUUUCUUUUAGAACACUUCAACUAGAGAAAAAUAAUGUAUUUUAGCUCUAGUGUCCCUAAGAGUUCACACCGUGAGGUCCAUGCAGGGCUUUGUGCCGUGCAUAGGAGCGGCCUCCCUUCGGAGAGUGUUUGCAUGGAUCAAAAUCAAGGUGAAUAGGGGAAGUAGUUCAUAGUAAGUGGGUGAGGGAUUUGUGGCAGCACAUCCCACGGUCUCUUCCAUUAGGUCGCACCGUGAGAUUUCUAUAAUAUGCCUGCUUGUCUGCCCUGGAGCGACGUUCCCUUCGGAGGGUUGUAUUAUAGGAUUCGGAACACCGCGAACUCCAAACUGGAUAGGAUUUCUUAGAUUAGUUUUCAUAAAUGAUUCUAAUCUAUGAAAUCUGAAAAUGGUGGGUAACACUUACAAGAAUUACUAAGUUGUUAGUAUAUUCUUGACUAAAGUAGCGAUAACUAAGUGCUAUAAAGAAUAAAGAGUUAUUCUGAGAUAGCAUCUAGUCAAGAUUGUCUUGGUUCAAAGGAGGAAUAAUCAACUACCCUUCGGAGAAGGUUGUUCUAAACCUUUGAAAUAUUGUUGCAAAUACAAAAUAAUGAAAGGGUACAUUAUUAGUAAUUGCUAAAUUAGAUUGGAUAUUUUUUAUGAUUAUAGUUUUUUCCUAAAAGGAAUAUGUUUGUUUUUCAGCAUGAAUAGCUCAAUAGUUCGACUUUUAGCUUCCGAAAAACUUAAUGGCGAUAAUUAUGCGGCUUGGAAAUCAAAUCUUAACACAAUACUAGUGGUUGGUGAUUUAAGAUUUGUCUUAACUGAGGAAUGUCCUCAAAACCCUGCCUCUAAUGAUAACCGAACUAGUCGGGAUGCAUAUGAUCGAUGGAUAAAAGCUAAUGAAAAAGCCGUGUCUACAUUCUUGCCAGCAUGUCUGAUGUAUUGGCAAAGAAACAUGAAUCCUUAGCCACGGCUAAAGAGAUUAUGAAUUCAUUAAGGGGAAUGUUUGGGCAACCAGAAUUGUCCUUAAGACACGAGGCAGUCAAAUACAUUUACACUAAGCGUAUGAAGGAAGGGACCUCUGUUAGAGAACAUGUUCUGGACAUGAUGAUGCACUUCAACAUCGCUGAAGUGAAUGGUGGUCCCAUCGAAGAGGUUAAUCAAGUUAGUUUUAUCUUAGAGUCUCUUCCGAAGAGCUUCAUUCCAUUCCAAACGAAUGCGUCUUUGAACAAGAUAGAAUUUAACUUGACAACCCUUCUGAAUGAACUCCAGCGAUUCCAAAACCUUACUAUGGGUAAAGGAAAACAAGUGGAAGCAAAUGUUGCUACCACAAAAAGAAAAUUUAUAAGAGGAUCGUCCUCUAAAACCAAAGCUGGACCCUCAAAACCUAAUGCUCAAAUAAAAAAGAAGGGAAAGGGAAAGACUCCCAAACAGAACAAGGGUAAGAAAGGUGCAGAAAAAGGUAAGUGUUACCAUUGUGGCCAAAACGGGCACUGGUUAAGAAACUGCCCAAAAUACCUUGCAGAAAAAAAGGCAGAGAAGGAAACACAAGGUAAAUAUGAUUUACUAGUUGUAGAAACAUGUUUAGUGGAAUAUGAAAAUUCUACCUGGAUACUAGAUUCAGGAGCCACUAAACCAUAUUUGCUUCUCAUUUCAGGAAAAUAGUUCUUGAAAAAGCUUUCAGAAGGCGAGAUCACUCUCAAGGUUGGAACAGGAGAGAUGGUCUCAACUUCAGCAGUGGAGAUUUAAAGUUGUUUUUUAGAGAUAGAUAUGUCAUACUUAAGAAUGUCUUAUAUGUACCUCAAAUGAAAAGAAAUUUAAUAUCUAUCUCUUGUAUUUUGGAACAAAUGUAUAGAAUAUCUUUUGAAAUUAAUGAAGCGUUCGUUUUCUAUAAAGGUAUUCUAGUUUGUUCUGCUAUACUUGAAGACAACUUAUAUAAGUUAAGACCAACUAGAGCAAAUUUUGUCUUAAAUACUGAAAUAUUCAGAACAGCUGAAACUCAGAAUAAAAGACAAAAAGUUUCUUCUAAUGCCUAUUUAUGGCACUUAAGACUUGGUCACAUAAAUCUCAAUAGGAUUGGGAGAGUUAAAAGUGGGCUUCUAAGUCCGUUAGAAAAUAACUCUUUACCUCCUUGUGAAUCUUGUCUUGAAGGAAAAAUGACCAAGAGAUCUUUUACUGGAAAAGGUCUAAGAGCCAAAGGACCCUUAGAGCUCGUACAUUCGGACCUUUGUGGACCAAUGAAUGUCAAAGCUCGAGGUGGAUAUGAAUAUUUCAUUAGCUUCAUUGAUGAUUAUUCAAGGUAUGGUCAUAUUUACCUAAUACAUCAUAAGUCUAAUAGUCUUGAAAAGUUCAAAGAAUAUAAGGCUGAAGUAGAAAACGAAUUAGGUAAAACAAUAAAAAUACUUCGAUCAGAUCGAGGUGGAGAGUAUAUGGACUUACGAUUCCGAGACUAUUUAAUAGAAAAUGGAAUCCAGUCACAACUCUCUGCACCUAGUACACCUCAACAGAACGGUGUAUCAGAAAGAAGAAACUGGACCUUGUUAGACAUGGUUCGCUCUAUGAUGAGUUUUUCUCAGAUGUCAGAUUCUUUUUGGGAUAUGCUUUAGAAACAGCUGCUUAUAUUUUGAAUAAUGUUCCCUCUAAAAGUGUUUCAGAAACACCUUAUGAGCUAUGGAAAGGGCGUAAAGGCAGUUUACGUCAUUUUAGAAUUUGGGGUUGUCCAGCACACGUGUUGGUACAAAAUCCAAAGAAAUUGGAACAUCGUUCAAAAUUAUGCUUUUUUAUAGGUUAUCCAAAAGAAUCAAGAGGUGGUUUGUUUUAUGAUCCUCAAGAAAAUAAAAUAUUUGUGUCAACAAAUGCCACAUUCUUAGAGGAAGACCACAUCAGGGAUCAUCAACCUCGUAGUAAACUAGUAUUAAAAGAAAUUUCCAAAAGUGCUAUAGAUAAACCUAGUUCAUCCACUAAGGUAGUUGAUAAGACUAGGAAAUCUGGUCAAUCACAUCCUUCUCAACAGUUGAGAGAGCCUCGACGUAGUGGGAGGGUUGUUCAUCAGCCUGAUCGCUAUUUGGGUUUAAUUGAAACUCAAGUCGUCAUACCUGACGAUGGCAUAGAGGAUCCAUUAACCUAUAAACAGGCAAUGAAAGAUGUAGAUCGUGACCAAUGGAUCAAAGCCAUGGACCUCGAAAUGGAGUCUAUGUACUUUAAUUCUGUCUGGACUCUAGUAGAUCAACCAAAUGACGUAAAACCUAUUGGUUGUAAAUGGAUCUACAAGAGAAAACGAGACCAUGCCGGUAAAGUACAGACUUUCAAGGCUCGACUUGUGGCAAAGGGUUAUACCAGAGAGAGGGAGUAGACUAUGAGGAAACUUUCUCUCCUGUUGCCAUGUUAAAGUCAAUUAGAAUACUCUUAUCCAUCGCCACUUUUUAUGAUUAUGAAAUUUGGCAGAUGGAUGUCAAGACAGCUUUUUUGAACGGUAAUCUUGAAGAGAUCUAUAUGUCUCAACCAGAGGGGUUUAUAAAACAAGAUCAAGAACAAAAGGUUUGUAAGCUUAAAAAAUCCAUUUAUGGAUUAAAACAAGCUUCUAGAUCCUGGAAUAUAAGAUUUGAUAUUGCGAUCAAAAUCUUAUGGCUUUGAACAAAAUGUUGACGAGCCUUGUGUUUACAAAAGGUCGUCAAUUCCAUUAUAGCAUUUUUUAGUCUUAUAUGUAGAUGAUAUUCUACUUAUUGGAAAUGACUAGGAUAUCUUCUGAUAUCAAGAAAUGGCUAGCUAUGCAAUUUCAAAUGAAAGAUCUGGGAGAUGCACAAUACGUUCUCGGAAUCCAAAUUGUUCGAAACCGUAAGAACAAAACACUAGCCAUGUCUCAAGCAUCUUACAUAGACAAAAUGUUGUCUAGAUAUAAAAUGCAGAAUUCCAAAAAGGGUCUGCUGCCGUACAGAUAUGGAAUUCAUUUGUCAAAGGAACAAUGUCCUAAGACACCUCAAGAAGUUGAGGAUAUGAGAAAUAUUCCCUAUGCUUCCGCUGUUGGAAGUUUAAUGUAUGCAAUGUUAUGUACUAGACCUGACAUUUGCUACUCAGUAGGGAUGGUCAGUAGGUAUCAAUCCAAUCAUGGACGUGAUCACUGGACAGCCGUUAAAAACAUUCUACAUGCUCAUGUAUCGUACAAAGGAUCUGAUCCUUACUGGAUACACUGAUUCAGAUUUCCAAACUGAUAAAGAUGUUAGAAAGUCUACAUCAGGAUCAGUAUUUACUCUAAAUGGAGGAGCAGUAGUUUGGAGAAGCAUAAAGCAAACUUGUAUAGCUGAUUCCACAAUGGAAGCUGAUCAUUUUACAAAAGCCCUCAUGGCUAAAGUGUUUGAGGGUCACCUACACAGUUUAGGUGUACGAUGUUUGUAAACUAGGACAAGUGGGAGACUUAUUGGCCAUGUGCCCUAGUUUCAUAUAUAUUCUCUCACACCACAUCUCUCAUACCACUAGGAAUUUUAGUCCAAGUGGGAGUUUGUUGGAAUUUUUUGUCCUAAAACUCGUAGUUUGUAAAUCAUAUUCUAUUCAAUAAAGUUGUUAUUGAGAAAUUAAAUAUUAUAAUCUUAAAUCCAAUAAAUCAAAGUUCCAAGGCUAUUUUUUGAAUAAACUUGAACUUUAUGUGUAAACAUAAACGUGGAUCAAGUUCGAGUAUAUAGCCUAAAUAGUCUAUAGUAUAUGAAAUAAAGGUUGGGCGCCUUAUUUUGAGAGACUAUGGAUGCGGCCCACUUUGUAGUACAAACGAUGUGAUCCUAAUCGUUCAUGUAGAGACAUGAAAGUGGGGGCAUCCUAUGUAAAAUGUUUACAUAAGACUGAACCAUGAAUUAGUCAUUUUUACGUUAUAACACCGUUUACUGUUUAAAACUGACUAUCUCAAUUAUUGAUGACCUAGGUAACUUAGUCUUAAUCCUGAGUUAACUAUGAACUCCUGUUCAUACGAGAUUAUCCUUAGAUCUGCAUAGGUGAGGGCAGCUCAUCAGCGUUGGCCCAAUAAGCCUCCCAUUUCAGGGGUAAGAUCGGGUGGAUAGCUGGGAACAUAGGGUACAAGAUGGAAUUCACUCCUACCCGCUUUAGGGUUAGUAGAUAGGUUGCUCUCUUAAGCACUGAAUCCAAGUCUUGAACAAGGGGCCCCACCCUCUCAUUGGCCCGAGAGGGAUUAAGUUUAUAGGUUGAACCUUAAACCAAUUGUUCAAUAGUGGAUUAGUGGGACUUAAGGAGCAAGAUGUAAUCUUGGGGUAAAACGGUAUUUGACCCAGCCAAGGUUACGAGCAACCUGUGAAGGAUUAACUUACUGAUUAUGGUUUUAUCAAAUGGACACAAAUAUAUCUAUAGUGAGGGAGUGCAACUACGGGACUUAGUGGAAUGACUCGUUAGUUAACGAAUGUUGAUUAACUCGUUUAAAAGAGUUUAGCUAGUUAAUCUUGAAUCGUUGGAGCCCAUGAUCUAUAGGUCCAUUAGUUCCUCUGCUAGCUCAUAUGGAUUAAACUUAGAACAGUGUGAUGAAAUAAGUCGAAUUGUUCGAAUAGGGAGAAGAAAGGAAAACCGACAUAUACAGUGAUAUAAUCGUCGGUCUUCUAAUUAGAAAUAGAGCUUUAUGUUUUACAUACUAUAAGUAUGAAUGCGGAUUCAUACUAAGAAGCUCGGAAUUGGUCAAAAAUAGUAAAAAGUCAAAAUGUUGACUUUUGACUUUGAAAAGUCAAACUUUGACCGGCCUUAUAUUCAAAUGUGAUUUGAAUUUUGGAAAAAUGAAUGCGGAUUCAUGCUCGGAGGUUGGAAUUAGUCAAGACGGACAAAAUGGUAAAAAGUCAAAAUAUUGACUUUUGACUUAGAAAAGUCAAAGUUUGACUUUUGACUAGAAAAAUCUAAUGACCAUUUUACCCUUGGACUAAGUUAGUGGGAAAAUCCAACAUUUUGUUGGAUAAUCCCACUAACUCUUAGUGGGAUAUGUGCUAUAUGAGAUAUAGACACCUAGCCCACUAAGUUCCACUAAUUGUUAGUGGAAUAUUAGGUGUUGAGAUUUGGCAAUUGAAUUGCAUGCAUUUUUGCAUGUAAUUAGGCUAUAAAUAGAGAUGUUUUCAAAUGUUGAAGGACUUUUGCCUCUUUUAUCAUUUUCAUAAUCUCAACAAAAGAAAAAAGAAAGCUUCCAAUCUCAUUUUAUCUCCAUUACUUUCUACAUCAAAAUUGGUCCCACAACCCGGUUCUUUGUCUAGAGGAUAGCAGUUGAGCACUAGUGGUGGUCUCGGUAGAAUUGGUAAGAAGACAUCAAACCUUUUGUAAGCUUCAAAGGUAAUACUUCUUAAAACCCUAAUUUGAUUAGUUUAUGGUUACAUGUUAAUUGUGGCAAUUAGGGUAGAAAUUCGAUUCUUUUUCCGCUGUGCAUGACUCAGUUCUAUCAUGUGGUAUCAGAGCAUGCUUCAUUUUUACCCAAUUGCAUGUGGUGGGUUCAAAUUUAUUAGAUAAAUUUUGGUUUGAACUAAAAUGGAUAUAUUAUGAUUUUGGCUCUAGAUUAAGUGUUUUUGUUCUAAUUAUUGUAAUUAGCCUUGUUAAUGGCUUAUUUUUAUUGUUGCAAAGUGUUUGUAAUUUUUUUAAAAAAUAAAAAAAGUCAUUAGAGUUGAAGCUAGGCUGUAAUUGGUUCAACCGGGUGAGAGAAUUGAAAAAUGAAGAAAAGAUGGUCACAGACCCGAAAACCCGGUUUUGACCCGCUUCGCGACCCGCACGCGCCCGCAUGCCCGCGCGCCCAUCCUGCGCCCGCGCGCCCUCCUGUGCCGCGCGCGCCCUGCGUCCCACCGGGUGCCCGCGCGCGCUCCUGCGCCCGCCUGCGCCCGCGCGCCUGCAUGCGCCCGUGCGCCCGCCUGCUGCCGCGCGCGCCACAUGCGCCUGCGCGCCCGCAUGCGCCCGCGCGCCGCGCCUUCGCCCGCGCGCCUGCCUUCGCACGACCCGUGUGCGCCUGGGCGGGUUCAAGCCAAUAAAUUUGGUUUUUGGGCCGGUUCAAGCGGUUUCGGUUGGUUUUUUAGCCGGUUCGAAGUUUUUGGGAGUGGUUCUGUACUACACCUCGAAGUUUCUUGCCCACAAAAGCCGAACGGAUGCGCCCAGACUCGGUUUCUUGGUUCCGUCCCAAAACGCCGAAGAAAGGCACAAUGGCCUAGAAAGGGAUAGUCGGACUUGGAACGGGGUCCGAGGCCUCGAAAGUCCACAUCUAGCUACUGGGUGGUCCGAUUCUGAGUGAUCUCGAACUUUCUUGUCCACAAAAGCCGAACGGUGACGCCCCAGACUCGGUUUCUUGGUUCCGUCCCAAAACGCCGAAGAAAGGCACAAUGGCCUAGAAAGGGACGGUCGGACUUGGAACGGGGUCCGAGGCCUCGAAAGUCCACAUCAAGCUACUGGGUGGUCCGAUUCUGAGUGAUCUCGAAGUUUCUAGCCACAAAAGCCGAACGGUGACGCCCCAGACUCGGUUUUUUGGUUCCGUCCCAAAACGCCGAAGAAAGGCACAAUGGCCUAGAAAGGGACGGUCGGACAUGGAACGGGGUCCGAGGCGUCGAAAGUCCACAUCUAGCUACUGGGUGGUCCGAUUCCGAGUGAUCUCGAAGUUUCUUGCCCACAAAAGCCGAACGGUGCGCCCCAGACUCGGUUUCUUGGUUCCGUCCCGAAACGCCGAAGAAAGGCACAAUGGCCUCGAAAGGGACGGUCGGACUUGGAACGGGGUCUGAGGCCUCGAAAGUCCACAUCUAGCUACUUGGUGGUCCGAUUCUGAGUGAUCUCGAAGUUUCUUGCCCAGAAAAGCCGAACGGUGUCGCCCUAGACUCGGUUUCUUGGUUCCGUCCCAAAACGCCGAAGAAAGGCACAAUGGCCCAGUAAGGGACGGUCGGACUAGGAACGGGGUCCGAGGCCUCGAAAGUCCACAUCUAGCUACUGGGUGGUCCGAUUCUGAGUGAUCUCGAAGUUUCUUGCCCACAAAAGCCGAACGGUGACGCCCCAGACUCGGUUUCUUGGUUUUGUCCCAUAACGCCGAAGAAAGGCACAGUGGCCUAGAAAGGGACGGUCGGACUUGGAACGGGGUCCUAGGCCUCGAAAGUCCACAUCUAGCUACUUGAUGGUCCGAUUCUGAGUGAUCUCGAAGUUUCUUGGCCACAAAAGCCGAACGGUGACGCCCCAGACUCGGUUUCUUGGUUCCGUACCAAAACGCCGAAGAAAGGCACAGUGGCCUAGAAAGGGACGGUCGGACUUGGAACGGGGUCCGAGGCCUCGAAAGUCCACAUCUAGCUACUGGGUGGUCCGAUUCUGAGUUAUCUCGAAGUUUCUUGCGCACAAAAACCAAACGGUGACGCCCCAGACUCGGUUUCUUGGUUCCUUCCGAAAACGCCGAAGAAAGACACAAUGGCCUAGAAAGGGACGGUCGGACUUGGAACGCAGUCCGGGGCCUCGAAAGUCCACAUCUAGCUACUGGGUGGUCCGAUUCUGAGUGAUCUCGAAGUUUCUUGCCCACAAAAGCCGAACGGUGUCGCCCCAGACUCGGUUUCUUGGUUCCGUCCCAAAACGUCGAAGAAAGGCACAUUGGCCUAGAAAGGGACGGUCGGACUUGGAACGGUGUCCGAGGCCUCGAAAGUCCACAUCUAGCUACUCCGUGGUCCGAUUCUGAGUGAUCUCGAAGUUUCUUGCCCACAAAAGGCGAACGGUGACGCCCCAGACUCGGUUUCUUGGUUCCGUCCAAAAACGCCGAAGAAAGGGACAAUGGCCUAGAAAGGGACGGUCGGACUUGGAACGCGGUCCGAGGCCUCGAAAGUCCACAUCUAACUACCGGGUGGUCCGAUUCUGAGUGAUCUCGAAGUUUCUUGCCCACAAAAGCUGAACGGUGACGCCCCAAACUCGGUUUCUUGGUUCCGUCCCAAAACGCCGAAGAAAGGCACAAUUUCCUAGAAAGGGACGAUCGGACUUGGAACGGGUCCGAGGCCUCGAAAGUCCACAUCUAGCUACUGGGUGGUCCGAUUCUGAGUGAUCUCGAAGUUUCUUGCCCACAAAAGCCGAACGGUGACGCCCCAGACUCGGUUUCUUGGUUCCGUCCCAAAACGCUGAAGAAAGGCACAAUGGCCUAGAAAGGGACGGUCGGACUUGGAACGAGGUCCGAGGCCUCGAAAGUACACAUGUAGCUACUGGGUGGUCUGAUUCUUAGUGACCUUGAAGUUUCUUAACCACAAAAGCCGAACGGUGACGCCCCAGACUCGGUUUCUUGGUUCCCUCCCAAAACGCCGAAGAAAGGCACAAUGGCCUAGAAAGGGACGGUCGGACUUGGAACGGGGUCCGAAGCCUCGAAAGUCCACAUGUAGCUACUGGGUGGUCCGAUUCUUUGUGAUCUCGAAGUUUCUUGACCACAAAAGCCGAACGGUGACGCCCAGACUCGGUUUCUUGGUUCCGUCCCAAAACGCCGAAGAAAAGCACAAUGGCCUAGAAAGGGACGGUCGGACUUGGAACGGGGUCCGAGGCCUCGAAAGUCCACAUCUAGCUACUGGGUGGUCUGAUUCUUUGUGAUCUCGAAGUUUCUUGCCCACAAAAGCCGAACGGUGACGCCCAGACUCGGUUUCUUAGUUCCGUCCCAAAACGCCGAAGAAAGGCACAAUUUCCUAGAAAGGGACGGUCGGACUUGGAACGGGGUCCGAGGCCUCGAAAGUCCAUAUCUAGCUACUGGGUGGUCCGAUUCUGAGUGAUCUCGAAGUUUCUUGCCCACAAAAGCCGAACGGUGACGCCCGAGACUCGGUUUCUUGGUUCCGUCCCAAAACGCCGAAGAAAAGCACAAUGGCCUAGAAAGGGACGGUCGGACUUGGAACGGGGUCCGAGGCCUCGAAAGUCCACAUCUAGCUACUGGGUGGUCUGAUUCUUUGUGAUCUCGAAGUUUCUUGCCCACAAAAGCCGAACGGUGACGCCCCAGACUCGGUUUCUUGGUUCCGUCCCAAAACGCCGAAGAAAGGCACAAUGGACUAGAAAGAGACGGUCGGACUUGGAACGGGGUCCGAGGCCUCAAAAGUCCACAUCUAGCUACUGGGUGGUCCGAUUCUUUGUGAUCUCGAAGUUUCUUGCCCACAAAAGCCGAACGGUGACGCCCCAGACUCGGUUUCUUGGUUCCGUCACAAAACGCCGAAGAAAGGCACAAUGGCCUAGAAAGGGACGGUCGGACUUGGAACGGGGUCCGAGGCCUCGAAAGUCCACAUCUAGCUACUGGGUGGUCCGAUUCUUUGUGAUCUCGAAGUUUCUUGCCCACAAAAGCCGAACGGUGACGCCCCAGACUCGGUUUCUUGGUUCCAUCCCAAAACGCGGAAGAAAGGCACAAUGGCCUAGAAAGGGACGGUCGGACUUGGAACGGGGUCCGUUGCCUCGAAAGUCCACAUCUAGCUACUGGGUGGUCCGAUUCUGAGUGAUCUCGAAGUUUCUUGCCCACAAAAGCCGAACGGUGACGCCUAGACUCGGUUUCUUGGUUUCGUCCCAAAACGCCGAAGAAAGGCACAGUGGCCUAGAAAGGGACGGUCGGACUUGGAACGGGGUCUGAGGCCUCGAAAGUCCACAUCUAGCUACUGGGUGGUCCGAUUCUUUGUGAUCUCGAAGUUUCUUGCCCACAAAAGCCGAACGGUGACGCCCAGACUCGGUUUCUUGGUUCCGUCCCAAAACGCCGAAAAAAGGCACAAUGGCCUAGAAAGGGACGGUCGGACUUGGAACGGGGUCCGAGGCCUCGAAAGUCCACAUCUAGCUACUGGUGGUCCGAUUCUUUGUGAUCUGGAAGUUUCUUGCCCACAAAAGCCGAACGGUGAUGCCCGAGACUCGGUUUCUUGGUUCCGUCCCAAAACGCCGAAGAAAGGCACAAUGGCCUAGAAAUGGACGGUCCGACUCGGAACGGGGUCCGAGGCCUCGAAAGUCCACAUCUAGCUACUGGGUGGUUCGAUUCAGAGUGAUCUCGAAGUUUCUUGCUCACAAAAGCCGAACGGUGACACCCCAGACUCGGUUUCUUGGUUCCGUCCCAAAACGCCGAAGAAAGGCACAAUGGCCUAGAAAGGGACGAUCGGACUUGGAACGGGGUCCGAGGCCUCGAUAGUCCACAUCUAGCUACUAGGUGGUCCGAUUCUUUGUGAUCUUGAAGUUUCUUGCCCACAAAAGCCGAACGGUGACGCCCCAGACUCGGUUUCUUGGUUUCGUCCCAAAACGCCGAAGAAAGGCACAAUGGCCUAGAAAGGGACGGUCGGACUUGGAACGGGGUCCGAGGCCUCGAAAGUCCACAUCUAGCUACUGGGUGGUCCGAUUCUUUGUGAUCUCGAAGUUUCUUGCACACAAAAGCCGAACGGUGACGCCCCAGACUCGGUUUCUUGGUUCCGUCCCAAAACGCCGAAGAAAGGCACAAUGGCCUAGAAAGGGACGGUCGGACUCGGAACGGGGUCCGAGGCCUCGAAAGUCCACAUCUAGCGACUGGGUGGUCCGAUUCAGAGUGAUCUCGAAGUUUCUUGCCCACAAAAGCCAAACGGUGACUCCCCAGACUCGGUUUCUUGGUUCCGUCCCAAAACGCCGAAGAAAGGCACAAUGGCUUAGAAAGGGACGGUCGGACUUGGAACGGGGUCCGAGGCCUCGAAAGUCCACAUCUAGCUACUGGGUGGUCCGAUUCUUUGUGAUCUCGAAGUUUCUUGCCCACAAAAGCCGAACGGUGACGCCCGAGACUCGGUUUCUUGGUUCCGUCCCAAAACGCCGAAGAAAGGCACAAUGGCCUAGAAAGGGACGGUCGGACUUGGAACGGGGUCCGAGGCCUCGAAAGUCCACAUCUAGCGACUGGGUGGUCCAAUUCAGAGUGAUCUCGAAGUUUCUUGCCCACAAAAGCCGAACGGUGACGCCCCAGACUCGGUUUCUUGGUUCCGUCCCAAAACGCCGAAGAAAGGCACAAUGGCCUAGAAAGGGACGGUUGGACUUGGAACGGGGUCCGAGGCCUCGAAAGUCCACAUCUAGCUACUAGGUGGUCCGAUUCUUUGUGAUCUUGAAGUUUCUUGCCCACAAAAGCCUAACGGUGACGCCCCAGACUCGGUUUCUUGGUUUCGUCCCAAAACGCCGAAGAAAGGCACAAUGGCCUAGAAAGGGACGGUCGGACUUGGAACGGGGUCCGAGGCCUCGAAAGUCCACAUCUAGCUACUGGGUGGUCCGAUUCUUUGUGAUCUCGAAGUUUCUUGCCCACAAAAGCCGAACGGUGACGCCCAGACUCGGUUUCUUGGUUCCGUCCCAAAACGCCGAAGAAAGGCACAAUGGCCUAGAAAGGGACGGUCGGACUCGGAACGAGGUCCGAGGACUCGAAAGUCCACAUCUAGCUACUGAGUGGUCCGAUUCUGAGUGAUCUCGAAGUUUCUUGCCCACAAAAGCCGAACGGUGACCCAUACUCGGUUUCUUGUUCCGUCCCAAAACGCCGAAGAAAGGCAAUGGCCUAGAAGGGACGGUCGGACUUGGAACGGGGUCCGAGGCCUCGAAAGUCCACAUCUAGCUACUGGGUGGUCCGAUUCUGAGUGACCUCGUAGUUUCUUGCCCACAAAAGCCGAACGAUGACACCUAGACUCGGUUUCUUGGUUCCGUCCCAAAACGCGGAAGAAAGGCACAAUGGCCUAGGAAGGGACGGUCGGACUUGGAACGGGGUCCGAGGCCUCGAAAGUCCACAUCUAGCUACUGGGUGGUCCGAUUCUUUGUGAUCUCGACGUUUCUUGCCCCAAAAGCCGAACGGUGACGCCCUCGACUCGGUUUCUUGGUUCCGUCAUAAAACGCCGAAGAAUAGCACAAUGGCCUAGAAAAGGGACGGUCGGACUUGGAACGGGGUCCGAGGCCUCGAAUGUCCACAUCUAGCUACUGGGUGGUCCGAUUCUUUUUUAUCUCGAAGUUUCUUGCCCACAAAAGCCGAACAGUGAUGCCCCAGACUCGGUUUCUUGGUUCCGUCCCAAAACGCCGAAGAAAGGCACAAUGGCCUAGAAAAGGGACGGUCGGACUUGGAACGGGUUCCGAGGCCUCGAAAGUCCACAUCUAGCUACUGGGUGGUCCGAUUCUUUGUGAUCUCGAAGUUUCUUGCACACAAAAGCCGAACGGUGACGCCCCAGACUCGGUUUCUUGGUUCCGUCCAAAAUGCCGAAGAAAGGCACAAUGGCCUAGAAAGGGACGGUCGGACUUGGAACGGGGUCCGAGGCCUCAAAAGUCCACAUCUAGCUACUGGGUGGUCCGAUUCUUUGUGAUCUCGAAGUUUCUUGCCCACAAAAGCCGAACGGUGAUGCCCCUGAUAGAACUAAGUCAUGCACAGCGGAAAAAGAAUCGAAUUUCUACCCUAAUUGCCACAAUUAACAUGUAACCAUAAACUAAUCAAAUAAGGGUUUUAAGAAGUAUUACCUUUGAAGCUUACAAAAGGUUUGAUGUCUUCUUACCAAUUCUACCCGAGACCACCACUAGUACUCAACUGCUAUCCUCUAGACAAAGAACCGGGUUGUGGGACCCAAUUUUGGUGUAGAAAGUAAUGGAGAUAAAAUGAGAUUGGAAGCUUUCUUUUUUCUUUUGUUGAGAUGAUGAAAAUGAUAAAAGAGGCAAAAGUCCUUCAACAUUUGAAAACACCUCUAUUUAUAGCCUAAUUACAUGCAAAAAUGCAUGCAAUUCAUUUGCCAAAUCUCAACACCUAAUGUUCCACUAACAAUUAGUGGAACUUAGUGGGCUAGGUGUCUAUAUCUCAUAUAGCCACAUAUCCCACUAAGAGUUAGUGGGAUUAUCCAACAAAAUGUUGGAUUUUCCCACUAACAUAGUCCAAGGGUAAAAUGGUCAUUAGAUUUUUCUAGUCAAAAGUCAAACUUUGACUUUUCUAAGUCAAAAGUCAAUAUUUUGACUUUUUACCAUUUUGUCCGUCUUGACUAAUUCCAACCUCCCGAGCAUGAAUCCGCAUUCAUUUUUCCAAAAUUCAAAUCACAUUUGAAUAUAAGGCCGGUCAAAGUUUGACUUUCAAAGUCAAAAGUCAACAUUUUGACUUUUUACUAUUUUUGACCAAUUCCGAGCUUCUUAGUAUGAAUCCGCAUUCAUACUUAUAGUAUGUAAAACAUAAAGCUCUAUUUCUAAUUAGAAGACCGACGAUUAUAUCACUGUAUAUGUUGGUUUUCCUUUCUUCUCCCAAUUCGAACAAUACGACUUAUUUCAUCACACUGUUCUAAGUUUAAUCCAUAUGAGCUAGCAGAGGAACCUAAUGGACCUAUAGAUCAUGGGCUCCAACGAUUCAAGAUUAACUAGCUAAACUCCUUUAAACCGAUUAAUCAACAUUCGUUAACUAACGGGUCAUUCCACUAAAGUCCCGUAGUUGCACUCCCCUCACUAUAUAUAUUUGUGUCCAUUUGAUAAAACCAUAAUCAGUAAGUUAAUCCUUCACAGGUUGCUCGUAACCUUGGCUGGGUCAAAAUACCGUUUUACCCCCAAGAUUACAUCUUGCUCCUUAAGUCCCACUAAUCCACUAUUGAACAAUUGGUUUAAGGUUCAACCUAUAAACUUAAUCCCUCUCGGGCCAAUGAGAGGGUGGGGCCCCUUGUUCAUGAUAGAACUAAGUCAUGCACAGCGGAAAAAGAAUCGAAUUUCUACCCUAAUUGCCACAAUUAACAUGUAACCAUAAACUAAUCAAAUUAGGGUUUUAAGAAGUAUUACCUUUGAAGCUUACAAAAGGUUUGAUGUCUUCUUACCAAUUCUACCCGAGACCACCACUAGUACUCAACUGCUAUCCUCUAGACAAAGAACCGGGUUGUGGGACCCAAUUUUGGUGUAGAAAGUAAUGGAGAUAAAAUGAGAUUGGAAGCUUUCUUUUUCUUUUGUUGAGAUUAUGAAAAUGAUAAAAGAGGCAAAAGUCCUUCAACAUUUGAAAACAUCUCUAUUUAUAGCCUAAUUACAUGCAAAAAUGCAUGCAAUUCAAUUGCCAAAUCUCAACACCUAAUAUUCCACUAACAAUUAGUGGAACUUAGUGGGCUAGGUGUCUAUAUCUCAUAUAGCCACAUAUCCCACUAAGAGUUAGUGGGAUUAUCCAACAAAAUGUUGGAUUUUCCCACUAACUUAGUCCAAGGGUAAAAUGGUCAUUAGAUUUUUCUAGUCAAAAGUCAAACUUUGACUUUUCUAAGUCAAAAGUCAAUAUUUUGACUUUUUACCAUUUUGUCCGUCUUGACUAAUUCCAACCUCCCGAGCAUGAAUCCGCAUUCAUUUUUCCAAAAUUCAAAUCACAUUUGAAUAUAAGGCCGGUCAAAGUUUGACUUUUCAAAGUCAAAAGUCAACAUUUUGACUUUUUACUAUUUUUGACCAAUUCCGAGCUUCUUAGUAUGAAUCCGCAUUCAUACUUAUAGUAUGUAAAACAUAAAGCUCUAUUUCUAAUUAGAAGACCGACGAUUAUAUCACUGUAUAUGUCGGUUUUCCUUUCUUCUCCCUAUUCGAACAAUUCGACUUAUUUCAUCACACUGUUCUAAGUUUAAUCCAUAUGAGCUAGCAGAGGAACCUAAUGGACCUAUAGAUCAUGGGCUCCAACGAUUCAAGAUUAACUAGCUAAACUCUUUUAAACCGAGUUAAUCAACAUUCGUUAACUAACGGGUCAUUCCACUAAAGUCCCGUAGUUGCACUCCCCUCACUAUAGAUAUAUUUGUGUCCAUUUGAUAAAACCAUAAUCAGUAAGUUAAUCCUUCACAGGUUGCUCGUAACCUUGGCUGGGUCAAAAUACCGUUUUACCCCCAAGAUUACAUCUUGCUCCUUAAGUCCCACUAAUCCACUAUUGAACAAUUGGUUUAAGGUUCAACCUAUAAACUUAAUCCCUCUCGGGCCAAUGAGAGGGUGGGGCCCCUUGUUCAAGACUUGGAUUCAGUGCUUAAGAGAGCAACCUAUCUACUAACCCUAAAGCGGGUAGGAGUGAAUUCCAUCUUGUACCCUAUGUUCCCAGCUAUCCACCCGAUCUUACCCCUGAAAUGGGAGGCUUAUUGGGCCAACGCUGAUGAGCUGCCCUCACCUAUGCAGAUCUAAGGAUAAUCUCGUAUGAACAGGAGUUCAUAGUUAACUCAGGAUUAAGACUAAGUUACCUAGGUCAUCAAUAAUUGAGAUAGUCAGUUUUAAACAGUAAACGGUGUUAUAACGUAAAAAUGACUAAUUCAUGGUUCAGUCUUAUGUAAACAUUUUACAUAGGAUGCCCCCACUUUCAUGUCUCUACAUGAACGAUUAGGAUCACAUCGUUUGUACUACAAAGUGGGCCGCAUCCAUAGUCUCUCAAAAUAAGGCGCCCAACCUUUAUUUCAUAUACUAUAGACUAUUUAGGCUAUAUACUCGAACUUGAUCCACGUUUAUGUUUACACAUAAAGUUCAAGUUUAUUCAAAAAAUAGCCUUGGAACUUUGAUUUAUUGGAUUUAAGAUUAUAAUAUUUAAUUUCUCAAUAACAACUUUAUUGAAUAGAAUAUGAUUUACAAACUACGAUUUAGGACAAAAAAUUCCAACAAACUCCCACUUGGACUAAAAUUCCUAGUGGUAUGAGAGAUGUGGUGUGAGAGAAUAUAUAUGAAACUAGGGCACAUGGCCAAUAAGUCUCCCACUUGUCCUAGUUUACAAACAUCGUACACCUAAACUGUGUAGGUGACCCUCAAACACUUUAGCCAUGAGGGCUUUUGUAAAAUGAUCAGCUUCCAUUGUGGAAUCAGCUAUACAAGUUUGCUUUAUGCUUCUCCAAACUACUGCUCCUCCAUUUAGAGUAAAUACUGAUCUGAUGUAGACUUUCUAACAUCUUUAUUAGUUUGGAAAUCUGAAUCAGUGUAUCCAGUAAGGAUCAGAUCCUUUGUACGAUACAUGAGCAUGUAGAAUGUUUUUAACGGCUGUCCAGUGAUCACGUCCAUGAUUGGAUUGAUACCUACUGACCAUCCCUACUGAGUAGCAAAUGUCAGGUCUAGUACAUAACAUUGCAUACAUUAAACUUCCAACAGCGGAAGCAUAGGGAAUAUUUCUCAUAUCCUCAACUUCUUGAGGUGUCUUAGGACAUUGUUCCUUUGACAAAUGAAUUCCAUAUCUGUACGGCAGCAGACCCUUUUUGGAAUUCUGCAUUUUAUAUCUAGACAACAUUUUGUCUAUGUAAGAUGCUUGAGACAUGGCUAGUGUUUUGUUCUUACGGUUUCGAACAAUUUGGAUUCCGAGAACGUAUUGUGCAUCUCCCAGAUCUUUCAUUUGAAAUUGCAUAGCUAGCCAUUUCUUGAUAUCAGGAAGAUAUCCUAGUCAUUUCCAAUAAGUAGAAUAUCAUCUACAUAUAAGACUAAAAAUGCUAUAAUGGAAUUGACGACCUUUUGUAAACACAAGGCUCGUCAACAUUUUGUUCAAAGCCAUAAGAUUUUGAUCGCAAUAUCAAAUCUUAUAUUCCAGGAUCUAGAAGCUUGUUUUAAUCCAUAAAUGGAUUUUUUAAGCUUACAAACCUUUUGUUCUUGAUCUUGUUUUAUAAACCCCUCUGGUUGAGACAUAUAGAUGCUCUCUUCAAGAUUACCGUUCAAAAAAGCUGUCUUGACAUCCAUCUGCCAAAUUUCAUAAUCAUAAAAAGUGGCGAUGGAUAAGAGUAUUCUAAUUGACUUUAACAUGGCAACGGGAGAGAAAGUUUCCUCUAGUCUACUCCCUCUCUCUAGGUAUAACCCUUUGCCACAAGUCGAGCCUUAAAAGUCUGUACUUUACCGGCAUGGUCUCGUUUUCUCUUGUAGAUCCAUUUACAACCAAUAGGUUUUACGUCAUUUGGUUGAUCUACUAGAGUCUAGAAAGAAUUAAAGUACAUAGACUCCAUUUCGAGGUCCAUGGCUUUGAUCCAUUGGUCACGAUCUACAUCUUUCAUUGCCUGUUUAUAGGUUAAUGGAUCCUCUAUGCCAUCGUCAGGUAUGACGACUUGAGUUUCAAUUAAACCCAAAUAGCGAUCAGGCUGAUGAACAACCCUCCCACUACGUCGAGGCUCUCUCAACUGUUGAGAAGGAUGUGAUUGACCAGAUUUCCUAGUCUUAUCAACUACUUUAGUGGAUGAACUAGGUUUUAUCUAUAGCACUUUUGGAAAUUUCUUUAAAUACUAGUUUACUACGAGGUUGAUGAUCCCUGAUGUGGUAUUUUAUUUUCUUGAGGAUCAUAAAACAAACCACCUCUUGAUUCUUUUGGAUAACCUAUAAAAAAGCAUAAUUUUGAACGAUGUUCCAAUUUCUUUGGAUUUUGUACCAACACAUGUGCUGGACAACCCCAAAUUUUAAAAUGACGUAAACUGCCUUUACGCCCUUUCCAUAGCUCAUAAGGUGUUUCUGAAACACUUUUAGAGGGAACAUUAUUCAAAAUAUAAGCAGCUGUUUCUAAAGCAUAUCCCCAAAAAGAAUCUGACAUCUGAGAAAAACUCAUCAUAGAGCGAACCAUGUCUAACAAGGUCCAGUUUCUUCUUUCUGAUACACCGUUCUGUUGAGGUGUACUAGGUGCAGAGAGUUGUGACUGGAUUCCAUUUUCUAUUAAAUAGUCUCGGAAUCGUAAGUCCAUAUACUCUCCACCUCGAUCUGAUCGAAGUAUUUUUAUUGUUUUACCUAAUUCGUUUUCUACUUCAGCCUUAUAUUCUUUGAACUUUUCAAGACUAUUAGACUUAUGAUGUAUUAGGUAAAUAUGACCAUACCUUGAAUAAUCAUCAAUGAAGCUAAUGAAAUAUUCAUAUCCACCUCGAGUUUUGACAUUCAUUGGUCCACAAAGGUCCGAAUGUACGAGCUCUAAGGGUCCUUUGGCUCUUAGACCUUUUCCAGUAAAAGAUCUCUUGGUCAUUUUUCCUUCAAGACAAGAUUCACAAGGAGGUAAAGAGUUAUCUUCUAACGGACUUAGAAGCCCACUUUUAACCAAUCUCCCAAUCCUAUUGAGAUUUAUGUGACCAAGUCUUAAGUGCCAUAAAUAGGCAUUAGAAGAAACUUUUUGUCUUUUAUUCUGAGUUUCAGCUGUUCUGAAUAUUUCAGUAUUUAAGACAAAAUUUGCUCUAGUUGGUCUUAACUUAUAUAAGUUGUCUUCAAGUAUAGCAGAACAAACUAGAAUACCUUUAUAGAAAACGAACGCUUCAUUAAUUUCAAAAGAUAUUCUAUACAUUUGUUCCAAAAUACAAGAGAUAGAUAUUAAAUUUCUUUUCAUUUGAGGUACAUAUAAGACAUUCUUAAGUAUGACAUAUCUAUCUCUAAAAAACAACUUUAAAUCUCCCACUGCUGAAGCUGAGACCAUCUCUCCUGUUCCAACCUUGAGAGUGAUCUCGCCUUCUGAAAGCUUUUUCCAAGAACUAUUUUCCUGAAAUGAGAAGCAAAUAUGGUUAGUGGCUCCUGAAUCUAGUAUCCAGGUAGAAUUUUCAUAUUCCACUAAACAUGUUUCUACAACUAGUAAAUCAUAUUUACCUUGUGUUUCCUUCUCUGCCUUUUUUUCUGCAAGGUAUUUUGGGCAGUUUCUUAACCAGUGCCCGUUUUGGCCACAAUGGUAACACUUACCUUUUUCUGCAGCUUUCUUACCCUUGUUCUGUUUGGGAGUCUUUCCCUUUCCCUUCUUUUUUAUUUGAGCAUUAGGUUUUGAGGGUCCAGCUUUGGUUUUAGAGGACGAUCCUCUUAUAAAUUUUCUUUUUGUGGUAGCAACAUUUGCUUCCACUUGUUUUCCUUUACCCAUAGUUAGGUUUUGGAAUCGCUGGAGUUCAUUCAGAAGGGUUGUCAAGUUAAAUUCUAUCUUGUUCAAAGACGCAUUCGUUUGGAAUGGAAUGAAGCUCUUCGGAAGAGACUCUAAGAUAAAACUAACUUGAUUAACCUCUUCGAUGGGACCACCAUUCACUUCAGCGAUGUUGAAGUGCAUCAUCAUGUCCAGAACAUGUUCUCUAACAGAGGUCCCUUCGCUUCAUACGCUUAGUGUAAAUGUAUUUGACUGCCUCGUGUCUUAAGGACCAUUCUGGUUGCCCAAACAUUCCCCUUAAUGAAUCCAUAAUCUCUUUAGCCGUGGCUAAGGAUUCAUGUUUCUUUGCCAAUACAUCAGACAUGCUGGCAAGAAUGUAAACACGGGCUUUUUCAUUAGCUUUUAUCCAUCGAUCAUAUGCAUCCCGACUAGUUCGGUUAGCAUUAGAGGCAGGGUUUUGAGGACAUUCCUCAGUUAAGACAAAUCUUAAAUCGUCAACCACUAGUAUUGUGUUAAGAUUUGAUUUCCAAGCCGCAUAAUUAUCGCCAUUAAGUUUUUCGGAAGCUAAAAGUUGAACUAUUGAGCUAUUCAUGCUGAAAAACAAACAUAUUCUUUUUAGGAAAAAACUAUAAUCAUAAAAAAUAUCCAAUCUAAUUUAGCAAUUACUAAUAAUGUACCCUUUCAUUAUUUGUAUUUUGCAACAAUAUUUCAAAGGUUUAGAACAACCUUCUCCGAAGGGUAGUUGAUUAUUCCUCCUUUGAACCAAGACAAUCUUGACUAGAUGCUAUCUCAAGAAUAACUCUUUAUUCUUUAUAGCACUUAGUUAUCGCUACUUUAGUCAAGAAUAUACUAACAACUUAGUAAUUCUUGUAAGUGUUACCCACCAUUUUCAGAUUUUAUAGAUUAGAAUCAUUUAUGAAAACUAAUCUAAGAAAUCCUAUCCAGUUUUGGAGUUCGCGGUGUUCCGAAUCCUAUAAUACAACCCUCCGAAGGGAACGUCGCUCCAGGGCAGACAAGCAGGCAUAUUAUAGAAAUCUCACGGUGCGACCUAAUGGAAGAGACCGUGGGAUGUGCUGCCACAAAUCCCUCACCCACUUACUAUGAACUACUUCCCCUAUUCACCUUGAUUUUGAUCCAUGCAAACACUCUCCGAAGGGAGGCCGCUCCUAUGCACGGCACAAAGCCCUGCAUGGACCUCACGGUGUGAACUCUUAGGGACACUAGAGCUAAAAUACAUUAUUUUUCUCUAGUUGAAGUGUUCUAAAAGAAAAAAAUAGGGUAAUCCAAACUUCAAGAUUUAUAUUUAGGCUAACUUAAACAAAUCUUAAGUCUAGAUAAAACAUCCAAGUAUAACCAUUAUACAGGAUUUUAACCUAUGAUGUCUAGGUGAAAAACCAUUUUUAUUACCUCACACCUCUCACGAAUGCUCAUAAAACUAGGUUAACUAGGCUCAAGAACUGAUUACGAUCUCCAGGUAGGAGGUGUUCCGUAAACCGUCAACUUAAGAACCUCCAACCUUAGUCAUCUUAUCUGACUUGUUGACAAGAUUGAACCAGGUGAGCCUUUUGUAACCAGUUUUACAAGAUAUCGACCUAUUUCUAUGAAAAAUGGAAGAUAUGUUUAACCUAAGUGAGCAUGCAUUUAAUCUUUGUUAUUGAUUUUAAAAGUCUAAUUUAUUUUAUAACACUUAUAAAAACUUUUAAACUUAAUCAAUCAUUUUAUCAAUAUAUAAUAUAAAAACAAUCAAUUAAUAUGGAUUUUAAUUUAUUUAACUUUAAUUAAAUCAUAUUUAAUUAAAUUAAAUCAAACAAUAAUUAAUUAAUUUGAUUAAAUCAUAUUUAAUCAAGAAUAACUUAAUUAAUUAAAUAAUUAAUUAAUCAUAUUAAUUAAUUUCCAUAUUAAUCAAUUAACAUGCAUACAAUACAAUAUAACCUUUAUAUCAUACAUUUUAAUGCAUGAACAUGUUAACCUAUGGUGGGAUUUUAAAUCUAUAUGACAUUCAAAAUGCACAUACAAAUUUAAAGUAAUUUAAUCAUACAUCACAUGCAUAAAUAAAAAAAACACCCUAAAAUGGACUGAUUUUUGGCUCCUAAAUUAAGCUAAGUGCUAAAUUAUUACAUAAUUAAUUUGGUGUAGUACAGAACCACUCCCAAAAAUUUCGAACCGGCUAAAAAACCAACCGAAACCGCUUGAACCGGCCCAAAAACCAAAUUUAUUGGCUUGAACCGGCCCAGGCGCACACGGGUCGUGCGAAGGCAGGCGCGCGGGCGAAGGCGGGCGCGCGGGCGCAUGCGGGCGCGCGGGCACAGGCGGGCGCACGGGCGCAUGCAGGCGCGCGGGCGCAGGGGGCGCGCGGGCGCAGGAGGCGCGCGGGCGCAGGCGGCGUGCGGGCGCAGGAGGGCGCGCGGGCAUGCGGGCGCGUGCGGGUCGCGAAGCGGGUCAAAACCGGGUUUUCGGGUCUGUGACCUUCUUUUCUUCAUUUUUUUCAAUUCUCUCACCCGGUUGAACCAAUUACAGCCUAGCUUCAACUCUAAUGACUUUUUUUAUUUUUUAAAAAAUUACAAACACUUUGCAACAAUAAAAAUAAGCCAUUAACAAGGCUAAUUACAAUAAUUAGAACAAAAACACUUAAUCUAGAGCCAAAAUCAUAAUAUAUCCAUUUUAGUUCAAACCAAAAUUUAUCUAAUAAAUAUGAACCCACCACAUGCAAUUGGGUAAAAAUGAAGCAUGCUCUGAUACCACAUGAUAGAACUAAGUCAUGCACAGCGGAAAAAGAAUCGAAUUUCUACCCUAAUUGCCACAAUUAACAUGUAACCAUAAACUAAUCAAAUUAGGGUUUUAAGAAGUAUUACCUUUGAAGCUUUCAAAAGGUUUGAUGUCUUCUUACCAAUUCUACCCGAGACCACCACUAGUACUCAACUGCUAUCCUCUAGACAAAGAACCGGGUUGUGGGACCCAAUUUUGGUGUAGAAAGUAAUGGAGAUAAAAUGAGAUUGGAAGCUUUCUUUUUUCUUUUGUUGAGAUUAUGAAAAUGAUAAAAGAGGCAAAAGUCCUUCAACAUUUGAAAACAUCUCUAUUUAUAGCCUAAUUACAUGCAAAAAUGCAUGCAAUUCAAUUGCCAAAUCUCAACACCUAAUAUUCCACUAACAAUUAGUGGAACUUAGUGGGCUAGGUGUCUAUAUCUCAUAUAGCCACAUAUCCCACUAAGAGUUAGUGGGAUUAUCCAACAAAAUGUUGGAUUUUCCCACUAACUUAGUCCAAGGGUAAAAUGGUCAUUAGAUUUUUCUAGUCAAAAGUCAAACUUUGACUUUUCUAAGUCAAAAGUCAAUAUUUUGACUUUUUACCAUUUUGUCCGUCUUGACUAAUUCCAACCUCCCGAGCAUGAAUCCGCAUUCAUUUUUCCAAAAUUCAAAUCACAUUUGAAUAUAAGGCCGGUCAAAGUUUGACUUUUCAAAGUCAAAAGUCAACAUUUUGACUUUUUACUAUUUUUGACCAAUUCCGAGCUUCUUAGUAUGAAUCCGCAUUCAUACUUAUAGUAUGUAAAACAUAAAGCUCUAUUUCUAAUUAGAAGACCGACGAUUAUAUCACUGUAUAUGUCGGUUUUCCUUUCUUCUCCCUAUUCGAACAAUUCGACUUAUUUCAUCACACUGUUCUAAGUUUAAUCCAUAUGAGCUAGCAGAGGAACCUAAUGGACCUAUAGAUCAUGGGCUCCAACGAUUCAAGAUUAACUAGCUAAACUCUUUUAAACCGAGUUAAUCAACAUUCGUUAACUAACGGGUCAUUCCACUAAAGUCCCGUAGUUGCACUCCCCUCACUAUAGAUAUAUUUGUGUCCAUUUGAUAAAACCAUAAUCAGUAAGUUAAUCCUUCACAGGUUGCUCGUAACCUUGGCUGGGUCAAAAUACCGUUUUACCCCCAAGAUUACAUCUUGCUCCUUAAGUCCCACUAAUCCACUAUUGAACAAUUGGUUUAAGGUUCAACCUAUAAACUUAAUCCCUCUCGGGCCAAUGAGAGGGUGGGGCCCCUUGUUCAAGACUUGGAUUCAGUGCUUAAGAGAGCAACCUAUCUACUAACCCUAAAGCGGGUAGGAGUGAAUUCCAUCUUGUACCCUAUGUUCCCAGCUAUCCACCCGAUCUUACCCCUGAAAUGGGAGGCUUAUUGGGCCAACGCUGAUGAGCUGCCCUCACCUAUGCAGAUCUAAGGAUAAUCUCGUAUGAACAGGAGUUCAUAGUUAACUCAGGAUUAAGACUAAGUUACCUAGGUCAUCAAUAAUUGAGAUAGUCAGUUUUAAACAGUAAACGGUGUUAUAACGUAAAAAUGACUAAUUCAUGGUUCAGUCUUAUGUAAACAUUUUACAUAGGAUGCCCCCACUUUCAUGUCUCUACAUGAACGAUUAGGAUCACAUCGUUUGUACUACAAAGUGGGCCGCAUCCAUAGUCUCUCAAAAUAAGGCGCCCAACCUUUAUUUCAUAUACUAUAGACUAUUUAGGCUAUAUACUCGAACUUGAUCCACGUUUAUGUUUACACAUAAAGUUCAAGUUUAUUCAAAAAAUAGCCUUGGAACUUUGAUUUAUUGGAUAAUAUUUAAUUUCUCAAUAACAACUUUAUUGAAUAGAAUAUGAUUUACAAACUACGAGUUUUAGGACAAAAAAUUCCAACAAGAAGAUCUUGCACUAAAAGCAGCAGAGUCAAUAGUAGGGGUUGCGGAAAUAUUCAUAGCACUUGUGCGAUCUUCCUCGAGGCGGAUUUCAGAGCAAACUUCCAUCAGGGAGGGAAUCGGUCUUUGACCUAGUAUACGCCCUCGAACUACAUCAAACUUAGGAUUAAGACCAGCAAGAAAGUCAUAAAUCCUGUCAUUCUCUUCAAUUCUCGAGUACUGUACACCAUCAGUGGGAUCACGCCAUACUAGUUCUCUGCAUAGGUCCAUUUCUUGCCAUAUAAGAGAAAGCUUAUUGAAAAAGGAUGUGACAUCCAUGGUUCCUUGCUUGCAUUCAUGAACUUGCUUUCUCAGCGUGUAUAGACGAGAGGCAUUCUGACGUUUUGAGUAAAGUGUCUGGGCUGUGUCCCAAAUAUCCUUGGCUGUUGCAGCAAACAAUAACGGCUUGCCAAUUUGAGGUUCCAUACUAUUGAUCAAUAUGGAUCGAAGAAUAGAGUCUUCUGCCUUCCAAUAUUGUUCAUGUGGGUCGCCCGGUAGGGGCGAGGUAUUUCCCCUGUCAGAAAGCUAAAUUUUUGUCGUCCUUCGAGGACCAUCUUUACUAACUGAGACCAUGAGAAAUAGUUGUUGCCAUUCAACUUUUCUCCUGAAAGAUGAUACAUGGAAGACUGAGUCACCGUAUUAGUCACAUAAGGAGAGGAUACAUUAGGGAACGAGUUUACCGGAUUCUCAGAAUACAUCGGUAGAGUGGAUGUCGUCCCUAAGGUAGCCUCAAGUGCUGCUAUCUGUUGUCGAAGCCCUUCCAAUUGUUGAUGAACUAUUCCCGAGGAAGCUUGCACGUUACGGUUGGAAUAUGCCGAAGAUUCACCAACCUCAAAUGUUGAGUGAAUUUGAGAGUUUUUAACGUCGGGAUGGUAGCUAGGAUCAUUGGGUGGCUGGCCAUACAGAUUUGACGGCAGAAGCGGUGGUAGCCGAUUGGAAUUAGAUGGCAGAACAUAAAUCGGGGCGUGGGGAGCAAUAUAGGCCGCGGACGAAGAAAAGGGUUGGACAGAUGGGAUGGUCGGCGCCGUCUGAGGAAGAAAACCAGGCGCGUGGUGGUCCGGCGGCGGCGCGUGGUGGUUCGGUGACGACGCGUGGUGGUCCGGUGACGGCGCGUGGUGGUCCGGUGACGGCGCGGACGACUGCGGUAAUGACGAAAAAUUAUUUUCGGACGUUUUCUGUAGCCGGCUUAAUAAUUCGUCCAUGGCAGCACGCAUCCGAGCAUCAAUGGCAGCAGCUACGGCAGCACUAAAAUUGAUGGCUGUCCCUUCUGUUUGAUUUUCAUAAGUGGUUUGGUUUUUUUUGGGUUUCUAGGGUGUUUUCAUUGUCCCGCUCUGAUACCAUAUUGAAAAGAGAGACAACGAGUUCACACCAAUUUACGUGGAAACCCGAGUACCGGGAGAAAAAACCACGAUUGUUUGUGUUGUUAUUAUUUUCUAAUGAAUAAAGCAAUAGGUACAAGGGAGAAUAAAUAGAGUACACAAUGGAAUAAAAAAGGAAAAGAUUUAGGAAAAUAAGGAAUACAUUCCCAUAAUCUUUCCAUAAUUAUUCUAGGAUUCUAACAAGGAAAAAGCCUAGAAAAAAAGGAAAGAAUUCCAACAGUUAUGAAUAGAGUUUUGUUUGCCCUUGGUUCUUUUAUUUUUUCAAUAAACGUUCGGUUGCUUAAAUAAAAUGGUUCUCUGGACAGAAGUGAAUUGUGAGUUUACUGAAUUUGGUAAAUUUAGAAGCAUUCCUCUGUGCAUCCUCUAGUAGAUUUUGGAUUUUCCUCUUCCACUGUAAUGGAAUUGGACGAGAAAAGUUAAUGUGUUCCAGUUAUUUUACGGUGCUGGCACUUACAUGUUUGGAAUUGAUGAUGAACGAAUAAUUGAUGCUACAAGGGCUGGAAGCAUUGCUCAUCUGGUCAACCACUCUUUCGAAGUAUGUAUUACUUUAACAAUUGAUUUACUUUUUAUUUUUUCCUUUUAUGUUAAUGUUCUUUAUCCUCAUGAGAUGACUCAUUAAAUUAUGUGUCAAUAGAAUUAUCUUAUAUCAUAGUGCUCUAUGGAGAUGAAAUGCAAGUUAGCUAAAUUUUUCCUUAGAUGCUUGAAAGUUAGAAGAGAAAUUUAACUCCGGUUUUUCUCUCAUGGACUAAGCUAUCUUAUUCUUACACAGUAACUCUUGCUCCUCACAGAAGUGUUCAAGGAUAAAUAAAGGUUCGUAUUAGAAGUGGACGUCCAUUAGUUUUGGUAUGUAUGUAAAUUAUUUUAAAUCUAAGUAUUUGAUUUCCUAAUAGUUGAAAACCUUAGUUUAUUGACAAGAAAUCAAAUGGUUACUUCUGAAGUUGGUUGAUUGUAUUUGGUUAUGUCUACUAAUGAGAAUGACUUUACCUUAAGGGGAUAGACUUUAGUUUUGGUAUCUCCAAUUGAGAAUUUAGCCAUUGUUCUUACUCUUUAUGGAGUAUCUUAAAGACAAGAAAUCGACACUCCAAUGCUAUGAAAAUUUUCCUAUAAGUAAGUACAUUGUAUAGUCUCAUGUUCAUUUGGUAUGUUAUUUUAUUUGCUUACUUUUGUAAUACUAUUCUAUUUUAGAGCUAUUUAGUCAAUUGAUUGUAAAUUCUGACUACAGCUGAUGAUAUGUGGGGAAGAUAUUCAUAGUUCAUCUUUAUUGGCGAUGAUUGCAUAAUACAAAACUGUUUAACUCUAAGGAUUACAAAUUGUCGUACAUGUAUUGUCGUAGGCUGUUUUGUUCUAAGGACUAGGAACAACCCAAGAAGUUGUUCAAUUUGCAGUGGCCAUUUGGUUGGACGUUCUUCUUCUCCUUGAUCUCUUUUCUCCUCUUCUUAGGAACUUCAUUUUCAUUAUCAGAUUUGAAGAGGGACCACCAUGAGUGGGGUAGUAAAAUGAAUAGAGAAUGGGAGAGUGAGCUGGGUAUGUUUUUGUAUGUGUAUUCUAGAGAGAAAGAGUGAGCUGGGUAUGUUUUUGGUAUGUGUAUUCUAGAGAGAAAGAGUAGCAGUAUGUUUUUGUUUGCUGUGUUUGCCUAAUAUAGUCCUCAUGGUCUUCUCUUUUCAUUUCAUGGAAUCAAGUGUUGAGUUCUUGUUUGUGUUCUUGUUUGUGUUCUGUAUUUUGUUGAGACGUUGAUUUAGUUAUUCAUUGACUGUACGUAUGUGUUAUGGAUUCUUUGUAGGUUCAACUGGAGUCGACAAGUUCAUGAGUUUUGUUUCAAAUAUCAUUUCCAGAAACGAACAUUCUCGGUUGGUCCAGUCAAAUAUAUUCGAAUGCUAUUUAAGAUAUUUUUUGAUUAAGGGUUAGUAUUUCGUACAUGUGGAUUACUGAAACUUGUAUUAAGAUGUACAAAUAUUAUAAAUCGUAUUAUAGUGUAUAUAUAUUAAAGUGUUGGCUAUUUUCUUGUACAUUGGUGUGAAACUUGUAUAAUUUCAAAUUUGUCAUUCUCAGCUACAUUAUUGUCAUUCUAAUGGUUCGUGUAAUGGUGGAGCUGCAUGGAGAACAGAAUAAAAACUAUAGGAAAUUGAGAAAUGUGAUAGUUAAUAGUUGUUGUAAAUUGGAGAACGAUGACAGUUAUUUAACAAAAUAAAUUGUCACGAUUGCUCUAUAUGUGACAGGAAUAACAUGUCGUCAUAAGAUAAACAAUGACAAUUUUUUUUAAAAAAAAACUGUCACGAUUGCAUUAUAUUUGACUGGAAAAAAAUGUCGUCAAUGGCAAAACAAUGACAUUUAAUGUUAUCGAAAAAACUGUCACGAUUGCCACAAUCGUUGACUGGAAAAAAAUGUCGUUCAAUAACUAAACAAUGACAUUUUUACAAAAAAAAACUGUCGCGAAAAACAUAUUCAUGACAAUUAAUACAUGUCACGAUAAUAGAAUUCGUGACAAUUAUUUAACUGUCGUUAAUAAAGAAAUGAUGAUAGUUAUUGAAUGUCAUAAAAUAAAUUAUGACAGUUAUUGAAUGUCGUUGAAUGUUGAUUAACGACAUUUAUUUCAUGUCAUAAAACAACCUAUUGCGACAGUUUUCAAAAACUGUCGUCGAAGGCCUUUCCAUGACUCCCGCUUCUAUGACUGAAAAUAACUGUCGCGAAAUCCGUUCGCGACAGUAAAUAACUGUCGUCGUAGCCCACUUUUGUACUAGUGAUCCUCUUCAUCUUCGUCCUCUUCUUCCUCUUCGUCAUCCUCUUCGUCCUCAUCUUCGUCUUCAUCUUCGUCCUCUUCAUCCUCUUCAUCUUCGUCCUCUUCAUCCUCUUCAUCUUCGUCAUCUUCGUCCUCUUCAUCCUCUUCAUCUUCGUCCUCUUCAUCCUCUUCAUCUUCAUCUUCAUCUUCAUCUUCAUCUUCAUCAUCUUCAUCAUCUUCAUCUUCAUCAUCUUCAUCUUCAUCUUCUUCAUCUUCCUCUUCAUCAUCUUCAUCAUCUUCCUCUUCUUCAUCAUCUUCAUCUUCAUCUUCAUCUUCAUCUUCUUCUUCAUCUUCAUCUUCUUCCUCUUCCUCUUCCUCUGCUGAUGCUGCUGCUUCUGCUGCUUCUUCUGCUUCUUUUGCUGCUUCUGCUUCUGCUGCUUCUUCUUCUUCUGCUUCUGCUGCUUCUUCUUCUUCUGCUUCUGCUGCUUCUUCUUCUGCUUCUGCUGCUUCUUCUUCUGCUUCUGCUGCUUCUUCUUCUUCUUCUUCUUCUCCUUCUUCUUCUUCUUCUUCUUCUUCUUCUGUUGCUGCUUCUGCUUCUUCUUCUACUGCUGCUUCUUCUUCUUCUUCUGCUGCUUCUGCUUCUUCUUCUUCUGCUUCUUCUUCUUCUUCUCCUUCUUCUCCUUCUUCUCCUUCUCCUUCUUCUUCUCCUUCUCCUUCUCCUUCUCCUUCUCCUUCUCCUUCUUCUUCUCCUUCUUUUUCUUCUUCUUCUUGAUUCAAACCACAGUAAGAAAAUGAGAGGAAGAAUUGCUCAUUUUUAAAAACCAAAACUUCUUCUUCUUCUUCUUCCUCUUCUUCUUCUUCCUCUUCUUCUUCUUCUUCUUCUUCUUGAUUCAAACCACAGUAAGAAAAUGAGAGGAAGAAUUGCUCAUUUUUAAAAACCAAAACUAAAAGAUUAAAUGGAUUUAGUUUUUUGUUUGAGAAAGUAACACUACAAAUCCUACUUCCAUUCAUUGGUUUCCAAGUGUUUUUUUUUUUUUUUUUUUUUUUGCUAUAUUUUAAGAGUUUUUAAAAAGAAGUCAGAAUUUGAAAAAAAAUAGUACUUUUCUUUUAGAAUUUUACUAAAAACAACUCUUUUUGCAUAAGAAAGAUGGAAAUGACUUUUGGACGACUUAGAUCCAUGGAAAAGAUUAAGGGAUUGAGAACUUUUAUUUCACAUUGACAAAAAUUAGCAAUGCCUAGCUAAAGGAUGUGAAUACCAAGACAUGCUAGUUGAGAGACCAAAGAGUGUUGGUGGUUUUAGUAUAACAUUGUCACCACACUCACAACUAUCAUCGUUCAAUGGGCAAGUUAGAUAAACUUGGAUGCACUUUCACAAAAAAUAAUUAAGCCUACUAUGAAAUUUUAGAUUUGGAUAAAUGUGUUAAGUUAGGAUGUUGUGUUAACCUUUGAGAGCAACCGACACUGCUAUCACACCGUAAUUGCUUUCAAGGCAGUGGUUCAUCCAUGACGUAACGAUUUUCUUCAACAUAUAUGUUCUAACAAUUUGAAAGCAAUUACAAUACAAAUUUCUAUCAAUAAUGGUGAAGUCCUUCUCAGUCUAUCCAAGCUCGAACCACUUGAUGGAGAGAACAACCGUCCCUAGUCUAAAAAUUUAUUGAUCGUAUUUGAGCAGUUGGAGGUUGAUUAUAUCUUCACCAUGGAGGAGUCGAAUCAUACCAAAAAGAUGAUAAAUGCUUUUGACAUAAAAUUCUCGGAGAACCUUGCGAUGUUUUUGACCAACUAAUUAAGUAGUCCUUUAAUAUGUGAAAGACAACAAAAUAGUUGAAGGUCAUUUGUUUAAUCAUAUGACAGACAUAGUGUUUAAUUUGUUUGUAGUCCAAAAGUCAACAAAUGUAAUUUGGAGUACAUUGGAGUUGUGAUAUAUAAGGAGAUGACGCAUGUCGCAAAAAGUACAUCGUCAGUAUGACUACAAUUUUAGAUGUCAAACAAGAAAGCUGUAGUGGAGAAAGUUCAUAAAUUUAAAAUUUUGGUAGCCACCGUUUUAUAUAAGGGCAAGAAGAUGUAUGAGAUUCUCCAACAAAAUGCUCUACUUCACAAAAUUUCUCAAUCCUAAAGUGGCUAUAGAAACCAUCUUAAACGCAAAAACAACAAUUUGAUACAACCAUAUGCAUGCCUACAAAUAAGUCAAUAUGCUAAAAGAUAAGCUACACUACUACAAAAAUACACUAAUCUUUACACUUUUUAACAAUCAACAAUUAUUACUCUUGCCGGUUUUUAAAUCGUCCUUGAAGCCAACAUAAAAAAAGUCAAAGUUCAUGACAGUUAGUAAACAUUAAGAAUAAUAAAUGUUGACAUUUUAUAAACGUCAAGUUUACAAAUGUUCAUGACAUGUAAAAACCGUCAAGUAUGUUGAUGUUAACAACCUUUAAAAAAUGUCAAGACCUAAGGUUCUUGACAUGUAUGAAAACGUCAAGAAUGUGAGUGUUCAUAAAUUUGAAAACCGUCAAGAGCUAUUCUUUACUUGAUACAAAAAAUCUGUCAAAAAAUUGAUUGUUUAUGACAUAUAAAAAACAUCAAGAAUGUACAUGUUUAUGACAUUUAAAAAACGUCAAGAAUAUACUUGUUUGUGACAUUUAAAAAAUGUCAAGUCUGUUUCAGAUUAAUUUAGUUAUAUUUUUGUUCUUGUAUUGGCUCUGUAAUCCAUGUAUGUAAUUCAACAAUCCCAUACAUAUGCAUGAGGAUAUUCGUCAAAUAUAAUUCCAAAAACUUUAACAUAUAUGAACAUUACUUCUAGAACAUUCCAAAACCUUACAUAUUUGUUCGAUAUUGUCAUAUACAAAACAUAUAUUUCUAUGAAAGUUUUUUUUGUAAGUUAAGAUGAACUACAUUUCUAGUUCAAGAGACAAAAACUUAAUUAAAAAAACUUGAAACUAAAUGACCUUGGAUGAUCUUGGUUUCAAAUACAAACUUAGAUUCCACAACCUAAACCAAAAUACAACAAUGUCAAGUUAAAAUAGGUUCACAUAACAAAAUUUAUCAAAUAGCGAAAAUGAAAGAGAUGUGACUCAAUACUUAAAUGUAAAAAAUAUAUAUAUAUAUAGAACAUAGAAUUGUCGGUAAAAUAAGAGGUAUGAGAAUAUUAUACCACAAACGUAGUUGAUAGCACAGCGUAUGCACAAUGUACUAACCUAGUUAAGUGGUGAAUUAAUUCCCAAAAAAGAAAAACUGCAAAGCCUCAAAUGACUAGAGUGGUUUUCACGUAACAUCUUGCAAGUAUGAUUUGUUUUAAAUAAGAAAGUAUAAAACUACAUUUCAACAUAGAGAUCAACACAAGCAAAGAAAAGAAAUGAUACUGAUAUAUCUAAAGUAUCAAACUACAUCCCAACCUAAAGAUCAACUAUGUAGCACAUCUCCAAAUGACUUUUCCUAUCUUAUUUGUAUCGUCCUAACUUGUUAGUUUAUAGUCGUGCAAGUUUACCCUGUUUGUUUAUAGUCGUGAAAGUUUACAAACUCAAAAAUAAAAUAGCAUUCCCGAUGACAAGGUACUUAGUGAGUUUGAAGUGUUUGUGCAGAAGAUACAACCAUAUAUUAGAUGCGUCAAGUUCACGAUUUCUAUCAUAGGAAGAGAAACACCUUGCACAUUGGUACAUCUUGAAUAAUGUAGAUGAAAUUGCAAAGUACCGGAAGUAGAUACAUUCAACUCUAAACUUCACUAGCACUUUAAGUUUUUGUUAAGUUAUAGUCGUCACAAAGACUCACAACUAUGCGUACUUUAGGAAAUACUUAGGGUUGAUAUGUUGUUAGCUCAAAGCAUUGUCGACUUAUUUAAAAGACAUUAAGAGGCAUUUUCUAAUUGGUUCAGAGAUCAUGUGAUAAGCGUUCAAUAUGCUUUAAGCUUACAAAGCUAGAGGUCCUUCUAGGAUCCUUGUAAACUAACACAAACGAGACUGACUUACUAAAUGAUUCCAACCAAGAUUUAGUUAGAAGAUGAAUUACUCUUACACCAAACUUAGAAUCUAUAAUGGUCACUCCUAGAUCCUAAGACAACUCACUCCAUAAUUAGAUUGAUCAAAACUAAUCCAAUGAAUCGAUUGAACAUUUAACCUAAAACAAGAUUUGAAAGAAAAGACAAUACCAGAGGGAUUGAAUAAGCAAAAGCUUUUUAGUAUUCAUCAUAUUUUUUUUCUUAUGAGCAUUACAAGCCAUUUUAAAGGCCAAAUUGUCGUGGAGUGACCAGGAACUCAAAAAUCAUUCAAAUACAUUUAAUUGCAAAUUGUAGAAAAUAAGACCUAGGAACUUAAAACUUGAUUGCACAUCAAACGAGCAGCCAUUUCUCAAAAACUAAAAGAUAGAAUUGCUUUAAAUUGUCUUAAAAUAUGUGCUAUGUAAUCCGCUCCUCAUAAUGGCAACGUUUGACAACCUUUGACAUCACGAAAUCCUAAGAGAUGCAAGUUGGACAACCACUUCUUCACAAAUUUUGCACACCUUUUUCAUCCCCCGUGCCAUCUUCCAAACUACAAAACUUUUUUCGUGCCAUCUUGACUCCAUUCUCUUCUUGAUUUGUUGAACAAACAUUAUACAAAAAUUUGGUUCAAAAUUCUCGGCCUCUCGCUGUGCAUUUUUCAGCUUUUGAACAUGCAGUGUGAAAGCCUCUUGUAUCUUCUUUGCCUUACUCCUUGUGAUUGGUCCUUCAAGUACAUGCAAUGGAUUAUUGAUUGAAUGAUCUAAGAUCGUUUAGAUUAUGAUACACGAUCUUGUAGUUCUUUUUAACGAUGGAAAAAAAUACUUAAAAAUUUAAACGAUUGUGUAACCAUGCUAACAAAUCGUGUUGACCAUGACAAAUUAACGAUCGUGUUGAUUAUGAUAAAUGAUCGUGUAUUUCAAUGUAAAUUAUCAUUAAGAACUUCAAAUCUAACGAUUGUGUUUACCAUGCUAAACGAUCGUGUUAACUAUGCUAAACGAUUGUGUUGGCUAUGGUAAACGAUCGUUUAGAUCAUGUCAACAUGAUCAUGUAGUUCGCUUUAAACGAUGAGAAAAAAUACUUUAAAUUUAAACUAUCGUGUUGACCAUGGUAAACAAUUGUGUUGAUCAUUUACAAUAAUAUUUAAAUGAUCUUGAUAUUCUCGAAUAUGAGAGAUGAAGAAAAAUAUUGAAACAAUCGUGAAAUAGCUUCAAAGAAUCUGUCGAAAAUGAUGAAGAAGAAAUAGAAGAUUUAAACAGAAGAAUAAAUUGUUUAGAAAUAGAAGGAAAAAAUUUGAAAGAGGAGAGAAAAAAUCUGGAAGAGAAGAAAUCACAAAGAAGGAAGAAGAAGAAAGAAGAAGAAAGAGAAGUGAUGAAUCGUUUGCAAUAUUCAAGGGAAAAUUUGAAAAUUGUGAAAAUAUUUUAUUGAUUUCAUGAUGGGUUUUUGUUUUUUUAUUACACUAACUAUAAAUAUUUAUUGUUUUUUUUUAUAUUUAUGUAAAUUAUUCUAAAUACUAUUAUUGUUAUUUGAGUUUAUAAAUGACAUUGGAAUGCGUAAGUUGAAAAGACAAUGUUCUUCAUCUUCUUCCCUCAGAUAACCCUAGUCAUCGCUGUCCUCUACACCGCCAAUCAGCUUGGUGAGUUUAGGUGGAUAUUUUGGAUCUUUAUUAUGAAAUUUUAAUACUCAUUAAAGAUUAAUUGAGACCUUAAAUUAAGUUCCUUAUUAGAAUUUAUUUUGGUUGCAUAGCUUUGGAAGGUUCCCUUUGAUAAAGCUUGAGGAUUUAAACAGUGAAAUAUUCCAUCAAGGUUGGGAGAAUUUUUCAAUCUCCAUUUGGUAAUUAAAUUAAUAAUUUGUAAUUGACAAAAAAUGUUCAUUUAAUUUUGGUUAUGCAUAAGUGAAAUUGUGAUUUAGUUUACAACACGAAACUUAGCAUAGUCUAGGUAAUGGUUCUACUACUGCAACCCCGACUGAGGAUUGACUACUAUGAUAAUUGUGAUAGAGUUUUGAUUAUUGUGACAGAGUUUGAUUACUGUAAUAAUUAUGAUACAAUUAUAUGCACAACUUAUGAUAGUUGUGAUGGUCAAUUAUCUGUAUAACCUAAGAUUAUUGUUAAAUUGUGAAGAGUAACCAAUGGAUUAAGUUAAGGUGUAAAGGAUAAUUAAUUGCAUAUGUAACGUGGGUUUCACCAACAAAAGUUAAAGUUUCGAUAAAUUAAUUUUUUAUUCUUUUUUUGGAGGUUUAAUUGAAAACUUUUUAAACAAUUAAUUUAUGAAAUUUUCCUUAAUUGAUUUCAACUUCAAUCAUGUUUAAGUUAAAUUGGAAAAAUUUUGUAUUCCAGCCGUUGAUCAAUUUUAUUAAUUAAGGUUAUUAAAAAAAUUUCCUUACUGUUUAGAAUUUGUUUUAAUUGAAAAAAAAGUGUUGGUCAACGAAAGAUAUUUUUUAAGUUAAUCUUAGAUGUAAGAGAUUCUACUAUUGAACCUUCGAAUGAAAAUUUAAAGACUCUAUGUAACUACUGAUCGUGCAUUAUUGUUAGUGGCUAAACAUACAUAGUUCAGUUGUGUAGUUGUCGGCUGAUGUUAUAUGAUUAUGCAUGUUUUAUGAAUUGCUAUGUUUGGGGUUUCAUGUCUUGAAUAUGAUUGUUACAUAAUUUUGGACUAUGGUGUUUGUUGACUUUAGUUGUUAGGCUUUGUACCCCACUUGUAUUGUGUUUCUUCAGAGUCACUCGCAUGAUUAGGGGUGUUCCUGAGGAACCACAUACAUGAUUACGGGUGUGCCAACACAUCACAUGCACGGUUAGAGGUCUUUUGUACUAUGGUCAUAUGGAGUCACUCGCACGACUAGGAGUGUUCCUACAAGAUCACUCGCAUGAUGAAUGAUGUACCUACGGAUCACAAACACACUUAGGAGUGUGUACCUACAGAUCAGUCACACGACUAUGGGUGUUUCUACGAGAUAAAUCGCUCAGGUGUGCUCAAUUGGACACAUGACAUUAUUAUUACAGAAAAUUAACAAAUCACCUAGCAGGACCAGUAGUGGAUCUCUUAGUGGGUAUAUUUUUAUACUUAACAAUUUUUCUAUGUUUGAUUUAUAUUCAAGCAAAAAUAGAGGAAAUGAAAAGCUGGCAAAGGGCCUGUGACUCAAUUUUGCUUUGAUUUACAUAAUUUGUUAUCGGAAUUGAUUUUAAACAUUUUUAUUUAUAAGUCUUUUAUUUUCUUUAAAAUUGGUUAGAUCAAACUAGGCAUGUUUUUAUAAUAUUCUUACUGAUUUCGGCAAAUUAUGUUUUAUGAGCAGUUAUCUGAAAUUAUUUUAAACAAAAAAAAAAAAAAAGUGUCAAAAUUGUUAUUUAUGUUUUAGGUAAUAACCACAACUUAGUAUAAAGACGAGGUGAACAUAGUUUCAAAUAUUCAAAGUUUUUUAUUUAAUUAUAAGGUAUAUAAUGUGCAUGGAAUUAAACCCUUAGUGUAUGCAUAUAUAUAUAUAUAAUAUAAUAUAUAUAUAUAUAAAUAAAGAGAUAUAAAAGAUGAUUAAUCAAGAAAUAAGAAAAUAGUAUUGAAGAAGGAAAUGAGAUAGGAGAUGAGGGGUUACAUUGAUACAUAUAUAUAUUUGUGUAUAUAUGAUCAUGGAUUAGAGAUUUAGAAGAAAAUGAAGAAACCGUUGGUGUUGGUGUUGGUCUCUCUUGACUUACAUCAAUUGAGAGAGAUCAGAGGAUGAUUAUAAUUGUUCCACUAAUUUCCCACUGAAAAUGAUGUGUAUUGAUGAAAACAGGGGUUUAUCCAAAUCCAAAACCAAAUAUCCAAUUAAUAUAUAACUGUUUAAUUAAUUUUAGAUUAGAUUAUUGAGAGUCUAAGCUCCAAAUCCAAUUCUUGACUCUCACACCCUUCAGGAUUUUGACCCAUAUUUCCACUCCUCUCUUGCCUUUUGCUCCUUCUGCUUUGUGUCCACUGCAACCAUAUAAAUCAAAUUCAAAUCACAUUAUUAUUAUUAUUAUUAUUAUUAUUAUUUUAUUAUUAAUUAUUCAUUCAUUCAUUCCUUCAUUACGCUCACAUUAUUGAUCAAAUAUCAAAUAUAUAUAUAUAUGUACAUAUACACAUGCAAAAAUAACUCAACCAUUUCAAUGCUAACUCCUUUAAAGUGGAUGAUCGAUGUGUGUUUUGGAGUUUUUGUUUAAUAUAUGUUUUUUUCUAAUCAAGAUUUUUCCCAAAAAAGAGUGUGUAAUAACAGUGAUGUUUAAAGAAGAUGACUGUUAAAUGACGUUUUUUUCCCCCUCUAUUUGCACUCUUCUAUUAGAAGUACUUUAGAUUGAUGUAACACAUCAUAUCAUAUUUGGUAACUUAAAAGGAUUAAACCAUUUUUGUUAAGUAACAAAGUCCCCAUAAAACAUGUACUUAAACAUAUAUCUAAGAGUGAAUUAUAUUUUAAAACAAUUAAUCUUUUUUUCAAAAUCACUCUUUCAAUAAGCUGUUAGUACGAUGAUACGAGAGAAUUAUACUACUGAUUGAGAAUAUAAAACUAAACAUUAAAUUAAUUUUAGGCGAUGAAAAGGAGAUUUCGAAGUGAUUAUAUGAUAAAAAUAUUUUUAAUCAUUUCAAAAUCACUCCCAAAACAUGUACUUACAUCAAAACCAACUUUAUUAAUUUAGUAUAUGCUUAGAUUAAAAUAAACUUUUGAAAAGUAUGUCAGAAAUUAUUUUUCUCGAAAUUAAAUCCUUAAAAAUCAAACAAAUUAAAACACCUUUUAACACAGAUAGAAUACAAUUUUUUAACUUUUGAAAAAUAAAAAAUAAUUUUGAUGUGUCAAAUAGGUUUUGACGAGUAAUUAUAGCAAUAAUAAUGAAAAUUAAAGAAAUGGACAAAAAUGCAGUACACAAAUUAAACACAGUAUUAAACAUAUACAAACAUGUUUGAUUAGAAAGUGAAGAGACAAAAUAUGGUUUUGUUUUCAACAUUUUUAUCAAAAUGAUUGUGUAAAGUUGAAAGGACUGAAAUGGAAAUUAAAAAAAAAAAUAAAAAAUAAAGGAUCAAAAUUAGAAGAUAGAAAAUUUUUAAUUUAAUUAGUACCUGAUCUGCUUGUGGAUUUUGAAGAUAGCAUGUCAUAUUUGGCUGUGCAAAAUGUUGGCUCUCUAAGAUCCCACCAUUAUUGCUUGGAUCCCAUCUAUUUCCCAUAAUUAGCAAUUACAUUUCAAUUUUUUUUAAUUUACACACCUAAAACUUUUCUACAAAUUAAUUAAAUGUUUGUUUUAAAGUGAAAAAAGAAACUUUAUCUUUGUGAAAUAUGUAAAUAAUAGUGUAUAUAGUACCUUGUGCUAUACUGCGAAUCACCAUCUCUCAGGUUUCUUCUUUCAUAUUCUCCAAACCCCAUCUGCAUUAUUACCCAUCACACUAAUUAAUUUUAACGUUUAUUAUCAAAACUUUGGAUUUUUCUUCAAAAUAACAACAUUUAUGCACAUACGAAUUAAUCCAAUUAUGAUGCUUUUUGAAAAGAAAUUGUGAGUGUAAGCUAACUUUUUUUUUUUUCUUUUUUACACAAUGAUAUGCUUGUUUGAAAAUUAGUGUUAUUAUAAGAUUCUCUUUACAAACAUUGAUCAAAUUUAAUUAUAUAUAUAAUGAAAUCACAUUAUUUACUGUUUUUUUAUAUAAAAAAAAAACACCAAAAAGAAAAUGUAUUUUUUUUUUAGUACAAUAGAGUGGAAGAAUUAGAACCGCAUGUUUCUUUAUUAUACUGUAUGUGAAUUGACGUAUGUGAGAUUGGUAAAAAAAAAGUGCAUUAGAAAAAGAGUAAUUCAUACACAAUUUUUAGUAAAUUGUUUCAAAAAAACCAACAAAAUGUAAUUUCUCCUUAAUUUUUGGAGUUGUUGACAAGUCCACGAACACUUUGCUGAAUUGAAUUCAACUUAGUUUUCAAAUAAUUCUAAAAGAGACAUUAGGAUCUAGCUAGGGUUAGUCCUAACAGUACAACCUAAUUAGUAAUUAGCACAUGAAAUCACUCUCUAAAAAUCAAACAAAUCCCGUUAUUUACUUCUUAAACUCCAACUUAAUUCCAAUGUCAACAUAAUUCAAAUAAUUAUAGAAAUAAGGCACUCUCUUGAACCAGAGCUAACCCAUAUAAUUAAAAAUCAUCAAACAAAAAGCUAACACCAUAUAGGUUCAAUAUCAAUACCAUACCAUAAUAUUAGAGGGGAAGCCAUAAGACGGGGAAGAGGAAGUCGACGAUGGUACCGACCCAUAACCUGUUUGCACCCUUGCUAUUUCUUGAUCCUGAAAUAACAUUUCAAACCAAUAAAUAAAGCCCUCCCUCAAAGAAGAAAAAAAAAACAAAAAGUCAACAAAAAAAAAAAAAAAAUUAAAACUGAAUACCGAUCAAGACUGUGGUUAUUACAUUAGUGAAAGUGUAAGAAGUGGGAUGAAAACCAGCAGAAGCAAUUUCACCAUGCAAUCUGAUCUUCUCAAGCUGAGCAACUCCAAGGCCUCUUUGGGGUUGCCUUGGCUGCUUAUCAGAACCACCCUUUUUCCCUCUUCUGGACGACGGUGAUGAGGACGAUGAUGAUCCGCUCCCUCUAUCAUUAUUAUUCCCUAAACUUGGCUCCCCAAAAUAACCACUCCCCAUUAAUAACACAAACUAAUUUAACUCAAAUUCCCAAAAAAAAAACUUCUACCAAAAGGAAGAACAAGAGCAAAAUAUAUAUGUAUAUAUAUAUACACACACAUAUAUAAAGAUAUGCUAAGGAAUCAAGAAGGGAUCUGAAAAAUUGAAGCCUUUAAAGCAGAUUUAAAAAAAAAAAAAAAAGAAUAGUAAUAAUUUUAUUUAAUAAUUAAAAAAAAAAAAAAAAAACGAAUGAUGCAUAGCUGGAUGAGAUUGCGUUAAGAUUUUCAGUGCAUUAAUAAUGUGGUUUAACUUAUAAUAUUAUAUAUUGCUUGCAAACUGCGAGCUCUACAAAAAGAUGAUUAAAUAAUUAAUGAAUUUUGUUUUCAUUUUAAUAAACAUUUUUCCGACUUUCUUGACUCCAACUUGAAAGCGAUUGUCUUAGAUUUUCUCAAUUUUUAAUUACCAUCUUCUCUCUUCCUAUUGGUACGUUAAACUUUCCACAUCUCUCUGUUAGACGACACGUCGUUCUAUAAUCUAAUUCUUUAUAUUUUAACAACAAAUAUUUAUCUUGAUAAUUAAUAUAUGGCCAUGUUUCUUGCUCUCCAUUACUAUAUUAAUGCUCUUAUUUUCCCUAUGUGCCACGUCAUCCUACCAAACAUAUAUAUUCUCCGUAAUAAUUUUUUCAUAUUCCUCUUCUACUAUUUUUUCCCCUUUUCUGAAUUCUCUCUUUCUUUAUUCUUAUUUUUCUAAGUUAAAAAAAUUGUUUCCUAUAUUCAUAGAGUUUUUAUUCUUUUGAAUUCUCCCUUUUAUUUUAUCCUUUUUUUCCUUCAAAAUUAACCAUUUAUUACAAUCAUUUCAUAUGUGUUGUAAAGUUUUGGGUUUUCUUUUCCUUGAAAAAGAUAUUUAGUUUUGUUGAUAGUAAAUUUAAACAUCAUAUGCCAUCAAAAAUUCAAAUAUAAAAUGAAUCAAGAAUAAUUAGUGAAAUUUCUUGUACUAAAUUUUAGCAUCAACAAAUUUGUUCAUUAAAAUGAAUGCAGAUGGUCUUAUAGUUUUUCUUAAAUAGGAAAGAGAAAAUAAAUGUUAUGUUGUUCAAUUUUAGGUAGGUGCAAUACCAAAAGAAACCCUAAUUAGUAAAAAAUUCAGCUUUUUUUUUUUUUUUCCUUUUUUUCUUUCCUCUCUCCAAAGGAGAAAAUAUAUAUAUAUAUAUAUAUAUAUAUAUAUAUUGUUUUUUUACUUCAUAUCUAGUUAUUUUAAAAUAAAUUCACUAAAUGUCAAAAACAAAAAUGAACCUUAAUUAGUAAACUACGCCGAUAACCAAAUGAAAGUUAAAUUCAAAAUAUAAAAAUAAAAAAAUAAAGCAAUGUUCUAUAUAUUUUCAUUACAUGUUAUUAGGGAUUCUAUAUUAAUAAGCAUGCAAUUGUUUGGGCUUUUUAUAAAUAAAAAAAUGAGAAUAAAAGAAGAAGCUAAUAUUUGGUCACUAAUCGCAUAAUUAAAGAACCGAAUUUAUAUUAGACUAUGUGUUGAACACAUGUUUUUAAUGAUAAAGAUGGAAAUAUUUGUAAAUAUUUCUUCAAUUUUUCUUGUCUCUCAUUGUUUUUUUAAUCAACUACACGCGGUCAAUUAUGAAGUUAAUAAUAAUAAUAAACCCCACAACUAAAGAUAAAUAGGAAUAUGAACUUUUUUUUAAAAAAAAAAAAAAAAAGGAUAAAUAUGGAAUAUAAAAUUUGAUUUAAUAUAACAUGAAACUUUAUGAUGGAUAUUAGUAAAAUUAAAUUAGAGUACAAAGACUUUUCUACUUUUAACUUAUUUAUUUUAGUCAACAUUCUUCUAAUUAAUUAAUCAAACAGAUCUAGGAUUCAAUUUAAUAGAUAAUUAUUGGUAACAAGUAUUGAUUACAAAAUAUUUGUUCAGACCCAACUCAAUCUUCACUAUUUUAAUUAUUUGUUUUUAUGACUUGCCAAACAAACCAGUAAAAUAAUUUUCAUAAGAAAUUCAAUUUGUUAAUCAAAAGAAUAACGUUCCAUAAUAAUGAUUCAGAUUAAUUCAUUCUAUCUCAUUACUCAUUUCAGCAAAAAGGAAAAAUCAAAUUGUUACUAUAUAUAGAGAUAUACUCUACACUAAUUAAAUAUUUAUAAACUAAGAAUUAUAACUACUCCUCUUACAAGUAGAUUCUUACCUAAUCAAUAUUUAAGGUAUGAUCAAAACUUAAUUACUUGAUAUCUCAUCAAAUUUAUUUUAGUUUACAUACUUUAUCCACUCUCAAUAAAUCUUAAAUCUAGUAAUUUAAAGUUAAUUAAGUUUUGUUAAAAUGGAUUAAAUAAUAAAAAUAAUCAUUUUCACACCCCAAAAAGAUAUUAUCUAAAUAUAUUUUUACAAUGUCUAUGGCUAUGCAUAUAUAUAUAGAUAUAUAAACAACAAGAAACCAAAUGCAAUGCAGGGAGAGUGAUUUGAAGAUCUUUUGUGACCAUAAUUGGUGUUUGCUUAUACUAUAAUUGGUGCAGCACAAGGCAUGUUAAUUAUCGUGCACUGCUACCCCUUGAGAUAUUAGUUAGUGUGAAAUUAAGGUAAUUCGUAUAAUAGUAAUCUUGCACACUGGAAAGAAGAUAAAUAAUAAACAUUUGGUGGAGAUUUAAACGUACUAUUGUUCCAAGUGUUGGUGAGCAAGAAGUUAAAAAAAGGACCAAAGAAUAAAAAUGGUGGGACUCAUUUUAAAAAUCACAAUCAUUAAAAUUUGAUUAUUAUGAUUAAUUAUGUACAUACAUAAUCAAUUGAUUGUAUGGGGGAGAAAAAACAUAAAAAUGUGGGUCGUCCUAAGUUUUAAGGUUUCAUAUACUUUGAUAAUAUACCAAUUACCAAUUCCCAUUGGUGAAGAAUUAAUAUUUUUUUUUAAAAAAAUAAAAUAAAAAAUAAAAAAGAGUACGUAAUUAACUAAUUGCGUAAAAGAAUGCAUCAAUAAAAGAUUAAAGGAUAAUCCAGCUGUAAGGGUUAGGGUUCUUAAUGAUUAGGGGAACCAAAAUGGUGAACUAAAUGACAAAGAUCCUACAAAUCUGAUUUUGCAGCCCCCGAGGGAUUGUCCUUCUCUUCAUUACCAAUUAUUUUCCACUCUCAAUAAUUUCAUAACAUUUCAAUUUAGGUUCGAAACAAUUUUUUACACACAUAGGGGAGUUUUAUUUAUUUAUUUAUUAUUAUUCUCAUAUACUUUUCUUUUUUUUUUUUGUUAACAUCCAGUUUUUAGUUUUACGGAGAUUUUGAUAAUAUUCAUUCUACUUUUUUUUUUAUUAUUAUUAAGUCAAGUAUAAUAUUAUACAAAAUUAACACUGCUAAUAAGUAUUUUUUUUUGGAUAUGCUCCUUUUAAAUUUGUUAAACUAAAAGUAAGAAUAUGAAAUCUUGCAUUUUAUUGACAUGCAUAUACGCAUGCCCAUCUAAUCAUUACACGGUUAACAUUUGUUGCCACGUGUUUGACACGGUGCGUAGCGGUCGAUAUUUUUGAAAAUGUUAAUUUUAAAAUAAAAACAGAAGUUACCACUAAUCCUUUUUACCUUGUAGUUGGACACCGAAAUAAAGUAAACAAGUUUAAAUAAAAUCUUAAUAAAAAAGAUCUACGAAACUAGAAUUGAGUUCGAGAGUCAUCUGUGUAUAGAAGAUGUUAGCACCACACAACACCCGUUUAGAAAAUAGUGGCAAAUUUCAAGUCUUAAAUUAAAAAUAUUUUUUAAUUUAUUUUAAAACUAAUGUCUUAUUUUAUCUCUCAUCCAAUAAUUAAAACAAUGAUCUCACAAAAUAAGUGGAGAUCAGCAUCCCAUCAAUUAGACUAUACUGAAGAAAACAUUUUCACUUCAAGAAAAUGAGAAAUUAGAUAAGAAAAUAGUACAAUUUCUCAAAAUUAUGAAUAGGCUCCUAAUAAAUAGAUCUUUUUAAAACAUUAAUUAAAUAAUUUUUCUUGGAAUCAAUCUUAAAUUUCCAAAGAUGAGAUCCUUCGCCUCAAGAUUUACGGGGAGCCGAACUCUCAAAUUCCUUGGAUUCCGUUCUAGGAUUUUAUUUUAAACAAACAACAUUAGAAAAGAUUAUUAGAAAAUAUUAUGAAAUCAUACGGUUUAAAGAAUUUUUUUUAUAUAAAAAAGAGAGUUGUGUGAAAGAUUUUUAAACUUAGAAAAAUUUAAAUUAAAAAAAUUUUAAAAUAUUAAAAAGUUUAGUUAGAAAGAUUUAUAAAUUUUAAAUAAAAAUCAACAUCAAUUUUAAUAAAAAAAUUAGAUAAGUAAAAACAAGAGUAAAAGAAACAUUAUAAUAACUUAAACAAACAUAAAAUAGUAUAUUGUGAUUUUAAUAAGAAUAGUAUAUUAUGAUUUAAUAAGAAAAAACAUAAUAUUGGAGUUUGACGGUGGACUUUCAAAGAAUAAUCAACUUUCUCACCUCCACGAUUCUAGAAAAUCAAAUUUUCAAAUUUUCUAAAUUUUAUAAAACAAACACAAACAUUUAAACAAACACAUGUACCAUAAAAAAUGUAAAAUAAACAAUAAUCUAUAAGUAAAAUAAAAUGGAAAGCAAAAUUACUAGAAAAAGAAAGAAGAAAAUAAGAACACGGAAUGAGUAAAAAAAAAAAAAUGAAACAUAAACAAAUAAAUUUAUUAUAAGAGAAAGGAAAGUGGAGAAAUAAGAUAAUAAAUAAAUAAUUGAAAGAGAAUAAAUAAGGAGAAAUAAGAACUUGAAAAAUAAACAAAUGUGGAAAAAAAUAAUAUUAAAUAACACAUAAAAAUGAGAAAAUACUAAAUAAACAAUUAACAAAAUGGUUUGAAGAGAAAAGAAGAAGGAAAUAAAAAAUGCUAAUUAUAAAAAAAAAUAAUAUACAUAUAAAUAAAGAAUAAAGUUUAAGAAUAAAUAAAGAAAGGAAACAAACAACAAUAAUAAAAGAUAAAUUAGAACCAAAUAUGGAGCAAAUAUGUAUAAUAAAAUAAUAUAUAUAUAAAAGAAAAAUAAUAAAGAAAUAAAUGUAAGAGAAAGGAGAAUAGGAAAAUAUAAAGAAGAAUAUCUGAAAAAAAGAGGAAAAAAAUGUUGAAAUCCAAAAUAUUAUAGUCUGUUGUUGUUUGAAAAUGUGGACUAUUGAGAUCUAAACUCUUAUGGCACACCUCCAACUAAGUUAGAGUUUUGGUUGUAGGUUGGGUUGUUAGUAUUAUAUAGAGUUUGUUUUUAGAGAGAUAAAGAUUUAGGGGUUGUUAGGAAGAGAAGACAAAAUGGAGGUUGUAAUCUCUUGUUUUUGAAGAGGGUGAAAACUAAGAGAAGUGGGACUAUGGAGAUCAGAGGUGGGACUAUAUGAAUUUCAAAUAAUACUAUCUUUGAAUUUGAAAUAAUAAAUGAGAUGGAGAAGUAGAAUAUUGAUGAUGAUAUAAUUGAGUAAAAUAUGAUAGUAAUGAAGAUUGAUGUUUAAAGAAAAAAAAAAGAGGAAGAAGAGCAAAUCCAAGAGAUUGAGGUGCUUGUGGUUUUUGAUUAAGUGGGUCAUGGAUAUUGAAUAAUACAUAGUGUGUUAUAUGGGAUAGUUGCUUGUGUGUUGGAAAGUUUUUUUUUCUUUUCUUUUUUUCUUUAAAAAAAAAAAAAAAAAAAAACGAUUUUGGGUUUUCAAAAGGGGGGGGGAGCAUGUGACUUUCACCUUAGGUUCAUCAACCAAAAGUUCAUCCCUUACCUAAUCCUCUCAACUAUGUCAUCUCUUUUCCUUUUUUUUCUUCUUUUUUUAUUAAUCAAAACUUUAACUUCCAACUUAAAAUCACACAAUCAAUAAUUUACUCACCCAACCAAAUCAUUACACCUUUCAAAAAUUUAAAUUAAAAUAAUAAUUGCUAAUCCAAAUUUACUAGAACCAACACAUCAUUAAAUUCGGUUAGUAUACAUUUCAUAUUCUUCCGUCUAUAUAUCUUAGGAAGAAAUCCACAUGUGUAAAAAUUAUUUUAUUUAAUGUAGCAAAAAUACUUUUUGAGUUCAAUUUUCAUUUAUUCAAAAGUUUCAAAAUCUACCUUUUUAAUAAAGUUUCUAAGCUGUAAGAUUGCUUUCAAUUUAGUCAUGCUAACUUAAUUUAGACUUUUAAUUAAACUUUCAUUAUCACUACUCACUUCAAUCUUUGUCAUUCAUGUCACUUGGUUAAUCCUAGAAGGGUGAGUAGUAAAACAAAAUGUUAUUAAAGAAAAAUCAUUUUUAUUUAAACACUCUUCAUAAAAGUUGUUUAAAUACUUUAAAUUUUUGUCUACUUAAACACUUAAAAAUGUAUUACAAACACACACUUAGUGUAAUUUUAAAUUAUAUUUAAUAACGAGAGAAAAACGAAGAUAGCUUAAAUCCUUUUAUAUUUUCAAAUUAAAUUAAUAGACAUUUUUAUAUUAAAGACUGAAAGUGAGGAUUUAAAGAAAAUUGAGGUAGAAAAGGGUUUAGAUCUCAACCUAUAUUACUAACACAAAUCUCUUAAAACAUAUCAACUAAAUUGAAAUCAAACUCAAGCGAAUGGAUUAAAAUACAAACCUUUUAAAAUGUAAGAAACAAAUAUAAAAUAUGAUACAUUAACGUUAUUGGUCAUUCUGUUUCUAUUCUUCCGAUCAAUCCGUCAAAAUUGCUAGUGGUUCAUCCUGGAUUAGCUAUAGAAUAUGUAUAACAUAUUUUAUUCAAUUUUGAUAUCAAUUUCAGCUUUCUUAUAUGUUACUCACGUUAUCAAUCUUAGUCAAUCUUGAUUAAACAUAUUCAAUUUUAAUGGGUACUUUUUUCAAUGAGAUAGUAUAUAAUAUAUAUUAUAUUGCAUAGGAAAAAGUAUAUCUAAUUGUUCUUAGAUUUUGAUUCCAAUAGUCUACAGUCAUUUGUCAUUUCAUUUUUAUAUACAAAAUUUUACAUAUUUAAUCUUUAAAUUUGGAAUUUUGGUAUUUAAAUUAUAAUUUAAUUUUAAUAGAGAUAGAAAACAAUAAAAAAGAAAUUUAGUAAAAAGAAUCAAAAUUAGUAAAAAGUGUAAACUUUGAAAACUAGAAACCAAAUACAAACAAAACACAAAUGCAUACAGAAUGAUUGAACUAUAUAAUAUAAUAUAAUAGUUUCUAUGUUUGAUGAUUAAAUUUUUUUAAAAAGAAAAAGCAGAAGAAAAAUGAACCUAUUAAUAGACUAAUAUUUUGUAACAUAAUUAUUUAUACAGUAUUUUUGUUUAAAUACAUGAAAGACAUGCGAGUGAAACGAUGUAGAUGAAAACAUGGAAGAAAAUCAUUCUAAUAUUAGUAUAUAAUUUAAUUUAACAAUAAAUAUGAUGUAGGAAAACUAUGCCACGUGUCCCAUGUAAGAAUAAAGAAUAUAAUCAUGCAUAAUUUAUUAAUUUAUGUUUGUGAAGGUCAUCACCCGGAAAUAAAAUGAAAAUCCAACAAAUAGGGAGAAAAUGAUAUAUAUAAUUUUUCUUUAUUUAAAAAAUAAUAAUAAUGUGUGUGGGGGAAUAAUUUUAAUAAUCAAAAUUGUUGAUAAAGUAAGGAAGAAAAAACUAAUAAUAAAGAUCAUGUGGAUACGAUUUGAUGACCAUAUAAGAAGAAAUCAAAAUUUAUAAUAAGAAUGAAGAAAAAAGAAAAAAGAAAAAGAAAGACAGAAGGAAGUGGAGGGAUAUCGCUCUAGAUUUGUAGGCACAUGCACACACACACACACACAUCUACAACAUCUCCAAAUCAAAUAUAAAUCCCUUGGGAAUAGUUGUUCUUUUUAUCCUAAUAAUAUUUCAAAAAAAAAAAAACAAAUUUAAAAUUCAAUAUUUACAAUUAUUAUCCACCCAAAUAUCUCUGGAGAUCAACAGAUGGUAUCUACAGUGACCAAAAUAGAAACAUGCAUCCUAGCUAGUAUGCUACUUUGUGAUCACACACGUACUUGAACGUUUAAGUUAAAGAGUGAAAAAGUAUAAAAGCUAGAAAUGUUGAAAGUAGCUAGGAUUCAAAGUGUUUUUUUUGUUGAAACUAUUAAUGAUAUAUUUAUUAUAAAAUGUUGGCCCAAGUUUACUCCAAUGUCUUUUCAAUUCUAGUUUACUUGAUAACUUGAUUGGAUCAUAUGUUGGAUUAUUUGACUCUGAGGCGCGCUAGACACUCUUUGUGUAAAAGUUUAGGCUCCUCAACGACCUAAAGGUCCAACUCUCUUUACCUAUCAUCAUUUCAUGUUUUGAUAUUGAUUUUAUUUUUUCAUUAUUCUAAUUAAUUAUACUUAUCCUUUUUUUUUUUUGUAACAAAUAUUUAUUAGAAGAAAAAAUAUUAUAUUUAUUUAUUUAUGUUUGUUGUAAGUUUAAUUAUAUGAAAAUAAAAUUGGAAGACAGAAACUUUGAAUUAAAAAAAAAAAAAAGAAGAAGAAGAAAAGAAAGAAGAAGGAUAAGAGGAAACAAAACUAUUUAGGAAUGUGAAGAAAUUAAAAAAAAUAUAUAAUAUGGGUAGAUCUACUAAAUCUUAAUUAUUUAGGUUUAAAAUGAUAUAAAAGGUAAGAGUAAAUGAAGUUAAGGGGUUUGGUAUUAAAAUUGAGAUAAGGGGUUGGGACCACUCUAAUAAUAUUAAACCUUGGAAACAACAGAGAAAGAGUGGGUUUAGAUCCAUCUUCUCAUGUGGAAAUACAAAUUUGCAUUAAAAUUCAACAAAUUGCCUUUUUAUUAUUAAUCAACACCAUAUACAAUUGCCUUCAUCAACCUUUAAUUUCAACAUAUUAUUGAUCUAUAUAUAUUAAUUAAAAGAUCUUCUUUAAUUUAUCUCCUUAUAUAUUUUUCUUACAAAUUAAUACAACUCAAAAGAAACCAACAUCCCUCCCUUUUUUUCUUUAAAUACACACUCAAUCAAUAAAUAUAUACACAAGAUUCCAUAACAUCAAAUUCCCCCCCCCCCCCCCAAAAAAAAAAAAAAAAAAAUCUCCUUCUCUCAACUAGAGUUCUAAGUUCUAGCACACACCUAAAGUUAAAAUGUUUCAAUCUACUCAUGACAAUUUGAAACCAAAGGUUAGACAAUUUUCACAAUGUUUGGAGCCAUCACAGUUUUCUUUUAACAUUUCCAUCCCACCACAACUACUCUUCUACUGUUUAUUACAAAAUUAAUCGUACAAAACAGAAAAGAGAUUCAAAUUUAAUUAUAACUAAUAAGUAGAGACAUAACAACGUUGAAACUAUACAUACAGAAUCUUUACUUUAAUCUAUUAAUUAUUUCAAGAGUACAUUAAUUAAAAGGAGUCCCUAAUCAUACAUGAUUAAGGGGUUGAUUCAGCAUUUAUUUAUAACUUGAUUAGAUAUGCUGUUGAUUAUGUUUAUAAUGAGAGAGAGAGAGAGAGAGAGAGAGAGAGAGAGAGAGAGAGAGAGAGAUAAGGGCUGGCUUCAACAUGCAGGAUUCGAUUCCAUAAUAUAACUUUUAAUUUAAAAGAUUAGCUCUAAUUAAUAUAUAAUUAUUGUUUUAUCCUUUAAUUUAAAUAUUGCAACAUGCAAAUUUGUAUAAGCUCUCUCUGCAUGGGGUCUCCAACAAAACAAAAUAUAUUUAAUCUAUCCACCCCUCCCAUUUUGCUCUUCUUCUUUUCCUUUUUUUCUUUUCUUUUUUCUUUCCCUUUUCCCUUUAAUAAAUUAUAUGCAAGCAGCAUUAAACUAUAUUGUUAUCAUUAAUUAAUUGUGAUUAUUUUGUCACAACUUCUUUUUAUAUGUAUAAUUACCAAUAACAACAACUUUUUCAUAAGGAUAGAAUUCUUGUUAUUUUUAUGUAGAGUUGUAUAUUGUCCUAAUUUCUUUAAACAAAUUGUUGCAAUUAAUCAACUAAUUAAGAGAGGGACUGAAACUAAGAGAAAUUGAAAAUUAUGGUUUUAUUUAUUUAUGUAUUCAUUUCUAAUGUUGUUCAUAAUUAGUAUAAGAAUAGAGUUAGGGUACUUACCACACUAAAAUAAAAACUCAGUUGAGUAUAUUUUGGGUCCAAUAUCCUUAUUUCAAUUAUAUAAUGUAUAUUUGUUUUCGUAACCUAUUUACUAAUAUGCAUUCCAAAAUUGAUAAGGAUUGAGUCAAAUUUGAGAAACAACAUAAAUAGUUUCUUGCUAUUUCUAUUUUACCAUUUCCAUAAAUGUUUAAUAUGAUGUUAGAACAAAGGAAGAUUUUAAUUAUCAACUGUAUUAAUAUCAUAUUAACUUAUCAAUUGGUUUCGUAAUCGAUGAAAUAUUCUUUUUGAAUUUAAUAGAUAAUUUAAUAUGAUAUUAGAGAUAAGGAAGAUUUUAUGUUUAAAUUGUAUUUCUAUAUAUAUUCUUAUAUUCAUAAUCAUGUGGUCGAGUUUUGUGGAAGAAAAAUAGUUUUGAACUUUGAAAAGGUUGGAAAGUAAGAAAGUGAUUAUGCAUACAUAUUUUAUAAUUAACAAAUACUUUAUGAUUAGAAUAGAGUUGAAGAUAAGAGAUUGUGAAAUUAUAUAUGUGUCUGUUAACAAUGGGUUGGAUGGUUGUUGUAUGCAUGGAAAAAAGAAAUAAAAUUAAAGUUGUAAUGAUGUGGUGAGAAGGAAAGAAAAGAGCUACACCCUCCGUGUGAUUCAAUUAGGAUGCGGUGAGAAAAGAGCGGUAAUGUAUGAGUCCUCCUUAUAGUGGGAUGCGUCAAAGUUAAGCUCUUGUAUUUUUAGUUAGUACUUCUCGAUAACAUUGUGAGAUUUUACUACGAUACUGGCAUUCUUUCAAAUUUUUUGUUUUUUUCUAUGAUAGCUCCCAUUUUUAAUCUCUGCCUCUUCAGUCUUGCCAAUGCAAUUUCAAUGUGAAUACAUUUGGGGUGGAUAUAUAUAUAUGUAGAAGAUGAAUGAUUAAAUAGGGUUCUGUUGCUGAUUUUGGUGAUCCGUGGUUUCAGCUAUUUUCCGGUGCAAAGGAAAAAAAAUGCAAAUAUUUAUAAAUCCUAUAUACUACUACAUUUUGCCACCUCUUUCAGAAGAGAUUUGUCGAAUUAUUUGUAAUAUACAAAAUAAAACGUAAUGCAUAAUUUUAGAUCUUUUUAAUAUUCUAGUCCAAUGUUUAGAAAAGAGGUUUUAAAGGCUCUCCAAGUAAAAUUAACAAAACUUACAUUUUAAUACAUUCCUUAUUUGCAAUGGUUCAAAGCCUUCUUCACCAAUGUUUGUAUGCAGUAUUGACAUGUAUAAUUAGGUAGGGAUGAUGGACGACUCCAAUAAUCAAAGGCUUAGCAACUAUAUUCCUUUUCUUUGACUGCUUUAAAAACUUGGUUCUUUUUUUCCGUAUAAAGAAGUUAAAUACCUAGAUGAAAAUAAAAGACAAUAUUUGAAGUUAUUGAUUUUGAAGGCAGGGUAAGUAACAACACUUUCAUCAUGUCAUUUGUUCUUUUUUAUUUUUGUAUUAAAAUAGUUGGGUUGAAGAAAAUUUCCAAUGAUGAUGAGGUUGUAUCAUCAUCAUCAUAACCGUCUUUAACUAAAUUAUUGCUCGUAUGGUUUAUAAAUUCUUGAUGAUUUAGGUAAUGGAAAUUAAAGAGUUUGAUUAGUAUUGUAGUUGAUUGAGGUGGAAGGUGCUAACGGCUUCUGAUGAUGGUGUGGCUUAUAUUGACAAACCCUAAGUAUACAAAUUAAAUAAAAGGAAAAGUUUUAAAAGGCUAAAGGCGGUUUUAGACGAGGGAGAAAGGAUGUUAGGGUGUGGAGGCCCAAUCCUUUAAAAGGACCCUCUUCCUCCAGUAGCUCCCUUUUUUUUUUAUUUACAGAAAACGGUCCAAAUCACAAAAUAAUUGAUAACAAAUUCAAAAAUACCAAAAUUUUUAAAAUUUUUUAUUUAUAGCAAAGCCGACUCAUGUAGUCUUCUUUUAGUCGAUUUUACCCUUAUAGAAAAAAAAAUUCUUUUAUCGCAUAUAUGGUGUAUUUGUAUAGAUGGAAAUGAUAUUAUAUAAUCCCGAAUCACAAGUGUAUUUGCAAACAAUCAAUUUUAAAAUAUUAAAUAAAUAAAAGCUUUUGCCCGACAGGGUCUAUGCCAACUGGCGAACAACGUUGGAGACACAUUGUCCGACGUGGUCAAAGCGUCAACAAUGGGUGUCCAUGCCCGACGUGUUCUUUGCGUUGAAAAAGCCUUUUCAUAAAUUUUUUAUAUAUUAUUAUUUAAUUUUUCGCUAUUGGAAUUAGAUUUGAUUUAAAUUCAAUCAAAUUCUAAAAACAAUUAACCUAAAAUUAAUAAAAAAAAAUUAUUAAAAUAUUCAAUCGAAUUUAUAUUAAAAUUAAUUCAGAUUCUCAAAGUACAUGAAUAAUAAAAAGUAAAAAGUACAAACAUAAUUCUAAGUGCCGACAUCAAUCUCCCAAACUUCUUAACAUUUCCUCAAUAUGACUGUAGCUAGUAUGAUCAUAGGGACAUGGGCAUAAUGUGCAAAGAGGGAAGAAGAAAUCAGAACUAGAAUGUCAAAUAGUAGCAGCUAGUAUGAUCAUAAGGACAUGGGCAGAACGUACAAAGAGAAGAGUUGAACAUUAUUACGAGGUACAUCGAAGGAAAUAUGAGGUUGCUUCAAACAAAAAUGACCUUUGUUAUGGUGGUUCCAGAAAAUUGAUUGGGAAGAGAGGAGCAAUAAAUUGAGAACCGAAUAGGUAAGCCAUAAAAAGUUUCCCACUUACAAAUGUGAUUGAUAGUUUGUCGAAAUUAAUGUUCUAAGACUCAUAGUUUGUAAAUUACAUUCAAUAAUAUGAUUAUUGAAUUAUUUAUUAGUGAAAUAAAAUACUAUAAUUUUGAAUCCAAUAAACUAAGGUUGUGGGAGUAUCUCAUAGGCUUGAACUUUAUGUAGAAACAUAAAUGUGAAAACAUAAAUAUAGAUCAAGUUUGAGUUCAUAGCUUAAAUGGUCUUAUAGUAUAUGAAAGAAUGAGAGAUUUAUCGAAGAAUUGGUAGAAGAGAGAAGAAAAAAUGGGUUAAUUUUUCUAAAUAUAACAAAAUAUAGAAAUAUUUACUACUCAUGUAACAAAAUAAAAAGACUCGUGACUUUUUUUAUCAAGUAUAAGUUUGCUCUUGAAUAUUGUAGACAAUUUUUUACUUCUUUCUCUUCUUUUUUUGCUAUGUAUUCAUCUCCUCUUCAAUUAUUAAUUUCUUCAUAUUAUCACUUUUUGUUCUUCAUAUUCUCACUUGUUCUUGAUUGAUUGCAAGUUAAUUUGUUAUUGACGGUUGAGGGUUGAGUAAGGAAGCACAAAUUUUGAGUGAGCAUAUAUCUUUUGUGUGUGAUUAUGUACUUUAUUCUAUUUUGCUCAUAACCAUUAAGAAUGAAGUCGGUGGAAAAUAUGAAUUUAAACCCUAAACCAAUGUGUUGUCUAAUCCUGCUUCAUUCUAGAUUAUUAUAUGAUUUUAUAUUUAUUUGUGUAUUUUGUAGGUUUGAGUGUAUCAAGGGUAGAAAUGGCAGAUAAUGAUAGAAUGGAGCUAGAAUAGGCGGUAACAGUGUCUAAUUGCAUCGACUGACGUCAAAGUGAUGAAGAAUGGACAAAUUAAUCUUUACCUUUCCUUGCACCGUCCUGGUGUCUCACAACACUUUAAGAGAAGAGAAUGCUCUAUUUUGAUGAAAAACACACCGUGUCGCUAAGCUCUAAAAUUGAAAGUGUUAUUAAAACUCAAAUUUCUAGCAUAACAUGACUUCUAUCAAUAUUGCUCAAUCAAAUUUAUAAAUGUUUAUUUUGGUUUUUUCAAUUAGAUGUUGGACUUAAUUAUUAGCAAAUUUGUAAGAUGUUAAAUUGCUUUCCAUCAAACUUAAUUAGUCAAUUAGGCAAUUUGGGACUUUAUCCUAGCUUCUGUAGGUGAGAUGAGUGAGCUGAUUAAUGUAACAAGAAUCAACUAAAGGUGUAGUUGAUUAUGAAUGAAAAGACAGAAGAAACAAUUUAAAAGUCUAAGCUAUAGCUUCAAUUGAUUUGAAUUAUAUCCCAAUUUACUUUUGAUGCACUUUUAUUUUUAUUUAUGACAACUCAAUUUCAAAUCCCUCGUUCCAUUAACCUUGGGCUAUGGGCUAUGAGCUAUUCAUUUAAGAAAGGAAUGUAGUGUGUGUGUGUGUGUGUUUGGUUCCGUCUUGCCACAAGUAGUUCCUUAUGGUUAGUUUGAUAAAUCUUUUGAUUUGGAUUUAAGCCACAAAUCCAUUUCAACAACUCUACCUACACUACUACAAGAAUUUUUUAUUUUUGCAAACACUUUUUUCUCACAACCUACAAACAAAUGUGGGCGAAGAUAAGAUGUGCCGACGUAAUUUCACUGCGUGGGCACAUCAUCGUUUUUGCCGACGAAAAUAUAUACUCGGCAAAAAAGUUGCGUGGUCUUCAGUAUAAUUCUUAAGUUGGAUUUCUACCGACGUUUAUUUUAGUUUAUGGUCACGUAUCAUGGUGGACAUAUAUUUUAAAUAUUUUUUGAUAUCGUUUUCGUCGACGUAAUUUCAUUGUGUGGACACAUCAUCGUUUUUUUUCGAUGAAAAUAUAUACAUGGGCAAAAACUUGUGUGAUCUUAAGGAAAACUCUAACAACCAACUACGAUACCCAAUUUUGACGAUGACCAUCUACAAUUAGCUUCAACAACCACAUUCACUUGGGAAACUCUAACGACCAACUACAACACCCAAUUUUGACGAUGACCACCUCCUACAACUACCUAUAGUUGCUAACUCCGAAGACCACUUCAAACGUCCAUACAAAACUCUGACAAACAAUUACUAGUAUUUAAUAGCCUUCUUUUGUUGUAAUUUGAUAUUUUAAUAGAAACACUCAUGUAUGUUUGGGGUGGGGAUUAAGGGAGAUUAGGAAAAGAGUUUGGGCCCAAACAAGUGCAAAAUUGGGAAUUAGAGUUAAAUAGCCCUACAAAUUUCUCUACUUCAUCUUCUCAUAACCCUAUAAAUUUUUUCCUACUUCAUCUUUUCAUAACUGUGCAAACUUUCCUACUUCAUCUUAUUAUAGUACUACACUCAUAACCCUUCACCUAAACACAUAUUAUCAUAAUACUACAACAAUAAUCCUUCUCACAAAUACAUAUUAUCAUAACACUACUAUUAUAAUUCCUUCUCCAAAACACAUAUUACCAUAACACUACCAAUAAUAACCCUAACCUCAAACAAAUAUAUUAUCAUAACAUUAAUAUUAUUAUUUAUCCUAAGAUUGUCAUUCUCUUUUUCUCCCCUAACACUUUCUCUCCCUCAAACGCACCCAAGUGUAUAACAAAUUAAACAAUUUUUUUUUUAAUAAAAAACAUACUUUAAAAAAAUGUAAUUGAAAAAUAUGAGUGGGGUAGUGAAAAAAUAUUUUAAACAAUCGGAACAUUUUCACAUAUAGUAAAAUAAACUAAAAUAUUUACAAAGUAUAGCAAAAAUUUUGGAUUUUAUCAAUGAUAAACACGAAUAAACUUCUAUUACUAUUUACUACUGUCACUGAUGAUAGAAGCAUAUUGAUAUCUCAUCGAUAGAAUCUAAUAUUUUGAUAUAUUUUGUAAAAAAUUUGUCAUUUUUUACAAUUCUCCUAAACUCUUAAACUUUUAUAAGUGUGUCAAUUUAAACCAUAAACUUACAUGAUUGUAUCAAUUUAAACUCUUUAUUGUAUUUUUUAUUUGAAUAAACUUACGAAAGUUCAAGAUUUAAAUUGAUAUAUUUACGAAAAGUUUGGUGUUUAAAUUGAUACACUAGUAAAAGUUCAGGAUCAAAAUUGAUACAUAAAAUUUUAGAUUGAGAGUUAAAUUGAUAUAAAUCUCAAAAUUCAAGAUUUGAAUUAAUAUAAAUAUUAGUUUAAGGUUUAAAAUGAUAUAAGUGUAUAGUUUAGGAUAAAUUGAUAUUUGCACCCAUUUGUGUAAAAAUAUGUGAAUGAGAUUUUUUAUAACCUGUGUUUCAUAAGCAGAAAAAUUGUGUGCAUAUUUGGGGGAAAAAAGACUAAUAAAAUUCACCUAGAGGAUAAGAUCAUAAGAAAUCACCAAUGGAUCUUUUAAAAUAAUGUUUUAUACAUUUUCAUUAUUCAAUUCAUGUAAUGUAAUAACUAAUUGAGCAAAAAUGUGAAAAUUGUAUAUUACACUCUCAAGUUGAUCCCCAAACUUAAACUUAGGAUAGUUAUAAAAAUUAGACUUUCAAAUCAUAAAACUCAACCCUCAACCUUAUAAAAUCGGUACAAUUUCUAUAAUUUAUAUAAUUUUAAUAAUCUAAUUUUAAUACUUGUAUGAGUUAGUUUUCAAUUAAAAUUGAAAGGUAUAUAAUUGCAAUCACCACCUUACUUUACUGGUGAUUUUUACAAUUUUUCUAAACUUAUUUUAGUAGUGAAAAUUCCUUAUUGAAAAACAUAUAUGAUCCACUUUUUUUUCUUGAAUUCCUUUUGAAUGAUAACCGAGCACAUCAUUUUUUUCUUUUUUCUCUUUUUUUUUGUGUCUUCGUGAUGUUUUCAUAUAUCCUUUACGACUAUCACUUCUAGAUGUACGUUUAUCACUUCUAGAUAUACGUUUCUGUCCAAUAAUAUGAAGGUUUUAAAGAAUUGUUUGCUUUUAGAUCUGUACACUUCCAAAUCUAUAGUUUUCUUACUUUAAUUAUCAUUUAUAUGAACUUUUAGUCAAAUGUCACCUAUUUUGUUAAUGCUAAAUAACCUUGAUACGUUCCAAAAUUUACCAAAUGGACAGUGAUAAAUGUAAUUAAAAUCUAAUAAUUUUUUAAAAAAUUAUUGAAACAGUUUUUUUUUUUUUUUUUAUAUAAUUUCUAUUUACAAAAUGUGAUAUUUAAGGUUCUAAUAUUUAAAAUGAUUUCAAGGGUUUCUUGACAUCAUAUAGUAUGGAUCGUAUCAUUUUAUUGAAUGGUGUGGAAAAGAAAAUGUAUCAACUACUUGUACUAUUUUCUUUUUUUAACAUGAACAUUCUUUUGCAAGGAACUGCGGGUGGGAGACAAGUCAUACUACUCCGUACAAAUUCAAUGUUGAACCAUUGUUACAUGAUGGGCUACUUCAUGAAUUUAAAGAUGAAUGUCAUUGAACGACUACGCUCAUGAAUUUGGAUGGCGUGGACUCGAAUUGGACGCUACCACCAUCAUGUGAUGAAAUUUGGAUUGUAACUUAAUCAUUUGUAUUUUUUUGCGUAUGUUUGGUACACUUCAAAUUGACCAAAUGUGCAAAUAAUAAACAUAACUUUAAAAUCCUUUACCCCAUUUUGUUUAUAAAUUUGGUGGAGCAAAUGCUUUUAUUUUCAAUUGCAUACAUACAAUAUUUAAGAUAUUCAUCAACUAUAAUAAUCAAUCAAACGUCUUUUUAGUUGUAUAAAAGUUUGUGUUUGUUUUUAGAAAUAGUUCAAGGAAUUCAAAAGUUUUAUGGAAGAUGUAUGGAAUAGCGGGAAAAUACACCAUUUUAAAUAAUCUAUUAAAAAAACUAGAACAAAAAAGGUUACCUAAUCCUUAGUUUUUUUUUUUUUAUAGAAAAAUGUUUUACUUAAAAUUCUAAGUGUUCUUUUUAGAAAAUAUAAGAGGUAGGGUAAAUGAAAUUUAAGAAAACAAUCAUAACUUGGGAAAAAGAAAACUCAAAAUAAAUUAUGAUACAUGAUUUAAAGUUUUACUUUUGUAUCUAACGAUUAGAUUGGUGAAUUUGUUUAAAAAUAAAUAAAUAAAUAAAUAUAUAUAUAUAUAUAUAUAUAUAUAUAUAUAUAUAUAUAUAUAAUAUAUAUAUAAUUAAAUUUAAAAUAUUAAAAUUGAAAGAUUAAAUUUGGAAUUUAAAAAGUUGAGAGAGUGUUAGAGUAAUGAGAAUUGAAUUGGCUUCGUUUUGGGUCAUCGAAGAAGUGGGCUUCAACGAUGUGUUGAAUUUCGAUUUGACGAUUGAUCCAAUCUUGCAAUCCAAACAGCCAUGGAAUGAACCCAAUUGAGUCCGAGAAAAAUGAAGCAUACACUCGCAGCAAGACAACAAUCAACAAUGUCAUGAGAUAAGGAUUUAAAGCCCCACCUUUCAUUUCCCUCUCCUCUCCUCUCGUCCUUCCUUACCAUCAUGGAAUAGCUUCUUAUCACUGACUGUCUCCCAUUCUUUUUUUCUCUUUCUAUGUUUCUCCCCCUUUCCAACUUUCCCAAGGGACAAAUUUUUUGUGCUGUUCUUUCUCAGGUACACAAUUCUUCCCUCUACUUAAAUGGGUCACUGUUCUUUCUCCCUUCUUUGCUUCUCUUUCAUGGUCUUCUCAAUUCUCUUUAGCUUCUAGUUUAGUUUCUUUCUCAUUCAUACACAUAGUUACUUGAUUUUUUUAUGCAUGUUCUUCUUGUUUCUGGUUGGUUGGUUAUGAGUUAUGACAAUUGAGUUGGUCGCAGACACUGAAUUGGUUUUAGGAAUUUGUAUUCCAAUGGUGAUGGAAGUUUCUGUUGGGAACUUUUUGGUUUUUGAACGUGCAAAUAGUUUUAUCUGCUCCAAAAUGUUUGGAAUUCACUAGUUUAAUCAAGUUUAAACUGAAUUGUUCAAGGUCAUCGUUCUUGGAUUGGAUGUCUAAAAUGUCUCUGUGAACCUCUUUUGGUCAUUCAUAAGGAUAAUCAUGUUAGACUGUCUUGGGAGAGCUUUAAUCAGCCAAUUCGUAAAGCUGAUAUCAUUUUUAAUUUUAAGCUAGGAAGGCAUUAUGUUAUGAAAUAAAUUAUUGAUUUAGGCUACUUGCAUGACUGUAGGUUUAGGUUAGAUGUUGAGCAUUUGUAUAUGUUCUUAUGGCUCUGUAAAAUUUGAUCUGGGUUGCCUUCACUAGUUUCGAAGUUUGAUGUCUAACUCUGUUGAUUUCAUUGGUUUCUUUCUUAGUUUAAUCAGUAUUAAGACAUGUGUUCUUUCUCUCAUGGUUAUGCUAUCAUGGAGAAUUGUCCUGUAUAAUUUGUGAUGUUGUCAAUGACUAUUGCAGGGAGAAGCAAGGAUGAAGAACUAACAACGAGGAAGAGACCUUUCUCCCUCAGCCGAAACUUUUUACGCUGCAUACACAUUAACUUUCUUGACUUAAUACGAUGUCGGUAAUAAGUCCAUCUUCUAUCAGCAAUGUUUCACUUGUUCCUAUAGCCAACCAUACGGGGAAAACCAAUAGUUCAACAAGAUUCAGCUUUUCUAGAAAGCCCACUAAACAUACAUUUCAUAACCAAAGAUUUCUUUUACCCCUAUCAACGUCGGUUAGGCUGUUUCCAAAUUGCACUAAAAACCUUUUUUGUAGUCAUGGCCGUAGAAUUAGAAUAUUUUCUGCUACAGGAACUGAUGUGGCAGUGGAGGAGUCAGAUUCACCGGUUUCUGGUGAAGAAUCAACUCAAAACUCAGAACUUACGUCAGGUGCAAUCUCAACAAAUGAAGAAACCCCUGUUAAGUCAGAUGUGGCUCCUACACAAACAAAACGUUCCAGACCUGUGAGGAAGAGCGAAAUGCCGGCUGUAAAUAAUGAGGAACUUAUUCCUGGUGCAACUUUUACUGGAAAAGUAAGAUCAAUUCAACCAUUUGGUGCCUUUGUUGAUUUUGGAGCGUUCACUGAUGGCUUAGUACAUGUAUCAAGGUUGAGUGAUAGCUAUGUUAAGGAUGUUGCAAGUGUUGUUUCUGUCGGGCAAGAGGUGAAAGUAAGAUUGAUUGAAGCAAAUGCUGAGGCUGGACGAAUUUCUCUCUCAAUGCGUGAAAAUGAUGAAAGGAAGGAAUCUCCAGCUAGCAACGAUAAACCUGGGUCUAGCAGAAAGAGCGCUCCAAAAGCAAGAGGACCAAGGAGAGAUGAGGUGAAGAAAAGCUCAAAUUUUGUCAAGGGGCAAGAUUUACAGGGCACAGUGAAAAAUAUUACCCGGUCCGGUGCUUUCAUAUCUCUUCCUGAGGGAGAGGAAGGAUUCCUUCCCAGUUCGGAGGAAACCUUUGAAGGAUUUGGGAAUCUGAUGGGAGGCUCUACAUUAGAAAUUGGCCAAGAGGUUAAUGUUAGGGUGUUGCGGAUUGCAAGGGGACGGGUGACUUUGACCAUGAAAAAAGAUGAAGACAAUGACAAGUCAGACUCUCAGUUCAUUCAAGGGAAAGUUUAUGCAGCAACAAACCCCUUCUUGUUAGCAUUUCGUAAGAACAACGAUAUUGCCACAUUUUUAGAUGAGAGGGAGAGUAUAGAGGAAGCAGCUAACAAAUCUGUUGUACAGAAAGUUACGGAAAUAGUGGAAGGGAUAGUCGAUGCAGAUCAGAUCGAAGCUGAUGACAAGGUGGAGAAAAGUGUGCCUCCUGCUGUCGAUGAGGCAGUUAAAGAAGAUGAGCCUGAAAGGUCAGCUGAUUCAUCUGCUGUGGCUCAAGACGACUCGAAGAGCAUCCUAUCUACUUCAGAAGGCGUUGUGGAUGGCGUCGUUGAUGCAGAGAAUAAAGAAGCAGAGGGAAAUUCUGAAAUCAAGGCUUCUGAUGACAACCAAUUACCAAAUGACCUAGCAGUUGACAAGUCUGAAGUGUUAGAUGACUCAUCUUCUGAUGUUUUGGUUACUCAAGAUGAAGGAGAAAGCACAUUAUCUACUUCAGAUAAUAUUGUGGAUGCUGUAACUGAUACUACUGAGAAAAAAGCAGGGGAAAGUUCUGAAGUUAAGCAGUCGGAAGACGAGCAAUCUGAAGAGGUCCGGGUAGUUGAGGCUGCUCAACCUAUAGAUGGACCUGAGACUGAUGGACAAGUAGCUGUCCCUGAUGAUGAAGCCAACAAACUAGUGUCUUCAGAAAGUUCAGUUAGUGAAGAGCUUGUGGCUGGUGAAGACAGUGUUGCUGCGGAGAAAGAAAGUGAGCAAAGCCGAAAGGAUUUGGAAAAUGAGAUUGUUUCUGCUUCUUCAUCUGAAAAGGAAGAGGACAAACCAGAAUCUGAUUCAAAUGGUAGCAUCACGAGUUUAGGUAUAGUUAUAGAAUCGUGUUGAAAGUUUCACCAUGUUACUUUUUAACUACUCAUUCAUGCCAAUGGAUAUUUAAUUUUGGAUUUAGCGCUAGAACUGAAAAUUGUUGUGCCAGUAUAAUCAAACUUGUUUGGGCAAUUUUCCUUGGCCUAUUGUUAGAAUAUGUCAUUGGCUAAGAUGAAACAUGAGGAUGAGGUUUUUUGGAAAUGAGUGAAUAAUUCGUAGAAUAAUGAAUUCUCGUUGACAACUUAUUUUAAUGAAUAACAUCAUAUGUAUAUGGCUAACUUUAACAGUAUCAGGUACACAGUAUGGACUACUAGUUCUUGUUUAUAAAUUAUAUGCUAACUAGGACUCGGUUUGAUAAUCCUUUUUUUCUUUUUAGUUUUUGAAAAUUAAGUUUUUAAACACCACCUUCACUUAUUGAUUUAGUUAUUUUGUUAUCUACUUUUUUGGAGGGUUUUCAAAAUCCAAAUGUUUUGAAAACUAAGUAUAACAGUUUUUAAAAAUUUCUUUUUGUUUUUGGAAUUUUGCUAAGAAUUCAAAUGAAAUUUGUAACCCAUGGUAAAUAAAUUGAGAAAAAACAAGCACAAUUUUCAAAAACAAAAAACCACAUGAAUAUGAAUCGGGACCUAAAUGAUUAAUUUCCCACAAGCUGUUUUAGUUUGACAUCAAAGAUCUGAAUGUUUAUCCCUGAAGCAUUCACCCUUUUAUGGUGUUGGAAUAGCAAGUGGAUGAAAUUGUAAUCUUUCUGAAGAUUCAACUGAGGAUUAAAUCCAAUCUUCUGUAGGUCAAUCUGGUGAAGAAGUUGCUGAGAGUCAAGUUGAUAUUGAGUCACCUGCUGAAAACCCUGAAGUUGUUUCCUCUGCACCAGUUAUAGAAGAAAAGAUAGCAACCGCUCCUGAGAGGAGUGCUGACCCUCCAGAAGAAGUUGCACCAAAAGGUUAUUUGUGUUUCAUUUAGAUUUUUUCUCCCAAAAAUCAUCACUUAGACUUGGCUUCAAAGUGCAAGAAACUAGCCUUGAUGUUUAUGCAUAUACUUUCGUCACCAUUUAGCAUAUUUUUAUGUUUUUAAGGUCAUUUGCUUCCUUCUGGGCAGUAAUUAUAUUAUAUAUUUGAAAUAUUCACUUUUUCGUUCAAGAAACAUGCUUUCUUUUACUUAGUGGUCACUUGUUGCUCUCUUUAACAACUAUAAAAUAAAAAAGAAUUUGAUUCCAAGUUUUAGGAUUGUUCAAUGUAUACGUUAGAUAAGUUGAUGCUCAAAAUUUGUACAAGUACAGUCAUAAAUCCACAAUGAAAAAGGGAAAAUACCUUGUAUGAUUCUCAAUAACUGGCAGUGCAACUGAAUGUUUUCACUUGAUCUCCCGUGUUGGCUUUACUUGAUAUUGGUGAUCUUCCCCACCAGCAAAUGGCUUUAUUUAAUUUUUUGAAUGUCUAAUGUGUUUCAGCUGCGAUAUCACCGGCUUUGGUAAAGCAGCUUCGUGACGACACAGGAGCAGGAAUGAUGGAUUGCAAAAAAGCUCUGGCGGAGAGUGGAGGCGACAUUGCUAAAGCUCAGGAGUUCCUCAGAAAGAAAGGCUUAGCAAGCGCAGAAAAGAAAGCUAGUAGAGCCACAGCUGAAGGAAGAAUAGGUUCCUAUAUUCAUGACGGUAGAAUCGGAGUCCUAAUAGAAGUGAACUGUGAAACCGAUUUUGUCUCAAGAGGGGAUAUCUUCAAGGAGUUGGUUGAUGAUUUAGCAAUGCAAGUUGCUGCAUGCCCUCAAGUACAAUAUGUGGUGACUGAAGAUGUUCCAGAAGAGAUCGUGAACAAAGAAAGAGAGGUCGAGAUGCAGAAGGAAGAUCUUUUGUCUAAACCCGAACAGAUCAGGUCAAGAAUUGUUGAAGGGAGGAUAGGGAAGAGGCUUGAAGAGUUGGCAUUGCUUGAACAACCAUAUAUCAAGAAUGAUAAAAUAGUGUUAAAAGAUUGGGUUAAACAAACUAUUGCAACCAUUGGAGAAAAUAUGAAGGUGAAAAGAUUUGUGAGAUACAAUCUUGGAGAAGGCUUGGAGAAGAAAAGCCAAGAUUUUGCUGCUGAGGUAGCAGCACAGACAGCAGCUAAACCUGCUGCAGCUCCAGCAGUAAAAGAGGAGCAGCCGAGUGUAGAGGAAGCGAAGGAAACUGCUCCCAAGUAAGUGACCUCUUAAUUUAUUUCUUGCCAUCAGCUUUUCUGUUAUAUUUCAUUGAUGGUUUUGUUUCCUAAUGUAGUUCUUCGGGUAAGACUUUUUUCAUCUGUGCUGUACACAAAAUAAGUUGGCUUUGUCUCUUAUUCAUUAUAUUAUAAUCUCCUUUGUCUCUUAUUCAUUGGUAAAAAAUGAAGACAGGUGCUAAGACUUACUCUCUUUCAAAUGAUACUAAAAUUGAUGACGUAAUGGCAGGGCUGCAGCUGUUGCUGUUCCCGCUGCACUUGUUAAAAAACUCCGAGAAGAGACCGGAGCAGGGAUGAUGGACUGUAAGAAAGCCCUUUCUGAAACUGGUGGGGAUUUAGAGAAGGCACAAGAGUAUCUAAGAAAGAAAGGGCUUUCAAGUGCGGAUAAGAAAUCUAGCCGUCUGGCUGCUGAAGGAAGAAUUGGAUCCUAUAUUCACGACUCCCGUAUCGGUGUUCUAAUUGAAGUGAACUGUGAAACUGACUUUGUGGGGAGAAACGGAAGAUUCAAAGAGUUGGUCGAUGACCUUGCGAUGCAGGUCGUGGCAUGCCCGGACGUGCGGUAUGUGUCAAUAGAGGACAUUCCGGAAAGCAUUGUAAAAAAAGAAAGAGAGAUGGAGUUGCAGAGGGAGGACCUUCAGAAUAAACCAGAGAACAUUAGGGAGAAAAUCGUUGAUGGGCGGAUUUCCAAGAGGCUUGGAGAACUUGUGCUUUUAGAACAACCUUUCAUUAAGGAUGAUAGUAUUUUGGUCAAGGAUUUGGUUAAGCAAACUGUAGCUUCUCUUGGUGAGAACAUAAAAGUUCGUAGAUUUGUUCGCUUCACCAUUGGCGAGACAGUCGCAGAUGCGAAUGAGAAAACCAAAGCAUGAACGGAGGAAAACAGAAUACAGAGGCAUUGAGAACAAAGUUAGAUAUGGGAUCAUGGUAGCAGACAGAAGAAUGUGAAGCCAAGGUGAAAGUGUUUCUGUGGAGAAACUUAAAUAUUAAUUUUCCUCUCUUUUUUGGUAGUGAAGAGUUGAGUUUUACUGAAAAGCUGCAUGAAGCAUUUUGUUCUGAGAGAUUAUAAAAGCUUCUUCAUUCGUAUUAUUCUCUGCAUUUUGGCUCAUUCAUGUAUUAAUCUGUCGAGGCAUUUCUGAAUUGUCAUAUUCAUUAAUUUCAUAUCAUAUGAAUUGUUUGAUAGUUUGAACUUGUAAGGUUUAUUAGGUUACAAAUUUCCAGUUCAGAAAAAAUAUGGCAAUUUCUAGAAUCAGGAGUUUGUUUCACCUAAGAGAAAUUAUGAGACUGCCAACCAUGAAUGAAACUAAAAUUUGAUGACUAUUUUGUGAUCUAAAUAUCAACUAUUUUUUUUCAAUUCACAUUAAAUUAUUUGAAAGGUUUUAUAAUUUAUGGUGAAGGUGGAGAAUGUGGUUUGGUCGAUGAUGAAUUCAACCACGAAAGCACAAUAAAUUCCUGUAACUAUUUACUCGUAACUUUUUCACACUCAACCUUUCAUCUUCUGUUUUUCACACUCAUGAUCUCUUCUUGCUCACACCAUCUUACUACGUUAUGUGGUUAAUCGUUUAUGAAUUAGAAAGGACUCGAGGGUGUCGAGAUAAGCAUUUAGAGGUGAGAGAAAAAGCCCAAUUGAGAGAGUGAGGAAGCAAGAGCAAUAGAGGCGAAGAUAUCAUUUUCAUGCAAAAUUAUAUCAUUUUUCAAGAUUUUCAAAAUAGGAGAGAAAACUGAGGGACUUGUGAAUGAGUUUUUUUUUUUUUCCUUUUGUAUGGUAUGAUAUUAAUAAUAAGAGAAAUUAUAGUGGAUGACAAUUUGAGAUCUGGGAUUUACAAACUUGUCUAACACACUUUCUAAUUUGUAGAUAUAACAAUAAAUGAGUCAAACCUUGUUGUUGCAAUUCAUUAUGUAUCUCAAGUCUCGGUCCUUUCGCCAAACAAUUCAUCGUACUAAUCAGAACACCAAAUAGAUCGUUCCUCGAACAUAAGCUACAAAACAGAAAACAAGUUAAUAGAGCUAGUGGGGAAACAUAAUGGACCUAUAGAUCAUGGGCUCCAACGAUCUGAGAUUAACUGGCUAAACUCUUUAGACUGAGUUAAUCAAUCUUCGUUAACUAACGGGUCAUUCCACUAGAGUCAUGUAGUUGCACUUCCCUCACUAUAGAUAUAUUUGUGUCCAUGUGAUAUGACCAUGAUAAGUAAGUUAAUCUUUCACAGGUUGUUCAUAAUCUCGACUGGGUCAAAGUACCAUUUUACCCCCGAGAUUAUAUCUUUUCUCCUUAAGUUCCACUGAUCCACUAUUGAACAAUUGGUUUAAGGUCCAACCUUUAAACCGAAUCCCUCUCGGGCCAAUGAGAGAGUGGGGCCCCUUGUUCAAGACCUGAUUUCAGUCCUUAAGAGAACAACCUAUCUACUAACCCUAGAGUGGGUAGGAGUGAAUUCCAUCUUGCACCCUAUGUCCCUAGCUAUCCACUCGAUCUUUCCUUGAAAUGGGAGGCUUAUUAGGCCAGCGCCAUUGAGCUGUCCUCACUUAUGGAGAUCUAAGGAUAAUUUCGUGUGAACAAAAGUUCAUAGUUAGCUUAGGAUUAAGAUCAAAUUACAUUGGACAUCUAUAAACGAAAUAGUCAAUUUUACAAAGUUAAUGGUAUUCUAACUUAAAAGUGACUAUCUCAUGGUUCCAGUCUUAUGUAAACUAUUUACAUAGGAUGCCCCCACUUCCAUGUCUCUACAUGAACGAUUUAGGAUCACAUCGUUUGUACUAACUACAAAGUAGGCCACAUCAAUAGUAUCUCCCGAAUAAGGCGCCCAACCGUAUUCGUAUAAUAUAGACUAUUUAGGCUAUUUACUCGAACUUGAUCCACAUUUAUGUCUCUACAUAAAGUUCAAGUUUACAUUACAAUAGUCUUGGGACCUUAGUUUAUUGGCUUUAAGAUUAUAGUAUUAAUAACGACUUAUUGAAUAGAAUAUGAUUACAAACUACGAGUUUUAGGAUAUAAAUUCCAACACUAAUAUGGCGGGAGGAAAAUGUACAUUGGCAGCUUAAAUUGUGUAAUGACUAUCCAUCGAAACAAGGAGGAAGAACAUUGCCUCAAGACACAACCACCAAGAAAUGAGAAUGAUGAAGAGAUUGAUACUUAUCCACCACUCUUGUUGCUCAAAAGGAAACCAACAACCACACAAGUAGUGGUUGAUCUAACAAAAGAAUACCAACUCAACAAGGAACCAUCACAAAAGAAAAGAAGAAAACUAACUACUAAGUGGAUGCUUGUGGCAGACUCCCCCAUCGAAUCUCCUCACCAAGAUGGCUCUGUACCCUCCACCUCUUUACCAACUGAACAACUCUCAUCUCUCCCUCGCGAAGACAACGAAGAUCCUUUCCUACUUCCAAUUGAAGACGUUUUUUAUCCACCUCCACCAAUUGACCCCUUCUCGCCUAAAUCGCCCAUCUCCUAGAGUCAGCGCAACCCUCCCUUGAUUGUAACUUCUAAAGUCCACCUCCCUCAUCCCUCACCUACCAUGGGCUCCUCGCUUGUUCACACCCCUUCUCCAUCUCAGUCUCAUCAUAGCCAAUCUCUCUCUUCCAAUUUCCAAACUUCCUGAGGCUCUCCCUCAUGACGAUCUUUUGUGAUGCCUAGCCAUGCAUUCAUUAACCCGCCCAUCAUCAAUCUGGACCCUGAGCAUAUUGACUUGAACGUCCCUAUUGUGAACUUGACUGAAGAGGGGAUGCUUCAAAAGAUUAGACGGUAGACGACGAAGUUGAAAUAGUUGACCCUAAAUUUCCUCUUAUUGUUUAUGACUCACACUUCCAAGACAUCCAUGUUGAGCAAGAUGCAAACUAGAAAAAUUUGAAGGAAGACACACAAAUGGAACAUGAAGCCCCUACGAAGAUAGCAGUUGAGCUUCAGGAUGUACUCUACAAUGUGAUUGUAGAGCCAAUGAACGUGGCCUUUUAAGAUGUGUUCCAGAAGAAUGUGGCGAUGAAGGACCAAAUCGCCAGCCUUAAAACCCACAUGUAAGUCUUAGAAGCUACAAUCUCCACCAUCAACUCCACGGUUGCACAACUAUCCUCUGUGCUGACCAAUCUCACUAGUUUGAUGAUAGAUCACUCCAACAAGUCGCGUAAAAUUUUGGAGCGACAUGAUAGGCAAUUUGCAAAACAAAUGGAGUAUAUGCAUGGGAUGUUCGUACAACAUGUUCCCCAGCCUAUCAUCGCACCAGAAUUGACCCUGAUCCUCACCUAGAGAAUUAAUAUUUUGGGUAUAAUGUUGAAAUUUUUUUGUAUUUCGUCUUUUAUAUUUCUAUGUUCUUUUGUAUCAACUUUUUGCAAUUCGUAAUGAAACCUCUACUCAGUCUAUGUUUAUUCAAUUUUCAUGCGAUGUACUUUUCUUGACGCAUGCUUCAUUACUUUGUUCUUUGCUUGCUUUCUUUUGUUUUGUGCAAGGAUAACCUUUAUGAUGAAAAUUCUGCCAAGUAUAAUUUAACUUGUAAAUAGUUCUUUAAGUCUUUAGGCGAGCAAGUUUUACCUCAAACCUCUUUUGUAAAUUUUUCAACGAUCAUCUUAUCAUUCACUUUUUUCCAAUGAGGACCUUGCGAGACUCUAAAUUUGGGGGUGUACAUGGUCCGAGUCAAAGCUUUUGAAAAAUCAAGGAAUCCAUUCCUUUUCCAAAAAAUAAAUAAAAAAUAAAAAAUAAAAAAAUAAAAAUAAAAAUAGAGAGAGAAACAAACCAAAUAAAACUAACACAUUUGUUGAUUCUAAAUUUAAUUCAAAUAAGAACUCCUAUGUUGCCACAUCUCACAAAAAGUAAAUAAGAAGCAAAUCUUCAUUAAACGCUGAAAGUAAAUAAAUAAGUAGCGAUAAGAGUUAUAGUUGAGAAGAGAAACGGACUCCUAGAGUACCUAUGAUUUUCCACUCAAUGUCUAAUGUAAAUAAAUAAUUUUAUUAAUAAAAGUUUUGCAAGAAAAAGAAACGAAUUGAGAAUUUUUUAAAACAUAGACCAUUUCACAAAAAGAGGAAAUAAGACUUUCUAAAAACGAACAAGGAUAUUUUGAGACAUAAGCUUGUCGCAUUUAGAAUCUAGAAAUAUUUUCAAGUUUAGAGUAGGCGAAAAAAAGAAGAAAUGCCAAAGUACGAGAUGAAUUAGAAAAACAUUAUGAAAGGAUUAGCGAUAGGCACAAAAGAAGUCAUGUUUAGAAUCUUGAGUUGAUGCUUGAGGACAAACAUUAUUUUAAAUUUGAGGGUGUGAUAACUUCCAGAAAUACAAGUUAUUAUAGCCUUUUAUGUAAAAUAAUGAAGUCUUAUUGCAUGAAAAUAGAAGAAAACAAAGAAAAAAGUAGGCGAUUUGAUUAUUCCACGAAUGCGUGAUAUACAAUAACCUUAUCCCUAUUUUACUAUUCUUUAGUGCUCUUAUCGCAGGACUUUAGACAAAAAGGAGUGAAGCUCAGUAAUAUCAUACCUAUACAAGAAGACUCAUUCAACCUUUGAGGUGAAAAGGAAUUCAAGCUAGGCGAUUAAGGUACUAGCAAACAAAAAGUAGUUGGCGGGAAUUCAGAGAAAGGACAAAAGGAUGUAUGUGUAGCGCCGCUGCAGGUUUUCAGAAGUUUUAAUGGCAAGUGAUGUCUUGUCAACAUCAAAUCUCGCCUUUAAAUAGGGCCUCUUACUCUAGAAUUCAGUGUGAACACAUUUGGUCGGAGAGCAAGUUCCUAUGUCAUCUAUCUUCUCCCUUCCCUUGAGUUUUAGGUGAGAGCUUAAAACAAGAGAGAGAGAUUCAUCACCUCCAUCUUUCCUCUCAUCUAUAGGAAAAAAUCAAAGCCAAAGAGUAUGAGAAAUCAGACUCUGCGACGUAACAUCUCUAUUGUAUUCCAGUUUGUAAUUUUUAUUGUAUUGUUUUGUAAGAUAAACAUUAUGGUCGAGAGGUCUAAAUUUAACUUUAUUGAAGCAAUGCAUUUAUUUUUCAUUCUCCCAUAUCUCUAGUCUUUUCCAUGUUCUAUCUAUUUGAUUAGCUAGGUAGUGAUAAUCUGUGUUUUGUUGUGAUAAUCUGUGUUUUGUUACUUAGAGAAUCAGAAUGGAUGUCUUAGAAGUUUUACUAAGUUAAACACGAAUAUCUUAACAUUGUGCAUUCGAGAGAAGAGCAAUGAUAUAGAUUGUAAUCACUUGACAAGUGAGAACCGCAUUUGGUUAAGCGAGUGGUGAAAAGAUUGUAGUAAUACAAUCUUAUCGACAAACUCAUCCUUUGUAACAAAACUAGGAGGAUUUUGUGUGUGUGGCGAAUGUGCUGAGAGGUUGCUCGCCUUAAUUAAGGAUAAGUUGCUAAUAAAACAUUCAAGAUGAUCAGACACAAACCAUAACUUAACUUUGUAUAUUUACAUCCCGAGUGGUGAGCAAGUAUGGCACAAUCGCUCAGAGGUUGCUAGCCCUAAGUCUUAGUUAAUAUAUGACUUGUAUCACCUUGAAGUAUUAAAACACGAAUUAUUGCGUUUAAAUGAUUAAACUCUUCCUCACUCGACAUGCUUAUACUAAGUCCAUAUCUCAUCUUUCCAUUUCAUCCAUGCUCACCUUGCACCACCAAGCAUAGUAGUGUAAAUAGUUAGGAUAAAUAGCAUAUUGUUCAUAAUUAUACUGUAUAGAUUAUACCGCAUUACUUAUUACGCGAUAAGAUAGGUAGGAGCUUAAACUCCCUAUGUUUGAUCCUAGACUUACCAGGAAACCUCCACUUAUACUUGGACAAUAGAGAGGAAAACUUGCGCGAUAAUGUUUCUUUCUAUCAGUUUAGCAACACCUGAAUAGGAGUGCACCUUUUAUCGCAUUGUCCUAUUUAAUCAUCAAGUAGUCACUCACGCAAAGCCUUUCAUGCUCAAUCUCCAAACAUAAUACUUGUAGAGUAUAAUGCAUAAUUGAGAACCAAGCACCAACGCGCUGUAAUCUCAUCACCGUCGACGUUCGAGAUUUGCACGCCAUCCACUCAGACAAAGACGGUCCUUAUCGUCUGUCACCUGUCGUCUAUUGAAGUCGAAGCUUGUUGUCUUCAGUCGUUACGUUCUUGACCCAAGUUGAACGACGUAUCAUCUUAUUGUUCCAUGCCGACAUGGUCCUCUUUGUCUCAAGCUCCCAUCGACCUUCAAGUCGUUCCUAGCUCUGUUGGAUCGUAGCUUCUCUAUUUCACUCUCUGGUAGAGCCCAUCCAUUUUACACGACUAGAUUUGAGUUGUUUUGUCUCCGACCAAGCCGAAUCUGAGUCAUGCGUGCUGCUUCUCCUUUUCCAACCCGGCCACACUCAUUUCUUCUUUGCAUGUCGUCUUUUGGCUCGUGCACUGUCGUUAAGGUUUGUGGUAAUUGGUAAGGGUUUGAAGGUUUGAAAGAGCGGAAGAUAGGGUUUUGAGGGGAAAUUAUAAUUUUUAUAGGUGUCAAUUGUGUAUUGGGGUUUGAUUCUUCCAAAUAUAAACGAUCAUAUACAAAAUCUAAACAACCAUUUUUCAAAUAUAACGAUCGUGUACCAAAAAAUUAUGAAAACAAUCGUUCAUAUUUGGCUACCCAAAUUGAAACGAUCAAAUCUAAAUAAUCGUUUUCCAAAAAUAAACGACCAUGUUCCACAAAAUUAUGAAAAAAAAUCAUUUAGAUUUGGCUACCCAAAUCUAAAUAAUCGUGCAGGAAAGAACAGGCUCUAAACGGUCGUUUUUCAAAUAUAUUACGUGUGUUGAAUGUCAAUUAAUCGCAGAGUAUUUUUGGUAUUUUCUAUUGUAGACCUGUGGACUUUUUCCUUUUUCGAAACUAUUCUAUUACGGUGUAAAUAUUUUGCCGCUUUGUUAUAUUUUUUAAAAGACCUUUAGAAGUUUUGUCAUUAUUUUUUGAAAAGAAAGAAGAAAAAAAACUAUACAAUUUUAAUAAGGUUAAUUUUCAUAUAUAUAACAAACGAAUAAAAUAUUUACGGUCCGUGUAACAAAAUGAAAAAGCCCAUGAAAUUUACCAUUCUUUUAAAUAUUUCAGGUUUGCCCUUCGUUUUCAUUGUCUUUCUUCUCUUCCUCAUCUGCGAUUUUUUCUUUUUUUCUAUCGUCUUUUUCUCCUCUUCUUCUACAGUUUUUCUUUUAUAUUUUUCAAACUGUUAUUUAGUUCAAGAUCGCGUACCAAAUAUAAAAGAUCAUGAAAAAUAUCGUUGAGAUAUAAGAUAGCCAAAUUAAAAUGAUCGUGUACAAAAAAUAGUCAAAUCUAAAUGAUCAUGUACAAAGAAUCUUUAAAAAAAUUGUUUAUAUUUGGGUAGCCAAAUUUAAACGAUCAAAUCUAAACGAUCAUAUUCCAAAUAUAAACGGUCAUGUAUAAAAUCUAACGAUCGUUUUCCAAACAUAAAGCAAAAAAUCUUGAAAAAAGUGGUGGAGAUUUGGCUAUCCAAAUUUAAACGAUCGUGUACCAAAAAAUAUUUAAAAAAAUCAUUAUGAUCAAAUCUAAACGAUCGUAUAUGAAAGAAUAGUCAAAUAUAAACGAUAGUUUUUCAAAUAUAUUGCGCAUACUGGAUGUCAAUUAAUCAUGAGUUAUUUUUUUUAUUUCUCAUUGUGGGUCUGUGGACUUUUUCCGUUUUCGAAAUUUGUUUAUAGCGGGUGAAUAUUUUGUGAUUUUGUUCUAUUUUUUAAAAUCUCAUUUUGAUAAAUAGGAAAGUGAAGUUUUUUUUUUUUUUUUUUUUUGUAGCUUUUGAAGGAGAAUCUAAAACUCUAAAAAUGCAAUAAUUGGGUGAAUCUAAAACCUAUAAACUCACUCAAAUUGGGUGAAUUUUUCUAUAAAUGCAUAUUAAAAAAAUUGAAGUCACUAUUGUAAAUAUAUAAAUAUAUUUUGCUAUCUAAUGCAAUUUCUCAUUUUAAAAUGGCAAAAGUUACAAUUCCUUGUAUUAAUUAUAUAUAUUAUAUAUAUAUAUUUUUUGAAUGGUAAAGGACUAAUUAGAGUUAAAAUAAUUUGAUAUUAAACUUAACAAAAUAGUUACACACAUUGCAUGGGUUGUUGACUAGUAUUUAUAAACAUGGCAAUGUAAGAGAAACUUUUGUUUCCUAUUUUGUCCCUACCUUUUUUAAUAAAUUACUAUUUUGUUCUUAUAGAAGGAACAUGACUCUUCGAGUAUAGAUGUGUGGUGAGUCUAAUAGGUGUAAUUGAUCAACGAGAUACGACGCUUCAACUCUUCAAGAUGGGAUAUGUUUAUUUGAGCGUGUGUUUGUUGAGUUAAGUAGGGACAACUACUAUCAAUAAUUGAUUUGUUGCAUCGUUUGAGUUAUGAGUAGAUGUUGUAUAAUUAAAAAGAAUCUUGUUAUUUAUAUUCCAUAAAAUGAAUAGAUUAUACCAUACAUAAUCUUGUUAUUUAUAUUUCAAAUAUAUUGCGCAUACUGGAUGUCAAUUAAAUAUUUAUAUAUAUCAUUAUGUAUUUGCAUUGGAGUUCUUUUUUUUUUAAUUGUUAAAUACGCUUUUAAAACAUCAAAUUUAAACUGAGCAUUUUCACGUGUGUGUUGCCCGUGUUCAUAGAUAGUCAAAUGUAAAUGGUUCGUUAACUAAUUUUGAAGAUUCAUCGUCAUUAUUAAUAAUCAAUCUUUUCUCUUCAAAUAUUUUUUUAAAAAAUAAUUGCAUUUAUUGCAAUACAGUAACAAGUUAUGUAUUAUAUUAAUAAUUUAAAUCCUACAUGGUAUCCUUUUACUUUUCGGUUUUGGUUUUUAAAAAUUAAGACUAGUUCUUUUUAUUUUCUUACCUUGAUUUGUAUCAAUUUUUAACUAGAAUAGUUGCCUUUUUGACUAAAUUUUAAAAGCAUAAACAAGUAGUUCUCAAUUUUAAUUUAUUUUUAAAACUAUAGAUAAAAGAAUGGAUAUCAAAAGCAAGGGUUUAGAUGGAUGAGGUAUUGAUUGGGUUAAUUUUCAAAAAGAAAAAAACAGAAACGGGAUAUCUCAAUUAAUAUAUCAAUUGAUAUAGUGGUUUUACUAACCAUUUGAAGUUUAGAUCAUAAUUGAGACUAGAGGGUUCAAGAAUAGUCCCAGUUUGAUGUAUGUUGAGCAUUUUAAGAAUCCUAACUACCAAUAAUUGACCAUAAAUUAAUUAAUGAUGCUAUCUUGGUCACUCUAAUUUAAUGUUCAAACCGUAGAUAUUUCCAUGACUAAAGCAUUAAUUAUACGCAUAAGUUCAUUAAAGUUCUAUAAAUAACUAUGCCAAAAGAAAACUUGAUAUUUUUUUAUAGAAAAUAUAACCAUUCAUGUAAUUGUUAGAAUUUAAAUUAAAAUAAUAAUAUAAUGACUUCCAAGUUUUCAACCUUUUUUUCUUUUUUUCUUUUGGAAAGGACACCCAACUCCAAUUCAUCCAAUACAUCCUUUCAACAAAUCAACUAAUUCCAAUCAUAUUUAUUUAUAAUGGCAUUUUAAGCAAUCAAUAACACUACCAUGAGUGUUAAUAGCAUAAAACUUUUAAGACAAAAAUGACAUGGAUACAAAUACAAAAGCUAUCGGUUUAAUUAAACUCUCUUGGGAGGAGGAAGCCAGACAGGUGUGAAGGGUAAGGGAUACAGCAAUUGGCAAUAGCAAACAAACCAUUUACAAUAAUACAAAGUAGAAGUGUAGCAACAACAAUCCAAGUAAAAUCACAAAGAAAAUAGGGGAAGGGGGCAAACUAAGAAAAAACUAUGAACGUCCUAUUGAAAUUCAUCUUUUCCAACACAAGUUAUCUUGAUACAUCAACUCUCCAAUAUUUUAUAACUCGUGCACAAAGAACACCACCACAAUACUCGGUAUAGAUUCUCUCGCUCAAUCUAUGCUUCCAGGAGCCAUAUUAUGUGUUAUCUCCAAACGACAUUUGCUCUAACGUGCGUGAUUGAUGCAUUGAUAUAGCAAAAGAGUUUGCCAGCUAAUUACGGUUUUUGCAUUUCUCCAUGGCCCUUGGAGCUGCAAGAGAAAAGGCCAAGCUUCUAAUGAUGGGGUCACAGGAGAAUAAUAAUAAUAAUAAUAAUAUGAUGAACUUUGUGUAAAGAUCCGAUCCUAAUGGAAUUUAAACUGCUAUGUUUUUAAUUGUUGCAUCUUUUUCUUUGAGGGGUGGGUGGGGGGUCAAACUUUAUGAAAAUGAAAGAUGCGAAGUAAUUCUGAGAAAAAGAAAAGGCUUUUCAAGUGUAGAGAUAAUGAUGGUAACUAAGAGAGCACUGAACAAAGACCCAUAUUCUCAAAUGCUUUAUAAUCAUGAAGAUGAAAUCCCACUAUAACUUGUCUAAUAAAUUUAGUAAUAACGAAAAACAAAAUUAAGAAAUUAUUGAAGUCCAUAGCAUAGCAUACCUAACCCAAUAGCCUCUGAACUCUUCAUGAUCCUCAUCCUUGUGCAAGAUUCAGUGAACAUCCUAUUGUGUAAAAAGAAAGAAGAUAAAUAUGAUGAAAACUUCUUUUAUUAGCAGUCAUACAAUAAGAAUUUCUUGAAUGUUACAGAUUAAUAGAUCAGUCAGAAAAUUCCUCUAAUCACCCAAGACAUGAAUGAAGGAAAGAAAGAAAAGAUAGCAAUUUUGUUCAGGUUAAUAGUUGAACCAAAGUGAUGAAUUGGAUUAGAGCCAUCCCAGUUCAAACCUAGUUAAGAGUGCAGUUGAGCUAUUCCUUAGUGAAACACAAAUGAAUGAGUAAUGAACUUACUCCCAUGGAACAUCACCAACGAGCAUCCAGUCACCAUCCUUAUCUUCGUAGGUGAGUACAUAUUCAGAGCCAUGGAGCAGAUCCAUCAACCUACUCUCGUUUAAUGCAUCCCGGUUUGGAACUCCAUUAGAGCCAUAGUGACCUGACAGGUUGAAGGGAAAUCACUUCUACUUGAACAAAAACCUUGCUACAAUACCAAAAACUGAGAGUAACUGAGCGACAUAAACUAAUCCACAUGCACUAGGUGCCCGGUUCUGAACCUUCAAGUACUAGUGCAAUGGCUUUUAUUAGACAGAAACUUAUGCUGCUAGUUAAAGUAAAGAAUAAGACAUGCUAAGUAUCGUGAAUGAGCAAUAAUUUUGAAGAAAUAAGAAUGUCUUGACCAUGAUAUAAUUACACAUAUUUGACACAUAACACCGGAGAAGCUACUAACUCCAUGCAAGUCUUCUUGAUUUCAUUGAUAACCUUAUCGCCAUUUAUUUUGUCUUUAGAUACUUUUGCCACAUGAGUUUCUUACGAGCCAAACCUAAACAUUUACAUUCCUGAAGGUGUUUGUGGCUGAACCAUGGAAGUGAUGCAAUAUGAUUACAAUACAGGACACGGGCAGGAGUUACACAAGACACUAAAUCAGCCAAGAUCUGCAAGACUACCAAUUGUGAAGCUGCUGAACAUUUUCUCCAGGGCUGAUGAGAGGUCCACAUAGCUUACAUAGGUUUUCAGAUCAACCUUCCUGAGGUACGGUGCGCCAUCCAUACUUACCUUGACAUAAAGGCAGCCUGAUCCCAACUUACCAUCCGCAUCAUCUGUAUUUUUAGGGGGCUGUGUUGCCAUUGAAUUCUUACGGAAAGAACGAAUGGGUGGCCAUCCUACAACUUGUGCCCUGUAACAAAAAUGAUAAAGCACUUUGAGAUUUUUGUGGAAUUAGGAACUUCGAUAGAAACAUGAAAUCCACACAAAUAACUGAUAUCAAGGUGGAAAAUUUAAAAAAAGAUUUGCCUGUAAAAACAUUCCAAAUCUAAGAAAACAGCCAAGCUAGUAAGCUUGACAGAUAUCUGUUCAAAUUCACUCCUACACAAUCUUACAGGUGAUGGAAGAAGGGUCAGAGAGACGAGACCUCGCAGAGAAGGUUAACAAGCUCGGACCGACCAGAACCGAAAGAAUUAUAUGCAGCCAACAUAGUUUGUAAUACAAAGGGAAAAAGUAAAGACCAAAAUUAUGGAUCUUCCAGCUUAUAGUGACAGAAAAUAACGUUGUCUAUCAAAAGGGUCAAGGUUUUUCUACGAACGAUUAAAACUACAUGAAUGAAUCACAGCCCAAAUUUUUCGUUCAAAUAGGAGAAGAAGAUAAGAAAAACAAAGUCAAGAAGAAGGAAAGGAAAAAGCUGAUGUUGAACAAGCAGAGUUCCAAAGCACAAUUUAUUCAGAUGGAAAAAUCAAAGGAAAAACACAUACUUAGCUGCAGGGGGAGAAAGCUGAGGCUUUUCCUCAUGAAGUGGCUUGGCUGACGGAGAAAUACCGUCUUUGACACCGGAGACAGCGGAAGCAGGUGGUUGAGUCUUAUUCUCAUUAACACCUCUAGGAGAAAACAAACCCCCAUUUGUGGAGGAGUCUGCCUCAGAUCCGGCAGAAGCUGGUAGAACCCACUUGGCAGAAGCUCUAUCAAUGGCUAUGGAGAAACCCCUCUUAGCCCCAGAAACAGAGCUCUUGUGAAGGAACCCAUUCUUAUCCUCAAACCCAUCAUCCCUUCCCGGUGACUCCGAUCCCGGCAGACCCAACCUCAGUUCAGUAGCCUUAAGGUUCAAACCAGCACUGUUGCGUUUAUCAGAAGACUUUUCAGAGUUUUCCAGAGAAGGAACAGACUCUGUUAAGCCUAUGUAAUCAUGUUCUAACGGUAUAGACAUCAGAAAAAAUUAGAAACUCAAGAUGAAUACACAAAAAGCAUGGGAUUAAAUCACAAUAAAAGAAGAAGAGAAAGAGAAUCAAUGGUAAUAGGAAGAGAAGCUUCUUUAAGAUUGACAAAGCCCUGUUGGUUCCUCACUUUGGUUGAACAAAAUAGAAAAGGAAAAUCUGAAAUCUCAACUACUGUGAGUAAGUGAAAGACCCUUUUGAAGAAGAGAAAUGAAAGAAACGGAGAAGAGGAAAGGCAUCAUAAAAGAGAAAACAUGGAAUUGUUUGAAUAUUAAUAAAUAAAAAAGGAAAAAAGGAAAAAAAUUCUGUAUCUCUGCUUCUUUUCAGGAUUUGUUAUAGUUAUUUUAAAAUUGAAUGUACCUUUUUGUGGGCAACCACCCCGACAAGUCACAGAAAGUCUCCGUCUACCUUUUCCCUCAAUUGCCCUUUUUCUUUAAUCAAAAAAGAAAAAUGCUUUCUCUGUAGCUUUGGUCUAUGGGGUUUUUUGAUUUCCCCUUUUCUUUUAUCUUCUCUUUCAGAGAGCGCCAAGCGACAGCAUUAAACAGUGUAAAAAAUUGAAAGCAGCGUAACACGGGAAUGCGGAAAAGGAUAGGACGAAAGCAGAGUCUGAAAUUGUAAGAAGUGGUCAGAUUUUGAAGGAAAAUUCAAUUGAAAUAAGAAAAAUGAAGAAGAAGAAGAAGAAGAAGAAGAAGAAGAAGAAGAAGAAGGGAUUAGGGUUUUCUUCUUUGUGGGUUAGAAAAAAAAAAAAAGUGAAAAUGGGGGGUUUGGCGAAAGAAAACGAGAAGUCGUGGAAAGUGAGGGAAUUUUGAGAAAGCUGACAUGAACAUAUAAAUCAUCGCAGAGAUGUGGUUCUGAAUUUUCAUUCUGAGACCAAAAUCACAGAGUUUUAGGGGACAAUUAAAAUUAAUUUCUUCUUCCCAACUACUUUUUGAUAUCUGAAUUGAAUAUAUCUUCCAUUUUCUUUCCCUUUCAUCGUCAAAAACCCUAACUAUUCCUUCUUUCAUCUCUUCUAUUUUCAUUACAACAUAUGUGCAAAGUUGGGUAAGCUCAUUUUGCUAAAUUUAUACUUUUAAUUCUUAAAACAUAAUUUUUUACUUUUAAAAAAUUAUAUGCGAUUUUAAAUUAAAUAAUUUUCAUUAGGUCGGUUUAAAACUAUUUUAAAAAAGUAAGAGAUUAAAAAGAUACAUUUAUUAAAUUUACACACUUAUUCUUCUAAAUUUAAAUUUUUCAUAAAAGAAAAAUGGAACAAUCGUCCACCUAAGUUCUUAAAUUUAAUUUUAUGUUUUAUAGAUUGAAUUUUGUGUAUAUUUUGUUGAAAUUAAUUGUAUCCAUUGGAAGUAAAUUUAGGAUGAUAGAUUUGGUGUGGUAACUGCGUCUAUUAGAUGGAUAAAUUAUAAAACAUGGAAAUAUUAUGUAAUUUGGGUGUUCCAAUUCCAGAGUUGAUUCUAAUGUCUUAAAUGAGAAAAUUAAAGUGAAAUUGUAAGUAGCAUUAAUAAAUGAAGUAAAAAGAAGAGAGGUUUUGAGAGAAAUAAAAAGGCAGUGUUUAAAGAAAGGAAAAAGAGAUUAAAAGGAAUCUCAGCAUUUAAUUAUAAGAAAUAGAUUAAAUAGUAUUUUAUUUAUUUUAAAAUUGUUUUUUGAGUGGUCCCUAUUCACUUCAAACUUCAUGAUUAAGCAUGCUUAACACAAAACACACAACUAUACUCCUAAAAGAAAUUAAUUAAAAGCAUAUCCAUGUUUGUCUCAAAUUUACUCACAUUCAUAUAAACUACUAUUUGUACUACUUAUUUAUCAUUUUUCUUAAAAGGAAACUCUAAAAUUGUGCCUAAAAUGGACAGCUAUUUAAUAACAUAUCAUACCAACAUUUUUAUCUCAAUAAUAAUAUUAAUAAUGGACAUUAAAUCGAGUUGACGUACAAAUUUAUAUUUUAAAUAAUAAAAACGAUGAAUGGGUCAAUGUAUUGGAAUAUCUAUAUAGAAAAUAAACAAUUGAUUAAGUGAGAUAAAGAAUAAAGUAAGAGUUGAUAGAUAAUAGUGAAAAUUUGCAUAUUAUCUACUUUUAACUCAAAAGCUGUGCUGUGGUAGCAUUAUAUAUAUAUAUAUAUUACAGAAAUUUAUUCCUUCCCUUUACAUAUAAUGGAUCUUAAUUCCCCUCUAUCCAUUAUAUUCAGUCAAUCUAAGAAAUUAGAUAAAUGGAAAGACAAAGGGAGGGGACCGGGGAAGAAGAUGGGAUGAAAAUGGAUAAGGGAUUGGAAUUAAUUUUGUUUUCUAAGUAACCAUCAAAGCAUAAAUUUAAAGGCCCUUUUGUAUUGCAUGAAUUUAGUCCUACAACAACCUAUAUUCCUCUUUUCUUUUUUUCUCUUUUUCUCUUUUUGUUUUAAACACAAACGUAUAUUCUUCACCAACAAAUUGUAAAUUCAAAAUCAAAUUAUUACUUAUUUAAACACCAAAAUGCCACUACCAUGCAUUCUUAAAAAAUAUCAUUUCUUUUUUAUUAUUUCACUCCAUCACAUGUAUAUGGAAUAAUUAACUAAGUUUAAAAAGUUUAAAAGUAUUUUUAUCCGAUUUUUAAAAUAAAAAAAAAAUAGUUUUAGAGAAUAUAAAGAGGUAUUUUUAAAAAUAACAAAAUAAAUUAAAAUAUUUAGAAACGCAAAGUUUUGGAUUAUAUUAUUGAUAGUCUUCUUUCGUUAUAGCAUAUCAAUGACUAUAAGCGAUAGAAUUUGGUAAAUAUCGUAAAUAUUUUGUAAAAUCUACAAUUUAAAAAAUAAAAAAAAUUAAAUAAAAAGCAUAAACUCAUUCAACUCAAGUAAUACGAAUAUAUGCCUCUACCAAAUUGAGACAUUACAAGUGAAAUGAGAGCAAUUUCAUAUUUAACUUAAAUCUUGUUUACACGAGUAAGAGUAGAAGACAAAAACUCCAAUUUUACAAGAUAAAAAUGAAGUAAAUUAAAAAGGAAAAAAAAGAAGAAGAGAGAGAAAGGUGGAAGGGGGUUGAGAAAAAUAGUGGAAAGGGAAGUAAGGGGUAAAGGAUGGGUUGGUGGGAGACAAAACGGCGUUAUGCUGUGAUGUGGACGGCGCUCCCUAAACCACUCAACCACUACCAUCUCCGUUAUUCCUCCACCCCCAUCGCCCAUCCAGUCCAAUUCACACAUAUAAUAUAUGACAUUAAUAAAUACACAAUUUUAGUUAUAUAUUAAUUUAGUUUACUUUAAUCUUCAAUUUAAAUAUCACUUGUAAUUUUAUAUAUCACGUAAGGGAGUGGUUAAAAAUGGAAAAUUUGACCCAAAAACAAAAUUUUAAUUGUUCACUGACAUUUGUUAGGUACCUUCUUUAAAAUUUUAAAUAUUCGAUAGACUUCUAAAUAUUUAACUGUGCUUGGUAACUUUUAUUUUUUAUUAUAAAUUGAGUUUAUAGUUUAUGGAUUUUUAUUUUAUUUUAUUGUUUAUAUUUUAUAGAAACAUUUUAAAAAAUUAAAUCAAAAUUUGAAAAUUCAAAAAGUAUUUAAUUUUCUUUUUCAAUUUAGUUAACAAUUUAAGUAUUUUAUUAGAGAAUUGUGAAAACAUAGUUAAACAAGAUAUAAUUAAAGAAACGUAAAUUUCAAAAGCUAAAAAUGUGAUAGAAAUAGUUUCAUACAGAUCCUAAUUAAUUUAUGUUUUUUUUAAAAUUGUUUUAGGUUUGAUAGGUUCCUAAAUAUUCAAUCCACAAACUAUGGGACAAUAAAUUUUUCUUUUAACUAUAUUACGAAUGAAUGACAAUAAUCUUAUAAAAUAAACCAAUUUUGAGUUUGUAAAUUUUAAUAAAUGACAAUUAUUAAGUUUGCCAUUUAUUAAAUUUUAGUGUUUUAUAUAUAAAAAAAGAUCUACAUCUAGUAAUUGAAUCAAAUUUAAACUCUAGAUUUCUCUAUAUCAAUCCAUUUAAAUCUUUUGUUAAUAGUUUAGAGCUAUUUUUUUAUUAAUAAUUUAGAACUAUUUUCAUUUAAAAUUUUUUGUCAAGCAAAUGAAUAGUCGAUCAAAUUUAAUAAUAAAAUAUUACUAUACAGGCAUGAUGCAUUAAUCUUUUUAUUUAAAAACAAGUGAGUUUUUUGUUUGAUUUUUUGUUUAAGUAUAAAAAAAAUAAAAAUUUGAUCUCGAUAUAUUUUGGUUCUUUUAAGUCUAAUUAACCUAAAUGUUUAAUGACUGAAAAAAGGGGAUUGGAAUACUAAUAACGAGUCUAAGCUCAUUUAUUUAAAUUAAUAUAAUAAUUAUUAGAUGGAAGUUUUAAUUAAUACAAUCUAUGAUGAAAAAAAUUUAUAUGGAAAUCUUAAAAUUUUAAUGCCCAAAUUUUGUCAUUUCUCUAAUUUAUAAGAAUACCAAGAUUAUUUGGAACAAGUUUUUGGAUUUUAGCAUUAACUCAAUUCAAGUUUUUUAAUUUAUGGUUCUAAUUAGGUGUAGUUGUAUAGUUUGUAACAUCAAUAUAAUUUUGGACCAAAAAUGAAGUUUUGUAAAUUGAUUAGUUUUUCUAAUUUCCUGCUUGUAUCAAAUUUUAAUUUUAUUUUAAAUAGGAAACUUUUAUCUAAAAAUAUGGAAUUGGAGAGAACCAGUACCAAAAAAAUCUAUAUUUAUUUUAAAUAUCAUUAAAACUGAUUUUGUCUAUGUUCUCUCGACAUUUAACUAAAUAUUUACAAUAUAAAUCUAAAAAUUAAGUUAGUUUAUAUAAAUGAUAAUAUAUAGUAGAGUGUAAGUAAGUGAGCGUUAACAAAUUUAUAAUAUGCUCCAUGAAGUUUCUCUCCAAUUUUGAAUGAACAAUGAUAAUUUCAAUAAAAUGUUGAUGGAGAUAGGGAAUAAGUACUAAGUAGGGGAGGAAGUGGGACCCAGAAAGGUAAGAGGGUCCUACGUGUCAAGAAGUGGGGCCGAAAAGACAGUAUUAAGUAGGAGUGAUAGUGGGGUCUCAAGUCUCAAGUCUCAAGUCAAUGGCCACCAACACCCACAUCCACAUCCACACCCACACCCACACCCACCUCCACUUUCUGCUAAUGGGUCCUCCCCGGCCCCCUCAAUUUUUAUACCCUUUUUUUCUAUUCUUAAAUUAUUCCUUUUUUCCCCUUUUAUUAUCUUUUUUUUUUUUUCUUUUUGUAGGAAGCUGCAAUUGCUCUUUUUAGGGAUAAAAUAAAAAGUGUAUUCAUAACUACACUUCCUUAAAUGCAAUCAUGAAUUAACAUAAUAUUUAUAGAAAAUUUUGAAAUAUAACACAUCGAGUUCCCAUUCAAAUAGGAUCCACACAAGGAAAAACACUUGCCAUUCGUUGGUUAUUAGGGACAUCCCGAAAACGUCUCGGUCGAAAUAUGGCUUUCAAAUUCAGUUCCGAAUUAGUGGAUGCUGCCAAAUAAUAAAUAUAAAAAAUUUCAAUCAAUUGCAAAUUGCAACAAAUUAGCUCUUCCAGUCAAAUUGUGUCGUUUGGUGACGCUAGGUCAACUCAAGUUUAUUAAAAUAAAUUGAGUUGAACCUAGAUAAAAAUAGAUUAAUUUAGGAUAAAAAUAUAAACUAUAGUAUGGACUAAUAGCAAAAUAUAUACAUACAUACAAAUGACAAAAUAGAAAAAAUAAGAACGAAUGAUAGAUUUAAAACAGAAAGACAAAUUUUAUUGAACUCGAUGCUUUGAUGGCCUGAGAUUCUCCCAGAUUUAAAUCGAAUCGAAACUGAACUGCAUAUGCAGUUCAGUUUUGAUUUGAUUUGACACAAACGUGCGGUUUGGUUCAAUUUCAUAUGAUAUUUUGUUUUGAAUUUUUUCGGUUCAGUGCAGUUUCAGCUUGAAAUCGAACCGCACCGAACUAAAAUGUAAACACCCCUAAUACACACAUACAAAUGACAAAAAAAAAAAAAAAAACGAAUGAUAUAAUCAAGGUAAGCAACUAAUGUACCUAUGAAGCCUAAAAUCAAUGUAAUUGAUCGGUUAAAAUCCCAACUCACAACCCCAUCUCACAACCCCAACUCUCUCUUUAUCUCUUCAUGCGUGGACCAAGAAGAAAAUCAUGUCUUCUUUUUCCUUUUUAGUUGCUCUUUCUCCCUCUGUCUUCUUCACACUUGAAUCUCUGGGCAAAAUUGUCUAGUAGGGCUCUCCACUGCGACAACAAAAACUUCAGUAGAAGUCGUGAAGGUCACCAACAAAAAAAACUUGUAACGAAUAAUUUUACAGUAGGGUUCUUCGUUGUCUAUCCGUUCUAUGGGGUCACAAAUCAUUCACCAAAAUCGUUAGUUGUCGUUGUCACGAUCGUUUUUCGAGAUCAUCUGUUCACUGUCCACCGACAAAAUCGUUCGUCAAAAUUGUUCACCAUCCCAAAACAACCGUAAAAAAUGUUAGUUUUAUGCCACAAAAACAUCACACACCAUUUUUUUUUAUCCUUUUGUUCUCCUCAACAACAACAAUUGUCUUUCAUUUGGCCUUUAUUCGUUCCCAAUCGUCUUGCAUUCGGUAGCGUUUAUGAUUGAAGGUAACAAAAUCAAACCAUAAAAUUUACCUUUUAGAAAGAAAUGUCCCAAUAGAAAUAUAUUGGUAAAAUAUAAGGUAUUUUACCUUGUAUUAUUACUAAUUAACAAACCUUCAACUAAGUAACUGUUUACUAACUAAUUGUAUCAACUAAUAUGCCCCUCUGAAGAUGGAAUGUAGAGAUUAUGAAUUCCUAUCUUGAACAUGAACUCUUGAAUAGUUGACGAAGGCAAUGGCUUGGUGAACAUAUCAGAUAGUUGAUGUGAAGAUUUAAUGGAUAAAAGCUUUUGUUGUCCUUGUUGAAUUUUAUCACAAACGAAGUGGCAGUCUAUCUCAAUGUGUUUGGUGCGCUCAUGAAAAGUUGGAUUAGAAGCAACGAAAAUGGUCGUAUAGCUAUCACAAUAUAUUAAGGAUGAAGCUUGAUGAAUAAUCUACAAGUCUUAAAGGAGGUGAGUUAGCCAUGUAAUCUCACUGGACACACUUGCUAAAGCUUUGUAUUCUACCUCUGCUGAUGAGUGUGAGACUAUGGCUUCAAGAGAUCUUCCAAGAAAGAUGCAAAAGCUAGUGACUGAUUUUCGAGUGUCUAAACAACAUCCCUAAUUUGAGUCAACGAAGGCCUUUAUGUUGAAUUCUUUUGAGGCCCAAAUCAUUAUGCCUUGUCCUGCUGUGCCUUUUAGGUAACGUAGCAAAUGAUGUACUUUGUUAAGUGUUCAGAGUGAGGUUUAGCCGAGACUUAACUAAGUUUGUAAACACAACAGGAAAUGUCUGGCCUUGAGAUUUGUAGAUAUAAUAGUCUACUGAUUAGUCUUCUAUAUAAGGAAGCAUCCUCAACAUUUAGUGGAUUGCCUAAUGUAGUAGAUAAACACAGGCUAGACACCAUUGGGCAUUGAUAUGGUUUUAUAGUCAUAAAACUAGAGUCUUCAAGUAUUUGUAAGCAUUACUUCCUUUGAGACAAAUAGAUGCAUGUUGUUAAUCGGGACAAUUCAAAGCCUAAAAAAUACUUUGCUUGUUCAAGGUCUUUUAGUAGGAAGUGUGAUAUGAGUAGUUCCUUAACAGAGGUUAUUUCAUUACUUAAAGGGCCUGUGAUUAAAAUGUCAUCCAUUUAUACCAAAAGAACAACAAAUAAGGAACCAUGGCCUUUAGUGAAUAACGAGUAAUCUGCUUUGGAUUGGGAGAAUUCAUUUGUGAGUAACACACUAGAGAACUUUGAGAAACGUUGUUGUGAUGCUUGCUUUAGGCCAUAUAUUGAUUUGUGUAGUUUGCAGACUAGGGGGUGGAUGAAGCUUGUUGCUCUUUGGCAUAAUAACCCAUUGGUAAUGUCAUGUAUACUUCUUCAAAUAAGUCGCUAUUAAGGAAUGCAUUAUUCACAUUCAUUUGGCAAAGAGAUCAGCCAAAGGAGGUUGUUAAUGAUAGAAGUAUUUUGACAAUAACAAUUUUAGCCACAAGAGAGAAGGUUUCUAAGAAGUCAAUGCCUUCUAGCUGACUGUAGUCUUUUGCAACUAGUCGGGCUUUAUGCUUAUCAAAAGUGGCAUCAUCAUGGUAUUUAACCUUAUAAACUCAUUUGCAUCCAACAACAUCGUGCCCAUGGAGAAGGGGACAAUGCUCCAAGUAUUUAUUUUCAUCAUUCCAAACUCUGAAAUAUUACUGUUGACCCAAAUAAUUUAUCCACCAUACUGUAGAUCUUAAGUUCCACAUCCUCUAACAACCUCUGCUUACUAUCUCUUUGCAUCAACAACAAUGUAAAUACCUUCCAACUUCUAUGCUCUCCUCGGGUAUUGUCUCUUAAUUUAUGGGUAGGCUAUUUUUCUAUAGAAAAGUAGUUGGUGUGAAACAACCAAUGGUCUGCAUCAACUUCUAUUUCAUGAGCUUCGUAAACAAGUUUGGCAUCAGUACAGUGUACUUUGGCUUUGACUUUAUCUGUUUUCUUGUUGUACUGUAUGUAGUUCAUUUUUUGUCCUUUCGUGAAUGCUGAUUGUUCAUAUUUGUAGCAUUAGAUGGAAGAAGGAAUUGUAGGGACAUUAAUAAAGAACCUUGUGACGUCAUUUUUUUUUUUAACUAUCUAAUUGAAUAAAUUGUAAUGUUGGACAAGUAGAGUGCUUAGAAUUAAAUUUCUAAUAAUGAUCCGCCAACUAUUUAAGUCAAACAAGAACUGGAUUUUACAACUUCAACUUUUAUACACUACUUCUAACUUCAUGGGUCAAACACACCCUACAAACUCAUACUAACAUACAAAUUAUGGAGAGAUUAUGAAAUUCUAUGUUUAAGAGUUUGGUAACAAUUUUUUAUUCCACUUGGGACGUAGUUGAAAACCUAUUUCGAGAUAGAUACAUUUUAAUAUUUUUUAUAUCUUUCGAGAUAAGAUAUAAAAUAUUAUUAAAAUUAAGGUGAUUCAUUUUUUUUUAUCUUUUAUACAUUUUUUUUAUUUAUUUUGUUCUUGAUGUAUGAUAAUUUUAUAAAUUUUAUUUGUUGACUUUUUUUUUUUAAUUCUAAUAACUGAUGAGAAGUAUAUGUGUUAUGGAUUAUUUAAACUUUUAAUUAUUUUCAUUCUUAAGUAAUAUUAAAAAGAAUAUGGAUUAUUAUUAUUACCUUUUAUACAAAACCCUCUCUCCCGUCAAAUUUCUUCCCCAUCCUUCUUCCAACGAUAACUCUCUCUACUUCCUCUCCCCUCUCCCCUUCUCUUUCGCUCUCUGUGAGUAACCCAUCUUGCCGAUCCACACCAUCAUCUUCUCCUAGCCCUAACGACGCCAGAAUCAAGAGCGGCAGACCCCUCGGAAACCCAAUUCGUCUUCCAAAGUCCUUUUGUUCCACCAUCACCGUCAGAUCCCGACUCCAUGGUUCUUGAUUCCAAACCCUCGCCGGCUAAGUUGAAGAGCCCGCUACCACCUAGGUCUCCCUCUUUAACCCACUUAAGCGAAAGGUAUGAAGACCGUUCCUGAGAAUUCCAUCUCUGGAUUGUCUGAUUCGGGUAUGAAGGUAUUUUACGUGUUGUGGUAUGAUUAUGGGGGUUUGGAUUAUUUGUCUUAAUUUCGGUGGUGUAGUGACAGUUUUAGUUUAAGAUUCAAGUUUGGAAGUUUUGCCUAGUGUGAACUGUCUCUGUGAUUUUCAGGUGGUAGUGCGCUUGCUGCCGCCAUCCAAGGACGGAGAUGAAGGGGAUAAUAUAAUACAAAAGGUUAUGUGUCGAUGAAGUUAGCGGACAGUGGGCAGAUGCAGAUGAAUUCUUUAAUGAGGUAAACCUGAUCAGAGGAUUACUUGAAAGCAAACCUAUUCUUUAUUUGAAUUUCAAUUAUUAAAGAUUUGUCAUAAAAAAAAAAGAGGGGGAACUUCACUUUUGGCCUAACCAAAACCAGACCACCUACUCUUAGCGUUCAGACAUAGCAUUGAUUUUGAUGAGGGGAGUUGCCAAUUGGAUCGAUAUUAUUUAUAGGGCCAUAUUCCUUAGGGAAAAACUUUCUCAGAAUUUUAUGAUUUUGAUCUGGUUUGAUGUAGAAAUAUGGAAAGGCAGCUGUGGAUAACCUCCAUCAGAUAAAUUAGGAAGCGGAUUAAAAAAUAUAUGAUAUGGUUAUGCCAUCAGUAUAUAUCUACAACAAAAGAAAACAAAAAGAAUUAGAUACUUAAGAAUUCAAAUAGCAAUAUUUAUUAAGAGUUCUACACUUCAAUGGUUUUACAUAAAAUUCUCACUCUCCCUCUAUUGUAGCCUUUUCCAGCCACUGCACAAAUGCCCACGGUCUGUUCAAGACGAUGUGGCCCUGAGAACAGAAUAUACAGUUUAAUGAAAUACGAAAAAGAAUCCUACACAUUUGAAAACAAGACAUUACAUUUCAUGGGAAAGAAACAAUGAGUACGUCCAAAGUAACAAUAACUGAGUUAAAUGAAGAUAAAGAAGGAGGUGCAAAGAAAUAUGCUUUAAAAUCUCAUUACUAGUUCUAUUAUUAUCAUUAAUAAGAUUGAUUUAUUCUAUAAAUUGUCUUCAAUAUCUUUAGAGCACAGUUGUAAAGGAGAUCCUAGUUCAUAUUGCCAAAACUCAAAUCUUAAUAUUUUUUUUGAAGAGUUAGGCAAAUCACUAUUUAGAUGCGGACUACUUUAAUACUUCAAUGAGAUAUUUUGUGGCUGUACAGGAACAGGCUAUGUGAAAGAGACCAGGCUAUUCGCAAACUGGAAAGGGAAAUAGAAGAUAAAGAUAGGGAAUUGCAAUCAAUUAAAUUAGACAACGACGCAGUGUGUCCCCCCCCCUCAUGCUUGAUGUGCUUACAUAAGAAUGUUUUGUAAUGAUCUGCUUUUUUCUUCACUAACCCUUUUAUUCUAUAAUUUCUUCACAGGCUUGGGCCAAGGAUGAUCUUCUGCGGGAACAAGAUAAGGAAAUAGCAACUUAAAGGUUACAUUUUUUGUUUGAUGCCCUUCAAUUUUUCCCUUCUUUUGCCAUUGAUUUUACUUUUUGCUUACACUAACAUCCUAGCACAUUCUUUAGUAUUUUAAUUUUAUUGCAGUACAUUAUAUUGAAUCUUCAUUUUCCUUGGCUGUGCUAUAAAUGGUGUUUCUUCUAUAUGGAUUUGCAUUAUACAACACUACCGUAUUAAGUCAUAAAGUUAUGAAAAUUAGAAAGACACCCUUUGUAGGAGAGAACAUGAUCCUUCCUUUAAAGUAAAUUGAGAGAAUUUCCUCUACUUCCUCAAUUUUAAGGCUUGAGGUUUGAAGAACAAGGAUGAAUAAUCAACGAAAGAGGAAUGAGGAGGUUUCUCGUUUAGCGAAAAUAGCGAUUUUUCGUUUUUCAUACUUCCAAAAACACACAAUUAUGAACUUAUUGUGUAUUAAAUUGAUCGAGAGGCCUUCCAAUUGUUUGUUAAUCUAUAGUUUCUGUCUCUAUUUUAAUUAACUGCUACAAGUAGAAGCUUAACUACAUGGUUAGAGUUUUAUCAAAAAAGGAAAGAAAAAAAAGAAGAAAGAUCAUGUGAUAAAUUUAUAGAAAUGCCAUUAAAUUAUUUUAUAACCUUUGAUUUCUAUUUCUGUGGUAAAUUACUGCUACUAGAAAUCUAAUUGUGUUCGGUUAGUUAGACUUCAUGGGUUUGAAUUUAUUUAUCUUUUUGUUAAAGAGGUUCCAUUAUACAGAAUACCCCUAAACUUUGUACUUUAUAUAGAAAUACCAUUGAAAACACACUCAAGACAUAAACUACCAAAAGAGUUAAAAAUACAGUUACUAUAAUUAUCCUAAUUUUAGUAAUAAAUGAAAUUGAGAGAAUUUCCUUUGAUUUUCAGGAACAAGGAUAAUUAAUCAAUGAAAAAGAAAUGAAGAGGUUUAUCCAUGCAAGCUUCAAACCAAAGUCAAGGAUGUCGAUCCUUCCAGGGGAGUCCAAAGUUCCCCCUUAUUCUUCUCCCUUUACUUGGAUUUUCAAAAGCUUGCAAUUUUUUAAGUGGGGGUGGGCAAUAGCUUACAUGUUUAGUCUAAACUUGGGGGUUCAAAUAUUUUGCCCAAAUUUCAAAAUUUCUAAAACAAAUUUCCUUACAAUAAGGAGCAUUAUACCUCAUUAGCUUACUUAGAUCUUGCAUAAAAAGCAUGACCGGCAACCCUUGACCACUGAGCUUGGGUUUGUGAUGUAAAAUUCUGAAUGUUGAUGAUUAUAUGUGCUGAAAUUUGAGAAUAAGCUGCCGUCUUUUUUGGUUUACGUCCCUUUUUAGCGAUAUCUUAUUGAGAUGUUAGCGAUAUCUUGUUGAGAUGUGAAUGCUUGAUUGAGAAAAUGGUAUGUGUGUUGUGAAUGCUUGAUUGCAUGUAUAUAAUAAAUAAGUGCAUGGAUACUUUUCUAGCUUUGUCUUCCUUUGUUGCUUUGCCGUGACUUACCUAUGAUGCGCUUAGUCCAAACCUAGCCUAGAUAGAGUUAAAAAAGGAUAGGAGGUACUCUUUAGAAAUUGAGAUGGUUUUAAUAAAUAACAUGAGCUAGGAGCCGUUUGUCUAGCCACAAUGAACUAAAUCCCUUUAAGAAAGGGUGGACAUUAACAAAACUUGUUGCCACUUCGAAGGGAGUAGUCAAACUUAGAAACUAAGUGUAGAACCAUAGAAAGGUUAGCCCACCGGUUCUAGCAAGACCUAGUUACCACAUUGCAUAUCAAAGAAAGAAUAGAGAGACUUGUAAACGUAAACAGUGAAACAAUUAAGAGCUAAAAAAAACAAACAACAUAUGCAAUAUACAUCAGAAAAAUCCCAUAAAAAAUGAGGGGAAACUUCACUUAUGGCCUAACCAAAACCAGACCACCUACUCUUAGCGUUCUAGACAUAGCAUCGAGUUUGAUGAGGGCUUUGAAAAGAGGAGGAAUCCUCCCCGUUCCACACUAGGGGGAAAACGAGGCUUGUUGUCACUCCGAAGGGAGCAGUCAAACUUAGCAUUGAGUUUGACGAGGGCUUUGAAAAGAGGAGGAAUCCUCCCCGUUCCAUAGUAGGGGGAAAACGAGGCUUGUUGUCACUCCGAAGGGAGCAGUCAAACUUAGAAACCAAGUCUAGAACCAUGGAAAGGUUACCCCACCGAUUCUUGUGUGCGUACCAAAGAAACAAAAGAGAUAGUUGCAAAUGUAAAACAUAAAACAGCGGGACAAUUAAGAGCUAAAAAAAACAAACAACAUAUGCAAUAUACAUCAGAAAAAUCCCAUAAAAAAUGAGGGGAAACUUCACUUAUGGCCUAACCAAAACCAGACCACCUACUCUUAGCGUUCUAGACAUUAUACAUCAGAAAAAUCCCAUUCAGAUUGUUUUAUCUUCUCAUGUUGGGCUACUUCCAAGCAAUGUUUUAAGUGAAGGGUGGAUAAUAGCUCACUUGUUUAGUCUAAACUUGGGGGAUUUCAAAUUUUGUCCAAAUUUCAAAAUUUUUCAAAAGUUUUUCAUUACAAUAAUGAGCAUCAUAGCUUCUUAGAUCUUGCAUAAAAGGCAUGACUGUCAACCCUUGAGCACUAAGCUCGGGUUUGUGACGUGAGAUUCUGAAUUUUGAUGAGUAUAUGUACUGAAAUUUGAGAAUAAGCUUAUGUCCUUUUUGUGUUUGCUAAGUUUCAACUAAUACUCUCAGUAUUUAUCUUUGUGCUUAUGUGAUAGAUUUGUUAUGCACUGUAGUGAUGUGGGGUGUUUCCUUAUUUUCUGCAUCUUAAUAUUACUGCAUCUUAAAUACCUUAUUUUUUUGCAUCUUAAUUGGUACUGAAAUUUUGUUUGUUUCAG
This 111513-nucleotide long non-coding RNA is filed under the name Cucumis sativus (cucumber). Its description in RNAcentral is "long non-coding RNA (CSAT_LNC000182)". Lineage: Eukaryota; Viridiplantae; Streptophyta; Magnoliopsida; Cucurbitales; Cucurbitaceae. The record is from RNAcentral.